This 93297-nucleotide long non-coding RNA is filed under the name Triticum aestivum (bread wheat). Its description in RNAcentral is "long non-coding RNA (TAES_LNC005095)". The stretch from base 37612 to 37746 matches the Rfam family "MIR1120/MIR1122 microRNA precursor family". Lineage: Eukaryota; Viridiplantae; Streptophyta; Magnoliopsida; Poales; Poaceae. The record is from RNAcentral.
UUUUUUUUCCUUUCGCGAGAGUCACGGUUUUGCUUCCCUGAGAGACACGGUUGUGCUUUCGCGAGAGUCACGGCCGUGCCUCUCGGAAACGAAAAAAUGUGUUUUCUGUCUUUUUUCUUUCGCGAGAGUCACGGUUUUGCUUCCGCUAGAGACAAGGGUGUGCUUUCGCGAGAGUCACGGCUGUGCCUCCUCGAAAACAAAAAAAAAACGUGUUUUCUCUUCUUUUUUCCUUCCGCGAGAGUCACGGUUGUGAUUUCAUAAGAGGCACGGGCGUGCCUUUUUCGGAAAGGGAAAAACUUAUGCUCCUGGUUCGGUUUCUUCGUCCGGUUUUUUUCAUGAAAAAAAGUUCGUCAAAACCUAUCAACAUGGGAUCUAGUUUUAAAGAUCUCGACGCGAGGAAUCCAACGGUGAAAGCGGUUUGAGAUUUGGACGCAUGGUUUGAGAGAUAAAACGUUUUGAAUAAACGGAUCUACGAAAAUAGGGAAAACUCCCAGGUUGCAACAAGUGGCACACUGCAUGUGCGCCACUUGUCACAACCCGGGGAAUUGGAGUGAUUUUUGCAACGAGUACUACUUGAAGGAAAUAUGAGGCAAUAAGAAAGUUGUUAUUUAUAUUUCUUUAUAUCAUGAUAAAUGUUUAUUAUUCAUGCUAGAAUUGUAUUAACCGUAAACUUAGUACAUGUGUGAAUACAUAGACAAAAUGAGUGUCACUAGUUUGCCUCUACUUGACUAGCUCGUUGAAUCAAUGAUGAUUAUGUUUCCUAACCAUAGGCAUGAGUUGCCAUUUGAUUGACGGGAUCACAUCAUUAGAGAAUGAUGUGAUUGACUUGACCCAUCCGUUAGCUUAGCACGAUGAUCGUUUAGUUUGUUGCUAUUGCUUUCUCCAUAACUUAUACAUGUUCCUCUGACUAUGAGAUUAUGAAACUCCUGAAUACCGGAGGAACACCUUGUGUGCUAUCAAACGUCACAAUGUAACUGGGUGAUUAUAAAGAUGCUCUACAGGUGUCUCCGAAGGUGUUUGUUGGGUUGACAUAGAUCGAGAUUAGGAUUUGUCACUCCGAGUUUCGAAGAGGUAUCUUUAGGCCCUCUCGGUAAUGCACAUCACUAUAAGCCUUGCAAGCAAUGUGACUAAUGAGUUAGUUGCGGGAUAAUGCAUUACGAAACGAGUAAAGAGACUUGCCGGUAAUGAGAUUGAACUAGGUAUUGAGAUAUCGACGAUCGAAUCUCGGGCAAGUAACAUACCGAUUGUAAGUGCAUCUAGUGCCACCCCUAGUUGGUUUUGGAGUACUGACGACAAACCUAGUUGAGGGACUAAUGUGUUUGUGAGAAUUGCAGGACAACACAGGUAGAAGUCCCUCAUUGAUUCGGUUUUACUACCAAAGAUGACCCCUAAAAAUGUAUGAAGACAUUGAAGUCAAAGGUGGUAUUUGAAGAUAUUCACAUUCAAGACUAUGACAAGAGAAGACACUAUACGAAGCCUAUGGAGCUCGAAGACUUAGAUCUUUCGUAGUUCUUUUUCUUUUUGUGUUGAGUCAUAGGAACCACCGUACUGUUAAGUGGGGUCCAAGAGAACUAGUCAGAAUGACUGAAGUGAUGCCUAAACCAAAAACCCAUGUCUUCCAGUGAAGACUAUGAGAUCGAAUCUUGUCCUGAGUCGGACAAGUCAGCUUUGCUUGUAGCCCAAAUAAAGUUGCCGUGUGAAUUUGAAAUCUGACCAUUGGAACACGUGUCAGUUCCUUAGUGACCCAGGGUCAUUUCGGACAAAUCAGGUCGGGUUGCCAAGUGGCUAUAAAUAGCCCACCCCCUACAACCAUAAACGGUUGGCUGCUUGAUAGUACGGCUUUUGUCGUUUGAGAGCAACCCACCUUGAAGCCUUUGAGAGAGAAUUCCUUGCGAGGAUAAAGCCCUAACCACCAGAGCCAGAGAGAAUUGGGCAUCACUUAAGUCUUCUUGUCUGUGUGAUCUGAAGACUUAUUACACUUGAGGACUGUGCAUCCUCCAGCCGGUUAGGCGUCGCGUUCUGAGCAUCCAAGAGACAUUGUGGAUUGCCGGUGAACGAAGUCUGUGAAGGUUUGGGAGUCUACCUUGAAGACUUACCAAAGUGAUUGGGCGAGGUCUAUGUGACCUUAGCUCAAGGAGAAUACGGUGAGGACUGGGUGUCCUGAGCUGCGUGUUCAGGACUGGGUGUCCGGGACUGUGUGUACUAAGGUUUAAAUACCUAGCCGCUCCAACCAGACGUACAGUUGUCACAACAACUGGAACUGGUCCAACAAAUCAUUGUCUUCAACGAGUCACUGGUUUCAUCUUCACUUCACUUUACUUACUGUUACUCCUUGUGAAGUCAUUGUAUGUUUGCACUAUCAUUUGUCUUCACUGAGUGACUGCGUGUUCUGUUUGGCUUCACAAUAUCUUCCUACCUGAUCCUUACUACCUAGCUGCUAUUAGUCUUUGUGCUUUCACUUCAUUGAAUAAUUGACUAUGGUUUGCCUAGUGUAGUCUACCUUCCGCUGCAUGGUAAUAGGUUUAAUUUUAUCGUUUGUCUUCAAAACUUCUAUGUUCUGAAGACUUUCAUAAAAAUUGCCUAUUCACCCCCCCCCCUCUAGUCGAUAUAACGCACUUUCACCGAUGACAAAGGGAACAACGUAUGUUGUUAUGCGGUUUGACCGAUAAAGAUCUUCAUAGAAUAUGUAGGAACCAAUAUGAGCAUCCAGGUUCCGCUAUUGGUUAUUGACCGGAGAUGUGUCUCGGUCAUGUCUACAUAGUUCUCGAACCCGUAGGGUCCGCACGCUUAACAUUCGGUGACGCUUGGUAUUAUGAGUUUAUGUGUUUUGAUAUACCGAAGGUAGUUCAGAGUCCCGGAUAUGAUCACGGACAUGACGAGGAGUCUCUAAAUGGCCGAGACAUAAAGAUCGAUAUAUUGGAUGCAUGGUUUGAGAGAUAAAACGUUUUGAAUAAACGGAUCUACGAAAAAAGGGAAAACUCCCAGGUUGCAACAAGUGGCACACUGCAUGUGCGCCACUUGUCACAACCUGGGGAAUUGGAGUGAUUUUGCAACGAGUACUACUUGAAGGAAAUAUGAGGCAAUAAGAAAGUUGUUAUUUAUAUUUCUUUAUAUCAUGAUAAAUGUUUAUUAUUCAUGCUAGAAUUGUAUUAACCGUAAACUUAGUACAUGUGUGAAUACAUAGACAAAAUGAGUGUCACUAGUUUGCCUCUACUUGACUAGCUCGUUGAAUCAAUGAUGAUUAUGUUUCCUAACCAUAGGCAUGAGUUGCCAUUUGAUUGACGGGAUCACAUCAUUAGAGAAUGAUGUGAUUGACUUGACCCAUCCGUUAGCUUAGCACGAUGAUCGUUUAGUUUGUUGCUAUUGCUUUCUCCAUAACUUAUACAUGUUCCUCUGACUAUGAGAUUAUGAAACUCCUGAAUACCGGAGGAACACCUUGUGUGCUAUCAAACGUCACAAUGUAACUGGGUGAUUAUAAAGAUGCUCUACAGGUGUCUCCGAAGGUGUUUGUUGGGUUGACAUAGAUCGAGAUUAGGAUUUGUCACUCCGAGUUUCGAAGAGGUAUCUUUAGGCCCUCUCGGUAAUGCACAUCACUAUAAGCCUUGCAAGCAAUGUGACUAAUGAGUUAGUUGCGGGAUAAUGCAUUACGAAACAAGUAAAGAGACUUGCCGGUAAUGAGAUUGAACUAGGUAUUGAGAUAUCGACGAUCGAAUCUCGGGCAAGUAACAUACCGAUUGUAAGUGCAUCUAGUGCCACCCCUAGUUGGUUUUGGAGUACUGACGACAAACCUAGUUGAGGGACUAAUGUGUUUGUGAGAAUUGCAGGAUAACACAGGUAGAAGUCCCUUAUUGAUUCGGUUUUACUACCAGAGAUGACCCCUAAAAAUGUAUGAAGACAUUGAAGUCAAAGGUGGUAUUUGAAGAUAUUCACAUUCAAGACUAUGACAAGAGAAGACACUAUACGAAGCCUAUGGAGCUCGAAGACUUAGAUCUUUCGUAGUUCUUUUUCUUUUUGUGUUGAGUCAUAGGAACCACCGUACUGUUAAGUGGGGUCCAAGAGAACUAGUCAGAAUGACUGAAGUGAUGCCUAAACCAAAAACCCAUGUCUUCCAGUGAAGAAUAUGAGAUCGAAUCUUGUCCUGAGUCGGACAAGUCAGCUUUGCUUGUAGCCCAAAUAAAGUUGCCGUGUGAAUUUGAAAUCUGACCAUUGGAACACGUGUCAGUUCCUUAGUGACCCAGGGUCAUUUCGGACAAAUCAGGUCGGGUUGCCAAGUGGCUAUAAAUAGCCCACCCCCUACAACCAUAAACGGUUGGCUGCUCAGAUUGAUAGUACGGCUUUUGUCGUUUGAGAGCAACCCACCUUGAAGCCUUUGAGAGAGAAUUCCUUGCGAGGAUAAAGCCCUAACCACCAGAGCCAGAGAGAAUUGGGCAUCACUUAAGUCUUCUUGUCUGUGUGAUCUGAAGACUUAUUACACUUGAGGACUGUGCAUCCUCCAGCCAGUUAGGCGUCGCGUUCUGAGCAUCCAAGAGACAUUGUGGAUUGCCGGUGAACGAAGUCUGUGAAGGUUUGGGAGUCUACCUUGAAGACUUACCAAAGUGAUUGGGCGAGGUCUAUGUGACCUUAGCUCAAGGAGAAUACGGUGAGGACUGGGUGUCCUGAGCUGCGUGUUCAGGACUGGGUGUCCGGGACUGUGUGUACUAAGGUUUAAAUACCUAGCCGCUCCAACCAGACGUACAGUUGUCACAACAACUGGAACUAGUCCAACAAAUCAUUGUCUUCAACGAGUCACUGGUUUCAUCUUCACUUCACUUUACUUACUGUUACUCCUUGUGAAGUCAUUGUAUGUUUGCACUAUCAUUUGUCUUCACUGAGUGACUGUGUGUUCUGUUUGGCUUCACAAUAUCUUCCUACCUGAUCCUUACUACCUAGCUGCUAUUAGUCUUUGUGCUUUCACUUCAUUGAAUAAUUGACUAUGGUUUGCCUAGUGUAGUCUACCUUCCGCUGCAUGGUAAUAGGUUUAAUUUUAUCGUUUGUCUUCAAAACUUCUAUGUUCUGAAGACUUUCAUAAAAAUUGCCUAUUCACCCCCCCUCUAGUCGAUAUAACGCACUUUCAAUUGGUAUCAGAGCAAGGUGCUCCCUUGUUCUGUGUGAUUCGGUUUAACCACCUGGAGUUUUAGCUAUGUCGACUGCAAGGAUAAUUAAAGUCUCCGCUGCGUGCCCCCUCUUCGAUGGAACUGAAUAUCCCUACUGGAAGAAUAAGAUGCGCAUGCAUCUUGAAGCCAUUGACGUCGACCUAUGGUAUGUCGUCGAGAAUGGCGUUCCCAAGGCUGGAGAAGGUGUCACUGCUGCUGAUGUCAAGAAAUUCGUUCAACUGGACUCUACUGCCAAGAAUAUCAUCUGUGGUCAUCUGACCAAAGGACAGUAUGGCCGUGUGAGUGCUUUGAAGACUUCCAAGCUGGUCUGGGACUGGCUCUCCAAGGUCAAUGAAGGCAUCUCAACCCAGAGAGAUCAGAGAAUCAGUGUCCUUCGCAACUUCUUCAACCGCUUCAAGCGAAAUGACAAUGAGAAUGUCCAGCACACAUUUGACCGACUCACUGAUAUCACAAAUGAGCUUCAAGCCCUCGGCGCCACUGAGAUUACCAAACACGAAGUCGUCAAGACGCUGCUGAGAUCACUUGAUAGUUCGUUUGACAUCCUGGCCCUGAUGAUUCAAGAACGUCCUGAUUUCAAGACACUCGAUCCGUCUGACAUACUUGAGAGGCUCAACACACAUGAGUUUCAGCUUUCGGAGAAAAGAGAUAUCUACGGUCCAAACUAUGGGCGAACUCGUGCCUUGAAGGCAAAAGUUGUCUCCUCAUCUGAAGAAGAAUCUGACAGCAGUUCUGAUGAUCCUGAAGACAUUGGAAGGGAAGUUGCUAUGCUUGUCAAGAAGUUCCAAAAAUUCACCAAGAAGAAAGGCUUCAGAAAGUCUUCCCAAUAAAGUUCAAGGAAUGAUGAAGCUCCUGCUCAUGACUACAAGAAGAAAACAUGUCACAAGUGCAAGAAACUUGGCCACUUCAUCUCUGAGUGUCCACAGUGGGACAAUGAGAACAAAAAGAAGAAGAAGAGCAAGGAAUAUGACUCUGAUGACAAGAAGAAGAAGAAAUACUCAAAGUCUUCUUCCAAGUCUUCCUCAAAGUCUUCAUCACACAAGAAGAGCUCAUCUGGCAAGGCACGUGCGUUUGUUGGCAAGGAAAUGGAUUCAGAGGAGGAGUCUGCUUCUGAGGAGGCAGAGGUGGAGUCUGAGGAGGAAUCCGACUCAGGCGUCGCAAGUCUGGCCACAGCAUACGUUGCCAAGUCCAUCUUCAACACUGAAGACAAUGACUUCAUCACCGACACCGAUGCAAAUGACAAGGACUACUCCGCUUCUACCUACUGCUUCAUGGCACGCGGUGCCAAGGUAAACACACACACUACUCACUGCCAAACAUCUAGUGACGAUGACUCUGAUUGUGGUUCAAAACCUAGCUACAAAACACUUGCUAAAAUUGCAACUGAACAACAGAAAGCUAUGGAACAUAUUCAAAAACUAUUAGACAGAAGCGAUGAUCUGUUAGGUGCUGAAAUGACUCGAUCUGAAUCCUUAAUUGAAGACAUAAAAAAUCUUCACGUUAAGUAUUAGGAACCUGAAAGUCGUCAUGAAACUCUCUCAACAACUCAUGAAAAGCUUUCCUAUGAUUAUCUUCAAAGGAAGCAAGAUCUUGAGAAAUUGAGAGCGGUUCAUGAAGAUCUUCAAACGGAAAACGAGUCACUUCGCGCCAAAAAGAUCGGUCCCGCUCAGGAAGGAUUUGAACCACCAUGUCUUAAAUGCAUUGAGCGUGAUAAUGCUAUUUCUGUUGCUGAAUGUUCUACUGCUACUGCUGUUGCAAUAUCUUCAACUGUUGAUGUGGUAACUAACCCCUCUGCUGAGGAUACCACCGCUAUCGCUGAUGAGAAUGCUAGGUUGAAGACAUUGCUUGAAACAGGGAUGUACAAAAGUCUUAAAGGGCAUCAAACGCUAUGUGAUGUCCUGAAAAAGCAGAUUCUGAACCGAAACCCUAGGAAAGAGGGUGUAGGGUUCGUAAGGAAAAUGAAUGCAGAUGGCUCUUACUGGAAACAUGAGCAGUACCCCAAAACCAUGUGGGUUGCUGCAAAGGAACCUUCAGCAGAUCCAUCCAAUCUAUCUGGCUUCACUUGUGCUAACCCCAUUAUCAUUGAUGAAUCCUUUGAUGCAAACUAUAUACUGUUUAAGAAUCAGAAUGGUGAAGUAUUUGCCAGGUACAUUGGUACUAACUGCAGGAGUGGACCGCCUAUGAAGAAGAUCUGGGUUCCGAAAAGGUGUUUGGAGAGUCUUCCUGUGAAUGUCAUCAUGACACCUCACGUGAAGAAGACAAACCUCAGACCAAAGGCUUCAUACGGUCCAAAGGCUUCAUACAGACAGAGGACUCACCUGAGUCGCACUAACGCAAAUGUUUUGCAGGGAAACCAUACUCAGGCAUACGAAUAUGAGAGCGGUUCAUCAAACCGCCAUGUUCAUAAGACCAAGAACUAUUCUGCUUAUUCUUAUGAGUACUAUUGUCCGCCUGCAAGACUGUUUGAAAAGGCUUCAAAGCCAAAAUUCUCAGAUGCUGCACUUAGACUUAUUGCUUCUAAGCCGCCCUUGAUGUGGGUGGCUAAGAAAGCUUAACUUUUUUUGCAGGGAAAGGUCUCCAGCAGAAAACCAAAAUCGUCUGACGCUAUUGCUAGGGACCUUAAACAUCUUGUAGGGCGCAAGAUCAAAUGCCCAAAUGGUCUUACUAUGUACUUCGUACCUGAAUCGCUUGCUACUCUCCCUAUUAGUCCUAACCUGGAUCUAAGCUUUCAUAACCCACUGGUUCGUCAAAUGUUUUUGCUUCACAAUGCUCUUGGUGAAGCCUAUCCCCCUAACUGCACUGUAGGGUACGACACCAGCGUCUUCAGAAUGGAUUAUUGACAGUGGGUGUACAAAUCACAUGACUGGCAAAAGAAGUCUUCUUAUGGACUCAACCUUACGUCCAUCUGACAAGAGCCACAUCACAUUUGCUGACACUGGUAAAAGUAAGGUAUUGGGUCUAGGUAGAGUUGCAAUCUCAAGGGAUCAACACAUGGAUAAAGUCAUGCUUGUUGAAUCCCUUGGCUUCAACUUAAUGUCUGUCUCAAUGCUUUGCGAUUUGAACAUGAUCGUAAUGUUUGGAAAAUAUCGUUGCCUUGUACUAAUGGAAUCUGACAAGUCUCUAGUGUUUGAAGGGUAUCGAAAAGAUGAUCUGUACGUGGUAGAUUUCUCAGCAGGGCCACAGCUUGCAGUAUGUCUUCUAGCAAAGGCUUCAGAAUGCUGGCUCUGGCAUCGGAGGCUUGGACAUGCUGGCAUGAGGAACCUCCACACCCUUGCGAAGAAGAAGCAUGUCAUAGGCAUCGAGAGCGUCAAGUUCAAGAAAGACCACUUAUGCGGUGCCUGUGAAGCAGGGAAGAUGACGAGGGCCAAACAUCCCUCGAAGACAAUCAUGACCACUACUCGACCCUUCGAACUGCUUCACAUGGAUCUUUUCGGUCCCACUCAUUACUCAACUCUAACUACUACUGCUUGCUCUAUGACUUUGUUAUUGUUGAUGACUAUUCUAGAUAUACUUGGGUGCACAUAAUCCUUUACAAGACUGAAGUGCAGGACGUCUUCAGACGCUUCACCAAUCGAGCUAUGAACAAUUUUGGCGCCAAGAUAAAGCACAUCAAAAGUGAAAAUGGCACUGAAUUCAAGAACACUGGCCUUGAUACAUAUCUUGAUACCUUGGGCAUCACGCAUGAAUUCUCAGCCCCGUACACGCCACAGCAAAAUGGCAUCGUCGAACGCAAGAACAGAACACUAAUUGAGAUGGCCAGAACAAUGCUAGAUGAAUACAAGACCCCAAGAAAAUUCUGGCCCGAAGCCAUUGAUACUGCAUGCCAUACAAUCAAUCGUGUUUAUCUUCACAAGCUACUGAACAAGACAUCUUAUGAGCUCCUUACUGGCAAGAAGCCAAAUGUCAGUUACUUCAGAGUAUUUGGCGCAAGGUGCUGGAUCAAGGACCCACAUCACACCUCAAAAUUUGCACCAAAAGCACAUGAGGGUUUUAUGCUUGGAUAUGAAAAGGAUUCGCACUCCUACAGAGUCUUCAAUCUCUUUCAUUACAAAGUGGUUGAAACAGUGGAUGUGCGGUUCGAUGAGACCAACGGUUCACAAAGAGAGCAGCUGCCAAAUGUGCUAGAUGAAGUUCCAUCCAGUGAAUCAAUCAAGCUAAUGGGAACUAGAGAAAUUAUACCUUCUGAAGCUCAUCCUGAAGAAGAACUUAUCAUUUCAGCACCUGAUCAACAUGAAGACAAUGCUCAGCCUGAAGACAUUCCUUCCAACAACGACAAUGAACAGCAAGCGCAAAGUCUUCACCCUGUACAUCCUCGCGUUGCCAAUGAAGUGCAGAUUGAAAGAAUAAUUGAUAGCAUCAAUGCACCUGGUCCACUCACUCGUUCAAGAGAAACUCAGCUAGCAAAUUUCUGUGGGCACUUCGCAUUCGUCUCAAUAGCAGAACCCAAGAAAGUUGAAGAAGCCUUCAUGGAACCUGAAUGGAUUCGAGCUAUGCAAGAAGAGCUUCAACAGUUUGAGCUGAAUAAUGUAUGGGAACUGGUUAAGCGUCCUGAUCCACGGAAGCAUAAUAUAAUAGGCACCAAAUGGAUAUACCGCAACAAGCAAGAUGAGCAUGGUCAAGUUGUCAGAAAUAAAGCUCGUCUCGUUGCUCAAGGAUAUACUUGUAACGCCCCGAGACCGAUGUGCCAGGUGUCCUCCAGUUAUUCGUUGUUGUUGCCUUGUCAUUUGCUUGCGUGUUGCAUCUUAUCAUGUCAUCAUGUGCAUUGCAUCAUCAUGUUUUCGAUACUUGCAUCCGUCCCGUUCUCCUCGUUUCGUCCGUUGUCCGUUCUGAGCCCAGACACACUUGCACGCGCCCGCGGCAUGUCCGAAAUAUUAUUUUAUAAGUGGCCAGAAAAUGUUCUCGGAAUGGGAUGAAAGUUGGCGUGUGGUCUUAUUAUAGUGUAGAUAGACCGCCUGUCAAGUUUCAUCGCAUUCGGAGUUCGUUUGAUAGCCCAACCGUUAACUAUAGCGGCAAUAUAGCCGGUCUAACGUCGGACGUUUUCGGUCUCCGGAAACCAUGCCGGGCUGCAUCUCUCCCCUCUUCUCUCACACCAACCCGCUCUUCACAAUCCGCCAGACCCAACCUAACCUCUCUCGUCAGCCCGCGGCCCUCCUCGCGCGCGUCCGAAAGUUGUCCCGGACCCGACCCGGACAGUUGCUACCGUUGUGUCCGGAUCAUCUCCAAACGUCUACAAAACGUCACCGUUUUCUUAUUUGGACUCCCUAGCUAUUUUAUUCGCGGCCGUCCGAUUACGAUCGGAGGGAUCCGAUAGCCCCUAACUAUUUCCACCUGCCAUAUAUAUACUAGGUCCAACCCUAAUAAUCAGGAGCCUUGUCCAAUCCUCCCAGCAGUCGCCGCCGCUCCUAGAUCCACCUCGGGAUCCCCUUCACUCGAACCAGCCACCGACCCCCUCCUCCUUGAUUUCAGCUACCAACCAACCUUCGCUUUCUUCUGCCUCCUGUCGUCCCAAGGAAGAGGACAUUCUCUUGGAGCCCGACCUCCUCUUCCCGAGCCGUAGCCACCCCGCGGCGUCCAACCUCGCCGGCCUCCAGGUCCUCUGCUUCUCCUCUGUUUUCUUCUUCCCCCUCUCCCGAUUUCUUCCUCUCUCACGAUCUCCCUCUCUCUCUGUUUUUUUCAUCAGCUGCAGGUCGCUGCCGCCUUGGUCAACCCUCACCGGAGCUCCGUCGACGCCCCGUUGGCCGGAUCCGGCCUUGAAACAGGCGGAUCCAUCCAUCCCCGCCUGAGCCCCGUGCCCUUCGCCGCCUCCCAUACGCCUCUGCUCGUGCCUGAGCACGAGCGCCUCACCGGAUGCCUCACGCAGCAGUCCCGCAUCAAGUCUCGCGCUGUCAUCCUUGUCCUCGUAGCCUCCCCGCUCUCCUCGUCGGCGCAGGGAGAUGAGCCCCUCUCGAACUCCAGCAACGGCGCCGCCCCUUGCAUCGACUGCCGCCAUCGCCAUGGCCUACUUCGCCUCGACGCCAUGGCCGCCCGAACCUGAAGCUCCAUCCUGCCUCGUUCCACGCCUUGGUUCCGGCCAGAACGGGCCGUCCCUGACCUCCACCGCCCAAAUCCGCUGCCGCGCCAUCCCGGAGUCCCACGCCAAGUCCUCCGCCGACGCUCCUUGCCUCGUUCGUCAGGGAAACGACGAGUACGUGGCUCGUCAACGCUCCAGCCGCUGACCACGACCGCGUGCGCCUCGUCCACAUCUUCCAGGAAGGCUAUGACGACAUGCGUGGGCUGCACCAUUGCAAGCCCAAAUCCCUCAAUCCACCCACCGGCCCAGCUUCGCCUCUGCCAGACUCUCCUCCAGCAAGGCCCCUCAAGGCCCAGCCGUCUGCCUCGUCCAGCCCAGCACCAACCGGGCCAAGCCCAAUGUGAGAAGCACCCCUCCAGCCCCUGUGCACUGUCGGGCCAUCAAGAUUCGGCCCAUGUCAUGUUUUUUUCCCAUCCUACGAAUUUGCUAUUUAAUCAGAGAACUGCAGUUUUUCAGAAAAACCCCUAGAGUUCUUGCAUAUCAUAACUCACCAACCGUGCAUCGGAUCUAAAUAAAUUAUAUAUGAAAGUUGCUUAGAAUUUUGUCUAGUUUAAGAAUAUUAAACUUUCAUGCAUGUUUGAAAUAUUUAAAAUGAUGUUUGGUUAAAUUUUCUCAAAUAACUUGUUAAAAUGUUUUAAUUCAUAACUAAAUAACCGUAACUCGGAUUUUAAUAAUCUUUAUAUGUAAAUGGGGUAGAAAAAUGCCUAGAUUUACAUGGUAGCCUCAUCUUGCAUGUUUAACAACUCUAAAAUAAUGUUUAGGGCAGAACAGUACCAAACCUUAAAUUAUGCAUAUGAGGAUUUUCCGGAAUUGUUGUUCGUUCCUUCCGGCCUCAUUUAAACUUGCCUAGAUAGGUAGUUUUGUUGUGCUUCACCCCUUGCCAUGUUAAUCAACAUUUAAUAUUGUUGUGUACAUAAAUGAGAUCGAACUAAAUAACUUAUCGUGGUGUUUCGUCAAUAUGCACCGUUGCAUAUUGAGCUCCACUUAAUUUGUAGGGUUGCUUGUGCACUUUGCCAUGCCAUGCUUCAUUAAACCGAACAUGCAUCAUACUUGAUUGUGCAUCAUGCCAUGAUUAUGUGGUGGUUGUUUACUAUGUUGUGUGCUUCUUUCCGGUGUUUGCUUCAUCGGGUUGGUUCCGGUAACAUCGCGUUUUUGAGGACCCGUUCGUCUACAUUCGUUUGUCUUAUUCAUGGACUCGUUCUUCUUCCUUGCGGGAUCUCAGGCAAGAUGACCAUACCCUCGAAAUUACUUCUAUCUUUGCUUGCUUAGUUGCUCGCUCUUUUUGCUAUGCCUAUGCUGCGAUGCCUACCACUUGCUUUUCAUGCCUCCCAUAUUGUUGAACCAAGCCUCUAACCCACCUUGUCCUAGCAAACCGUUGUUUGGCUAUGUUACCGCUUUGCUCAGCCCCUCUUAUAGCGUUGUUAGUUGCAGGUGAAGAUUGAAGUUUGUUCCUUGUUGGAACAUGGAGAUGUUGUUCCUUGUUGGAACAUGGUUACUUGUUGGGAUAUCACAAUAUAUAUUAUUUAAUUUAAUGCAUCUAUAUACUUGGUAAAUGGUGGAAGGCUUGGCCUUAUGCCUGGUGUUUUGUUCCACUCUUGCCACCCUAGUUUUCGUCAUAUCGGUGUUUUGUUCCCGGAUUUUGCGUUCCUUACGCAGUUGGGUUAUAAUGGGAACCCCUUGACAGUUCGCUUUGAAUAAAACUCCUCCAGCAAGGCCCAACCUUGGUUUUACCAUUCGCCACCUAGCCUUUUUCCCUUGGGAGUUGCGCAUCCCGAGGGUCAUCUUAUUUUAACCCCCCCGGGCCAGUGCUUGUCUAAGCGUUGGUCCAAACUAGAGCCCCUUGCAGCGCCACCUCGGGGAAACUCGAGGGCUGGUUUUAGUUGUACGGAUUGCUUAUCCGGUGUUGCCCUAAGAACGAGAUGUGUGCAGCUCCUAUCGGGAUGUCGGUGCAUCGGGUGGUCUUGCUGGACUUGUUUUACCAUUGUCGAGGAUGUCUUGUAGAACCGGGAUACCGAGUCUGAUCGGAAUGUCUCGGGAGGAGGUCUAUUCCUUCGUUGACCGUGAGAGCUUGUCAUGGGCUAAGUUGGAACACCCCUGCAGGGAUUUGAACUUUCGAAAGCCGUGCCCGCGGUUAUGGGCAGAUGGGAAUUUGUUAACGUCCGGUUGUACAAAUCCUUAAGAUGACCUUAAUUAAAAUGAAUCAACAGUGUGUGUUACCGUGAUGGUCUCUUUCCGGCGGAGUCCGGGAAGUGAACACGGUGUUGGAGUAAUGUUUGACGUAGGUUGUUCUAGGAUCACUUCUUGAUCAUUGUUUCUCGAUCGUGCUUUGCCUUAUCUUCUCGCUCCCUUUUGCGAAUAUGUUAGCCACCAUAUAUGCUAGUCGCUUGCUGCAGCUCCACCUCAUACCUUUACCUUACCCAUAAGCUUAAAUAGUCUUGAUCGCGAGGGUGUGAGAUUGCUGAGUCCCCGUGACUCACAGAUACUUCCAAAACCAGCUUGCAGGUGCUGAUGAUGCCAUUCCAGGUGACGCAACCAAGCUCAGGAGGAGCUCGAUGAAGAUCUUGUCCUUUGUGUCAUUUCGUUCUAGUUGAUUAGUAGUGGAGCCCGGUUGGGGUCGAUCGGGGACCUUUGUCGCAUUUGGGGUUCUUCUUUUAUUUUGGUUCCGUAGUCGGACCUUGUUUGUAUCUGGAUGAUGUAAUGCUUUAUUCAUGUAUUGUGUGAAGUGGCGAUUGUAAGCCAACUAUGUAUCUCUUUUCCCUUAUGUAUUACAUGGGUUGUUUGCGAAGAUUGCCUCACUUGCGACAUCGCUUUCAAUGCGGUUAUGCCUCUAAGUCGUGCUUCGACACGUGGGAGAUAUAGCCGCAUCGAGGGCGUUACAAGUUGGUAAUCAGAGCCUUCCCCGACCUUAGGAGCCCCAUUGAUUGAUCGUUUUUAGCAGCCAUUGUUGAGUCUAGAAAAAUGUUUUGAGUCAUUUAGAAAUUAUAUAUCAGAGAGUUUAGGAAUUUUUUUACUCCCCAGUCCCUUCGUCGCUCUGGUAAGGCAUCCUGACGUAGAGUUUUGACUCUUCUCUUCUCAAAUUUCACUAAAAACAAUUUUAGGAUCACACGGGUAUCUUGGAAUCGUUCCGAUGGUUUUAUGACGAGAACAUUGUCUUGGUGCCUCCUGUCAGGGGUUUUGUGGAAGUGUCCCGGGGAGUUGAGCUCUGAGGUGUUGUCGUCAUAAUUUUAUCGUUGCAGUUCUGGAAUACCUGAGUUUAGUACGCCGACAUCGAAAAUCUCUUUUAUGCAGUUCAUUGGUGAGAUAACCUCGACGCCACCCAGUACUGGGGGACUAAUCCACGAACACCUAUGGGACCGGCGGACCGAGUCCCUUUCGGUUCGGCGGGGGCGAGGGUCGCACGAAGAGCGGAUCGAGGCGAAGCACACGAGUAGUUUACCUAGGUUCGGGCCGCACGGAUGCAUAAAACCCUACUCCUGCUUUGUGGUUUGUAUUGAGUUCUUGCUCGGGAGCGCGGAGUGCUACAGUACACCUCAGCAGCUAACGAGACCGAGCGUGAGUGUUCUCUUCCUCCCCCCUCUAUGUUGCGCAUGGGCCUCCUUUUAUAUGCUCAAGGGGUCACCGACAGGUGGCAACGUAGACAAGGGUAAAAAUGGAAAGGUGCUGCGGUUGGUACAGCUACCUGCUAUAGUGUAUCAUACCUAACCCUGACGGCAGGGGACAAGGGCAUUAAAUGCCCGUCUGCAUCGCCUAAAUAGUGCAAAAGGGACCGCCAGGGACGCCUCCGCUCGCCACGAUGGCAAUCUUGUCAGUGCCGCUUGCCACCACGCACCGCUGGCUGCACAGCCUCCCGCCACGUACGCCUGGAAGGGUCCCAGAGCGACACGUUGGUGGAUGUGCUGGAGCGCGGGCACAGAGUGGUGGCUUGCCGCGGCAAGUGCCUUGCCGCGGUCGUUGUCUUGUCGCGUCCAGGAGCUUGUCGCUCACCGGGCCUUGCCGGGACACGUGGCGCGUCGCGGCAAGUUCCUUGAGAUGCCUUGGUUGGCCUUCCCGGCAAGCUCCUCUUGCCGGGGUCUCGUCUCCUUGGCUUGGAUACUUUGUCCUUGAAUGGCUCCAAAGGAACCACGGAGGACCUUGGCGGUCACCCGGCAAGCCUUGCCGCGGGAUGCUGCGACUGCCCGUGCACAAGUUCGGGAUACUAGGGUACCCCUACUCUAUUACACCGACAGGAGCCCCCGGGCCUGGGCCAUACACGGUGCCGAGCGCUGUUGGGCCAGGCCCAAAACAGGGUACGGGCACGCGCGGCCUGGGUUACGCCGUAUCUCUCCCCGUAUCCACCGCGCCCUCCCCGAACGGCACGCGUUGAAUGCGGCGUCGUGGGAGAGAUCGUGGGGGGUUUCUUUAUUCGGAAAGGCGGAACGUCCGCCCCCUCCCUCUUUAUAAGCAUGGGAAACAGGGGAAGUUUGCCCAUUCGCCGGUUGCUACUCCAAUCUCGGAAAUCUCCGCCGCUCCCUCGUCUUCCCAAAGCUGAAAGAGAGCAGCGCCCCACCCCCCAUCGCCACCAGCACCACCAACGCCGUCGACCUCCUCCACCACUUCCGCCAUGGCUCCGAGAGCCGACAAAGGGAAGGUUGUGAAGUCGACCGAGGCGCAGCGGCUUGCGGCGCUGCGAAAGGAGCGGGCAAUCUUCCCCCCCAAGCUCGCCGCGAGGGAGCUGAGGGAGAAUUACUACCUCUUCUGGUCGACGGAGACGCGAGCGCAUCCGCGCACGAAGGUACUUCCAGCCGCCGCUUGGAAAACGGCUCCAAAUGGAUACCCUUUCUUCGCCUUGUUCUUCUAUUGCGGGCUCUGCCCGCCUUUCUCUGAGUUUUUCUGCGAUAUUAUGAACACCUACGGGUUCCGCCUCCUUGACUUCACCCCCAAUGUCGUUCUGACCAUGGAAGUUUUCGCACAUCUCUGCGAAAACUUUGUCGGAGUCCAUCCCAAUGUAGCCCUUUUUCGCCACUUCUUUAUGCCCCGAGUAGAGAGAGGAGAGCCUUUAUCCGGCGGAAUCGCCUGGAUCUCGAAGGCCGACAAGAAGGACACUUAUCUGGAGGGAGAGUUCUGUGGCAAGUGGGAGGAAUGGAGAGCAGACUGGUGCUGGAUUGUCGAGGAGAACCCACAGCCGUUUACUGCCCGGCGCCAAGCCCCAGUAGCACGAGGCAGCGAUUGGAGUGACGUGGCCCCGGAGGAUGAUAGGCUGAAGAUUGCCGUCACCCGGAUCCAACGCCUCAGGCAUGCCGGGCUCACUGUAGGCGCUGUUGGCGCAGAUUUUCUUCGCCGCCGCAUCGCCCCCUGCAGGAACGGGGGAGACCCGCCUGGGAAUUCAAGAAUGCGGUGGAUAUCAUGAGGCUGCGUCCGGGCCUCAACUUCAACUUCACUGUUCUAGAGCUUAACGCGAUGCUCCAGGAGCUGUUCAAGUACGACCCUCAACAUCCCGAAGUGUUCAGGUUGCCCAAGGGUGUCGUUCCGCUGUGCAACAACUCCGCGCUCGACCGCAUCCGUGCAAUGAUGCCGCUGUGCGAUUCGCAUGGAAUUGUCCCAACUUGGCAAGAGCCUGCAGACAAUGUCGUGCAGGAGUUUUUUGACGGCUUGGUAGAAGUGCCGGUCCGCUCAGACGAAAAGGAUAGCCUCACCCGCGACACCACCGAUGCGGAGAUGACACGCAUCGCCACUAGGCUGGAAGAGGCGGCGGUAGCCGCAGCCGCGGGCGAAUUUGGAUUCACCAUGGAGGAGGCAGAGGCAGCAGAGGCGGCAAGCCGUGCCGAGCAAGGGGAACUCGUCGGCGAGAAAGAGCUUGCCGGGCAUGGCGUCGAGUCGAGUGAGCCCGCCGAGGAUACGAGCGGCUCGCUGGAGAUCAACUCCUCUUCCUCCUCAUCUUCAGGCAGCUUGCCGCAAGCAGAGCCUCCAUCCCCACCAAGAAGGCGUCUCCGCAAGGCCGGGGACGUAGCGGGGCGGCAGGCGAGUCGACAGUCGCCGCGCCGCGCUACACGCUCCACCGCGGCAAGCACUGUUGCCGCGGGAGCGCCUCAUGCUGCUGCGGCAACUGGAGCGGGGUCCACCCGGACCACCACUUCUGCUCCUGCCGCUUCUCACGCCACAGCGGCAGCCGGAGCGGGGUCGUCUCAGGCCACCGCCACUGUUCCCGCCAAGCGGCCAAGGGAAACUACUCCUCCGCCUCCCCGCGCCGCACGUGAGCCGGACUUCGACUUCUCCGCGUUCAGCUCCGACGAGGAAGAAGAAGAGUAAGAUUCUCUUGUUGUACUUGUAGUUCUUCAAUCCCUGAUGUCUUGUCUUGUAUCUCAUUUGCUUUACUCUGAACUUAUUCCUUUUUAGGACUCUGGCCUAGAGAGCAGCGAAGAGAGCCAAAGUCCCGGUGAUUUUCAUCAAGGACGAACCCACCGUGACAGCAGGGGGUGCGUCCGAGACAACCUUGCCGGACCCGGCAACUGUUCUCCAGAGCAGCCCCCAGCGUAAGUACAUGGUUCGCUUUCCGCUGUUAGGCGCGCAUGGAUAAUCUUUCUUUGCUGACAUCUGACUGUUAGUUUGUGUAGGAGCAGAGCAGCCCCACCAGGAGCGCCCGGAGGCCAGCCCCGAAAUGCCAAGGGAGAGUCCUCCGGCAAGGGAGAGUUCUCCAGCAAGGGACAGCACCAGCGUCCCCCCGGCGGCGGAGACUACGACUGCCGAACCCAGUACAGGUAAUCUUCUCUUCAAAGCUUCCCUUGGGUUCUUCUUCUUUUUGGGUAUUUUCUUGACUUUUCUCACUUUUCCGGCCAUCAGACCCAUCUGCUGCGGAGCCAAUGGAGACCGAGGUUGCUACCGACGACGCCGCUACCACUGAAGAAGCAGCCGGCGCUGAUGAUCCCGCUGGCGACGAGGCCGCCAAAGCUGCCGCCGCAGUAGCUGGCGAGGGGUCUGGCGAUCGCACUGACGGCCCUGAGGCCGCAGGAGCGCCAGGCGCUACGUCGACUGCCGACCCGUCCGCCGCUGCCGCAGCGCCAGGCUCCGAAGAGCCCCAGCCAGGCGUCUACUUGAAGGCCGGCGAUGGCGUCUUCAUCAACCUCCCCUGGGCGUCAAGCUCCAGGGCGCCGGACGAAGGAGAGAGCUUUGAUGGAGAGGUGCUCGCCUCCGCUGGGCUGACGUUGGUUGAUGCGCUGAGCAGCAGCAGCGGCGAGCCUGAGGAGGAGCGGCUGCUGCGGAAGCUGUUGCCGCUCUACCGCAUGCGGCAAGCCAAGCUGGAAUCCCGUGAGGCACUUGUCGCGAAGGCGGGAGCGAACAUCGAGAAGCGUGCGGAGGAGCUCCGGGGUCUCAACCAGGAAGCUCUCCGGUCCCUGGCAGAGGAGCGGGAGCAACUUGCCGAAGAGCAGAAGGCCUUCUUCUUCGAGAAGGCCGAAGUUGAAGAGCAACAGCGGCUUGCCGCUGAGAAGCUGUCUGCGCAGGAGGGCGAGCUGGUGCAGCGGAAGGUUAACCUCGACAGCCACGAGGAGGAGCUUGCUGCGCGUGAGCAAAAAUUCGGUGGGGCCCUUAAGCAAGCAGAGGAUGCUGCCGCAGUUGCCGAGGCCGCCAAGAAGGAGCUAGAGACGAAGGUGGCGCAGCUGGAGGCCGAUCUCAAGGCGAGUGGUGAAGAGCUUAGCGCCGCCAAGGACUCCAACGCAGAUCUUGAGUUGAAGCUGACCACUUUGACCAAGACGCUGGACGAUGCCAGGGAGCAGGAGGUGGCCUUGAAGGAGGAGAUCAAGGCCGACAAGGCGCUGCUGGCGAGUGCUGCCGCCGCCCAGAAUGCUUUUAGGGAGAAUGUGGAGCACUGGACGGAGGGUCUCGUGAAAGCUGCCGCAGAUAUCGACAGGGAGCUGGCGCAGCUGGGGGUGGAGGAUCUCGGGUAUCCCUCUGAUGAGAACCUCCAACCCAGCGCCAAGCUCACCUUGUUCUACAAAGGCGUGGCGACGGCCCUCCAGCGGCUCCGGGAGAAGAUCCCAAAGCAGCUGGCCGACGAGUCGCGCAAGAUCUGCGCGGGAGCUCUUCAAAAGGUGUUGGUGAAGGUGGCCUUCCGCAACCCGGGCCUCAACCUCACCAACGUCCUCAAGACCCUGCCGCCGGAUGCUGAUCUGGAGGCGCUCAAGACCCUUGUCGCACCCAUUGUGGACAAGGUGAGCGGGAUCAAGAGGAUUGAGGGUGAUCGCGUAGACUAGGCCGCCUGUUUUCUUCUUUUCUUGUCGCUGCUGGUCAUGUUAUGAAAACAAUCUGUUAGAGCCGCGACAAGCUACCUUGUAAUAUAACUCUAUUCCGGGUAAUGAUUGCAAUGUUAUUCCCUUUACUUGAUUCCUCCCUUUGUAUGUUUUGCCCCACGCUUUUAGGGAACUUGCCGGUGCAGGCACCUUAGCCGCGAGCGCUGAGUGCGGGACGUCAGCAGCCUGCUGGCGGUGCCGCUACCGACAAGAAACCUUGUGGCAACUAGUCGCAGCUCACUUAAGUUGUUGAGCGGCCUCGAAACAAAGUAAGGGCGCAACUAGCUACGAGUUGGUUCCUCCGCGCACAGUUUUUCCAUACAAAGUGCGGUCGUUCAAGGGAGAUAACUUAAAAAAUUUAAAAAAUCUGAUUGCUCAAACUUUGGCAACUUAGCUUUUCUGUUGCUUGCUUCCCGAUAAGGUGAAACUUUCUUGAACGACGCCUGGUCCAUACUAUUAUCUUCUCCUUUCCCCCCGGCAAAGUUGUGGGCGAGGGAACCUUCCUUUCCUUGAGAAAAAAGAAAGAGGAGAAAAUAAAGAUAAGGAGCCUUACGGCUCGUUAUUGCUUAUCGGGGAGUAGGUGCUGCACAAAGUGUCAGAUCACAUAUGCAAAAAAUAGAAAGCAUGAAAUUGACAAGAUGUGCGGAGCAUAUGAGCUUUACUUAUGCACGGGGUCUGCGCCCGGCUUUGUACAAAGGAUUACAUGCAAUCAGCGGCAAGACUUGUACAAAAGGUGGUUGCCGGAACAGGUUCCGGCAACCGCGCCUUACGGGUAAAACUUACGAAGAUGCUCAAUGUUCCAGGAAUUGCUCACCGGAAUGGUAUCUUCGGUCUCAAGGUGGACAGCGCCAGGCCUAGUGACUCGUUUCACCCGGUAAGGGCCUUCCCACUUUAGCGUCAACUUGUUGGAAUUCUUGGCGGACUAAACACGCCGAAGAACAAGGUGUUGGAAAUAUGCCCUAGAGGCAAUAAUAAAAGUAUUAUUAUAUUUCUAUGUUCAUGAUAAUUGUCUUUUAUUCAUGCUAUAACUGUAUUAUCAGGAAAUCAUAAUACACGUGUGAAUACAAAGACCACAAUAUGUCCCUAGUGAGCCUCUAGUUGACUAGCUCGUUGUGAUCAACAGAUAGUCAUGGUUUCCUGGCUAUGGACAUUGGAUGUCGUUGAUAACGGGAUCACAUCAUUAGGAGAAUGAUGUGAUGGACAAGACCCAAUCCUAAGCAUAGCACAAAGAUCGUGUAGUUCGUUUGCUAGAGCUUUGCCAAUGUCAAGUAUCUCUUCCUUUGACCAUGAGAGCGUGUAACUCCUGGAUACCGUAGGAGUGCUUUGGGUGUAUCAAACGUCACAACGUAACUGGGUGACUAUAAAGGUGCACUACAGGUAUCUCCGAAAGUAUCUAUUGUUUUAUGCGGAUCGAGACUGGGAUUUGUCACUCCGUAUGAAGGAGAGGUAUCUCUGGGCCCACUCAGUAAUGCAUCAUCAUAAUGAGCUCAAGGUGACCAAGGUGUUGGCCGUGGGAUCAUGCAUUACGGUACGAGUAAAGUGACUUGCCGGUAACGAGACUGAACAAGGUAUUGGGAUACCGACGAUCGAGUCUCGGGCAAGUAACGUACCGAUUGACAAAGGGAAUUGUAUACAGGGUUUGAUCGAAUCCUCGACAUCGUGGUUCAACCGAUGAUAUCAUCGAGGAGCAUGUGGGAGCCAACAUGGGUAUCCAGACCCCGCUGUUGGUUAUUGCCCGAGAGUGGUUUCGGUCAUGUCUGCAUGUCUCCCGAGCCCGUAGGGUCUACACACUUAAGGUUCGGUGACGCUAGGGUUGUUAGGAAGACUAGUAUGUGACUACCGAAUGUUGUUCGGAGUCCCGGAUGAGAUCCCGGACGUCACGAGGAGUUCCGGAAUGGUCCGGAGGUAAAGUUUUAUAUAUGGGAAGUUGUUAAACGGGCACCGGAAAGUUUUGGGGUCAUACCGGUAUUGUACCGGGACCACCGGAAGGAAUCCGGGGGUCCACCGGGAGGGGCCACCCCUCCCGGGGGCCACUUGGGCUGCGUGGGGAUUGCAGCCAUCCCCUAGUGGGCUUGGCGCGCCCCCCUCCUUGGGCCCAUGCGCCUAGGGGUGGGGGGGAAACCCUAAAGGGGGCGCACCCCCUUGCUUGGGGGGCAAGCCCCCCACCCCUUGGCCUCCGCCCCCCCUUAGGGUUUUCCCUAGAGGGCCGGACCCCCUUGCCCUUUCCCCUAUAUAUAGAGGGGUGAGGGGAGGGCUGCAAUACACCAUAACUCAAGGCGCAGCCCCUCCCCUCCCCAACACAUCUCCUCCUCCGUACGUGCUUGGCGAAGCCCUGUCGGAAUACUGCCGCGUCAACUGCACCACGCCGUCGUGCUGCCGUUGGAGCUGCCUUCCUCAACCUCUCCUUCCUCCUUGCUGGAUCAAGACGGAGGAGACGUCUCCCGUCCCGUACGUGUGUUGAACGCGGAGGUGCUGUCCGUUCAGCACUAGGACAUCGGUGAUCCGAAUCACGUUCGAGUACGACUCCAUCAUCACCAUCUCCUUGGCAAGCUUCCGCUCGUGAUCUACAAGUGGUAUGUAGAUGCAAACUCUCUCCCUUGACUCGUUGCUUAGAUGAACUCAUAGAUGGAUCUUGGUGAAACCGUAGGAAAAAUUUUAAUUUUCUGCAACGUUCCCCAACAGUGGUAUCAGAGCUAGGUCUAUGCGUAGUUCUCUUUGCACGAGUAGAACACAAUUUUGUUGUGGGCGUGGAUCUUGUCAUCUUACUUGCCUCUACUAGUCUUUUCUUGCUUCGGCGGUAUUGUGGGAUGAAGCGGCCCGGACCAACCUUACACAUACGCUUACGUGAGACCGGUUCCACCGAUUAACAUGCACUAGUUGCAUAAGGUGGCUGGCGGGUGUCUGUCUCUCCCACUUUAGUUGGAGCGGAUUCGAUGAAAAGGGCCCUUAUGAAGGGUAAAUAGAAGUUGACAAAAUCACGUUGUGGUUAUUCGUAGGUAAGAAAACGUUCUUGCUAGAACCCAAUUGCAGCCACGUAAAAGAUGCAACAACAAUUAGAGGACGUCUAACUUGUUUUUGCAGCAAUUGAUCAAGUGAUGUGAUAUGGCCAGAAGUUGUGAUGAAUGAUGAAUUGUGAUGUAUGAGAUCAUGUUCUUUGUAAUAGGAUUCACGACUUGCAUGUCGAUGAGUAUGACAACCGGCAGGAGCCAUAGGAGUUGUCUUUAUUUUUGUAUGACCUGCGUGUCAUUGAAGAACGCCAUGUAACUUACUUUACUUCAUUGCUAAACGCGUUAGUCAUAGAAGUAGAAGUAGUCGUUGGCGUGACAACUUCAUGAAGACACGAUGAUGGAGAUCAUGAUGAUGGAGAUCAUGGUGUCAAGCCGGUGACAAGAUGAUCAUGGAGCCCCGAAGAUGGAGAUCAAUGGAGCUAUAUGAUAUUGGCCAUAUCAUGUCACAACUAUAUAAUUGCAUGUGAUGUUUAUUAUGUUUAUGCAUCUUGUUUACUUAGGACGACGGUAGUAAAUAAGAUGAUCCCUUACAAAAAUUUCAAGAAGUGUUCUCCCCUAACUGUGCACCGUUGCUACAGUUCGUCGCUUCUAAGCACCACGUGAUGAUCGGGUGUGAUGGAUUCUUACGUUCACAUACAACGGGUGUAAGACAGUUUUACACAGCAAAAACACUUAGGGUUAACUUGACGAGCCUAGCAUGUGCAGACAUGGCCUCGGAACACGGAGACCGAAAGGUCGAACACGAGUCGUAUGAAAGAUACGAUCAACAUGAGAAUGUUCACCGAUGAUGACUAGUCCGUCUCACGUGAUGAUCGGACACGGGCUAGUCGACUCGGAUCGUGUAACACUUAGAUGACUAGAGGGAUGUCUAAUCUAAGUGGGAGUUCAUAAUUUGAUUAGAACUUAAUUAUCAUGAACUUAGUCUAAAACCUUUGCAAAUAUGUCUUGUAGAUCAAAUGGCCAACGCUCAUGUCAACAUGAACUUCAACGCGUUCCUAGAGAAAACCAAGCUGAAAGAUGAUGGCAGCAACUAUACGGACUGGGUCUGGAACCUGAGGAUCAUCCUCAUAGCUGCCAGGAAACAAUAUGUCCUAGAAGGACCGCUAGGUGACGCUCCCGUCCCAGAGAACCAAGACAUUAUGAAUGCUUGGCAAACCCGUGCUGAUGAUUACUCCCUCGUUCAGUGCGGCAUGCUUUACAGCUUAGAACCGGGGCUCCAAAAGCGUUUUGAGCAUCACGGAGCAUAUGAGAUGUUCGAAGAGCUGAAACUAGUUUUCCAAGCUCACGCCCGGGUCGAGAGAUAUGAUGUCUCCGACAAGUUCUAUAGUUGUAAGAUGGAGGAAAACAGUUCUGUCAGUGAACACAUCCUGAAGAUGUCUGGGUUACACAACCGUAUGACCCAGCUGAAUAUUAACCUCCCAGAUGAGGCGGUCAUUGAUAGAAUCCUCCAGUCGCUCCCACCAAGCUAGAAGAGCUUUGUGAUGAACUACAAUAUGCAGGGGAUGGUAAAGACCAUUCCUGAAGUAUUUUCUAUGCUGAAGUCAGCAGAGGUUGAAAUCAAGAAAGAACAUCAAGUGUUGAUGGUCAAUAAGACCACUAAGUUCAAGAAGGGCAAGGGUAAGAAGAACUUCAAGAAGGACAGCAAGGAGGUUGCCGCGCCCGGUAAGCCAGUUGCCGGGAAGAAGUCAAAGAAUGGACCCAAGCCUGAGACUGAGUGCUUUUAUUGCAAGGGGAAGGGUCACUGGAAGCGGAACUGCCCAAAUACUUAGCGGAUAAGAAGGCCGGCAACACCAAAGGUAUAUUUGAUAUACAUGUAAUUGAUGUGUACCUUACCAGUACUCGUAGUAACUCCUGGGUAUUUGAUACCGGUGCUGUUGCUCAUAUUUGUAACUCACAGCAGGAGCUGCGGAUAAACGGAGGCUGGGGAAGGAUGAGGUGACGAUGCGCGUCGGGAAUGGUUCCAGAGUCGAUGUGAUCGCCGUCGGCACGCUGCCUCUACAUUUACCUACGGGAUUAGUUUUGAACCUUAAUAAUUGUUAUUUAGUGCCAAGUUUGAGCAUGAACAUUGUAUCUGGAUCUCGUUUAAUACGAGAUGGCUACUCAUUUAAGUCCGAGAAUAAUGGUUGUUCGAUUUAUAUGAGAGAUAUGUUUUAUGGUCAUGCUCCGAUGGUCAAUGGUUUAUUCUUAAUGAAUCUCGAGUGUAAUAUUACACAUGUUCAUAGUGUAGAUGCCAAAAGAUGUAAAGUUGAUAACGAUAGUCCCACAUACUUGUGGCACUGCCGCCUUGGUCACAUUGGUGUCAAGCGCAUGAAGAAGCUCCAUGCUGAUGGACUUUUGGAGUCUCUUGAUUAUGAAUCGUUUGACACAUGCGAACCAUGCCUCAUGGGCAAAAUGACCAAGACUCCGUUCUCCGGAACAAUGGAGCGAGCAACCAACUUGUUGGAAAUCAUACAUACCGAUGUGUGUGGUCCAAUGAGCGUCGAGGCUCGCGGAGGAUAUCGUUAUGUUCUCACUCUAACUGAUGACUUAAGUAGAUAUGGGUAUGUCUACUUAAUGAAACACAAGUCUGAGACCUUUGAAAAGUUCAAAGAAUUUCAGAAUGAGGUGGAGAAUCAACGUGACCAAAAGAUAAAGUUCCUACGAUCAGAUCGUGGAGGAGAAUACUUAAGUCACGAAUUUGGCACACACUUAAGGAAAUGUGGAAUCGUUUCACAACUCACGCCGCCUGGAACACCUCAGCGAAACGGUGUGUCCGAACGUCGUAAUCGCACUCUAUUGGAUAUGGUGCGGUCUAUGAUGUCUCUUACCGAUUUACCGCUAUCAUUUUGGGGAUACGCUCUAGAGACAGCUACAUUCACUUUAAAUAGGGCACCGUCUAAAUCCGUUGAGAUGACACCGUAUGAAUUAUGGUUUGGGAAGAAACCUAAGCUGUCGUUUCUAAAAGUUUGGGGAUGCGAUGCUUAUGUCAAGAAACUUCAACCUGAAAAGCUCGAACCCAAGUCGGAAAAAUGCGUCUUCAUAGGAUACCCUAAGGAAACUGUAGGGUAUACCUUCUACUUAAGAUCCGAAGGCAAGAUCUUUGUUGCCAAAAACGGAUGCUUUCUGGAAAAAGAGUUUCUCUCGAAAGAAGUAAGUGGGAGGAAAGUAGAACUCGAUGAAGUACUACCUCUCGAACGGGAAAGUGGUGCAGCUCAAGAAAAUGUUCCUGUGAUGCCCACACCAAUUGAAGAGGAAACCAAUGAUGAUGAUCAAGGUACUUCGGAUCAAGUUGCUACUGAACUUCGUAGGUCCACAAGGACACGUUCCGCACCAGAGUGGUACGGCAACCCUGUCCUGGAAAUCAUGUUGUUAGACAACGGUGAACCUUCGAACUAUGAAGAAGCGAUGGCGGGCCCAGAUUCCAACAAAUGGCUAGAAGCCAUGAAAUCCGAGAUAGAAUCCAUGUAUGAAAACAAAGUAUGGACUUUGACUGACUUGCCCGAUUAUAGGCGAGCGAUAGAAAACAAAUGGAUCUUUAAGAAGAAGACGGACGCGGAUGGUAAUGUCACCAUCUAUAAAGCUCGACUUGUCGCUAAGGGUUAUCGACAAGUUCAAGGGAUUGACUACGAUGAGACAUUCUCUCCCGUAGCGAAGCUUAAGUCCGUCCGAAUCAUGUUAGCAAUUGCCGCAUACUAUGAUUAUGAGAUAUGGCAGAUGGACGUCAAAACGGCAUUCCUUAACGGGUAUCUUAAGGAAGAGUUGUAUAUGAUGCAGCCGGAAGGUUUUGUCGAUCCUAAGAACGCUAACAAAGUAUGCAAGCUCCAGCGAUCCAUUUAUGGGCUGGUGCAAGCAUCUCGGAGUUGGAAUAUUCGCUUUGAUGAGAUGAUCAAAGCGUUUGGGUUUAUGCAGACUUAUGGAGAAGCCUGCGUUUACAAGAAAGUGAGUGGGAGCUCUGUAGCAUUUCUCAUAUUAUAUGUGGAUGACAUACUCUUGAUGGGAAAUAAUAUAGAAUUUCUGGACAUCAUUAAGGCCUACUUGAACAAAUGUUUUUCAAUGAAGGACCUUGGAGAAGCUGCUUAUAUAUUAGGCAUCAAGAUCUAUAGAGAUAGAUCGAGACGCCUCAUAGGUCUUUCACAAAGCACAUACCUUGAUAAGAUUUUGAAAAAGUUCAAAAUGGAUGAGUCCAAGAAAGGGUUCUUGCCUAUGUUACAAGGUGUGAGAUUGAGCUCAGCUCAGUCACCGACCACGGCAAAAGAUAAAGAAGAGAUGAGUGUCAUCCCCUAUGCUUCAGCCAUAGGAUCUAUUAUGUAUGCCAUGCUGUGUACCAGACCUGAUGUAAACCUUGCCGUGAGUUUGGUAGCAAGAUACCAGAGUAAUCCCGGCAAGGAACACUGGACAGUGGUCAAGAAUAUCCUGAAGUACCUGAAAAGGACAAAGGACAGGUUUCUCGUUUAUGGAGGUGACAAAGAGCUCGUCGUAAAGGGUUACGUCAACGCUAGCUUCGACACAGAUCUGGAUGACUCUAAGUCACAAACCGGAUACGUGUAUAUGUUGAAUGGUGGAGCAGUAAGCUGGUGCAGCUGCAAGCAGAGCGUCGUGGCGGGAUCUACAUGUGAAGCGGAGUACAUGGCAGCCUCGGAGGCAGCGCAUGAAGCUAUUUGAGUGAAGGAGUUCAUCACCGACCUAGGAGUCAUACCCAAUGCGUCGGGGCCAAUCAAACUCUUCUGUGACAACACUGGAGCUAUUGCCCUUGCCAAGGAGCCCAGGUUUCACAAGAAGACCAGGCACAUCAAGCGUCGUUUCAACUGCAUCCGUGAAAAUGUUCAAGAUGGAGACAUAGAAAUUUGCAAAGUACAUAAGGAUCUGAAUGUCGCAGAUCCGUUGACUAAACCUCUCUCGCGAGCAAAAGAUGAUCAACACCAGAACUCUAUGGGUGUUCGAUUCAUCACAAUGUAACUAGAUUGGUGACUCUAGUGCAAGUGGGAGACUGUUGGAAAUAUGCCCUAGAGGCAAUAAUAAAAGUAUUAUUAUACUUCUAUGUUCAUGAUAAUUGUCUUUUAUUCAUGCUAUAACUGUAUUAUCAGGAAAUCAUAAUACACGUGUGAAUACAAAGACCACAAUAUGUCCCUAGUGAGCCUCUAGUUGACUAGCUCGUUGUGAUCAACAGAUAGUCAUGGUUUCCUGGCUAUGGACAUUGGAUGUCGUUGAUAACGGGAUCACAUCAUUAGAAGAAUGAUGUGAUGGACAAGACCCAAUCCUAAGCAUAGCACAAAGAUCGUGUAGUUCAUUUGCUAGAGCUUUGCCAAUGUCAAGUAUCUCUUCCUUUGACCAUGAGAGCGUGUAACUCCUGGAUACCGUAGGAGUGCUUUGGGUGUAUCAAACGUCACAACGUAACUGGGUGACUAUAAAGGUGCACUACAGGUAUCUCCGAAAGUAUCUAUUGUUUUAUGCGGAUCGAGACUGGGAUUUGUCACUCCGUAUGACGGAGAGGUAUCUCUAGGCCCACUCGGUAAUGCAUCAUCAUAAUGAGCUCAAGGUGACCAAGGUGUUGGCCACGGGAUCAUGCAUUACGGUAUGAGUAAAGUGACUUGCCGGUAACGAGACUGAACAAGGUAUUGGGAUACCGACGAUCGAGUCUCGGGCAAGUAACGUACCGAUUGACAAAGGGAAUUGUAUACAGGGUUUGAUCGAAUCCUCGACAUCGUGGUUCAACCAAUGAUAUCAUCGAGGAGCAUGUGGGAGCCAACAUGGGUAUCCAGACCCCGCUGUUGGUUAUUGCCCGAGAGUGGUUUCGGUCAUGUCUGCAUGUCUCCCGAGCCCGUAGGGUCUACACACUUAAGGUUCGGUGACGCUAGGGUUGUUAGGAAGACUAGUAUGUGACUACCGAAUGUUGUUCGGAGUCUCGGAUGAGAUCCCGGACAUCACGAGGAGUUCCGGAAUGGUCCGGAGGUAAAGUUUUAUAUAUGGGAAGUUGUUAAACGGGCACCGGAAAGUUUCGGGGUCAUACCGGUAUUGUACCGGGACCACCGGAAGGAAUCCAGGGGUCCACCGGGAGGGGCCACCCCUCCCGGGGGCCACUUGGGCUGCGUGGGGAUUGCAGCCAGCCCCUAGUGGGCUUGGCGCGCCCCCCUCCUUGGGCCCAUGCGCCUAGGGGUGGGGGGGGAACCCUAACGGGGGCGCACCCCCCUUGCUUGGGGGGCAAGCCCCCCACCCCUUGGCCGCCGCCCCCCCUUAGGGUUUUCCCUAGAGGGCCGGCCCCCCUUGCCCUUUCCCCUAUAUAUAGAGGGGUGAGGGGAGGGCUGCAAUACACCAUAACUCAAGGCGCAGCCCCUCCCCUCCCCAACACAUCUCCUCCUCCAUACGUGCUUGGCGAAGCCCUGUCGGAAUACUGCCGCGUCAACUGCACCACGCCGUCGUGCUGCCGUUGGAGCUGCCUUCCUCAACCUCUCCUUCCUCCUUGCUGGAUCAAGACGGAGGAGACGUCUCCCGUCCCGUAUGUGUGUUGAACGCGGAGGUGCUGUCCGUUCAGCACUAGGACAUCGGUGAUCCGAAUCACGUUCGAGUACGACUCCAUCGUCACCAUCUCCUUGGCAAGCUUCCGCUCGUGAUCUACAAGUGGUAUGUAGAUGCAAACUCUCUCCCUUGACUCGUUGCUUAGAUGAACUCAUAGAUGGAUCUUGGUGAAACCGUAGGAAAAAUUUUAAUUUUCUGCAACGUUCCCCAACACAAGGUCACCUUCCUCGAGACUUCUGGCGUUAACUUUGCGGCUAUGGUAGCGGCGCAAAGCUUGCUGGUAGCGAGCAGCUCGUACAGCAGCCUGAAGACGGUCUUCCUCAAGGAGUAGCGCGUCAUCUUGUCGCAGCUGCUCUUGCUCAAGCUCAUCAUAAGCGAGCACUCGAGGUGACCCGUAUACGAGUUCCGUGGGGAGAACUGCCUCUGCUCCAUAGACUAGAGCGAAAGGUGUCUGGCCAGUGGCUCGAUUUGGCAUUGUCCUGAUCGACCAAAGAACCACCGGCAGCUCCUCGAUCCAGUUUCUUCCGCACUUAUGCAGCCUGUCGAAAGUUCUGGUCUUGAGCCCAUGCAGCACUUCAGCAUUUGCCCUCUCCACUUGACCGUUGCUUCUCGGUUGAGCAACAGAAGCGAAGCAGACCUUGGCGCCAAGAUCUUGGACGUACUGCAUGAAGGUGCGGCUCGUGAAUUGCGUACCGUUGUUGGUGAUUAUCCUGUUAGGGAUCCCGAAGCGGCAAACAAUCGACCUGAAGAACUUGACUGCUGACUGUGCUGUCACCUUCCUCACUACUUCCACUUCCGGCCACUUUAUGAACUUGUCGAUUGCAACGUACAAGUACUCAAAGCCCCGACUGCUCGGGGAAAGGGGCCGAGGAUGUCGAGCCCCCAGACCGAAAAUGGCCAGGAUAAAGGGAUCAUCUGGAGAGCUUGAGCUGGUUGGUGUAUCUGCUUGGAAUGGAACUGGAACGCUUCACACUUGGUUACUUGUGCAGUUGCAUCCUGGAGGGCUGUCGGCCAAAAGAAACCUUGCCGGAAUGCUUUGCCGGCAAGUGCUCUUGCGCCAAUGUGGUGACCACAUAUGCCUCCAUGUAUCUCUGCCAACAGCUUUUGUCUGUCUUCCCGGUGAAUACACUUCAAUUUCACAUCGUUGAGUCUUCUUCUGUACAGUGUGUUGUCGACAAACUGGUACAUACUCGACUGCCGGGCUACUCUUUCCGCUUCUUCUUACUCUUCAGGAAGUUCUCCUGUCUGAAGGAAACGGACAAUCUGCUGUGCCCAUGCUGGAGCUUGUGGCUCGACAACAAGGACUAAAGGCAAAUCUGCUGCUGCGGGAACAUCCGCUUUUACGGCGAGAACCUGCGGCUCUGCCGGAGCUUGACGUUCCCCGGCAAGCUUGCCGGAGCAAAACUUGUCGGGAGCUUCUGUUGUAGUGGCGGGUGGCGGUGGCGAACGGUGCGAAGAGCGGGAUAUGCUCGGACUUCUAACUAUGUUAGAAGGAGCAGUAUCCCGUCCAGGCGACCGUGCCUCGCUCGUUCCAGCAUGUUGGCGUGCAUGCUGGUCUUGAGCACUCCGAGAUCCACCAGCUCGAUCUUGGUCCAGCAAACGCAUGGUACCGUGAGUACCAUGACGCUGCCGGUCCCGUGCCUCCUGAGAUGGGCGCAGUGCAUGUACGGACGUCGAGGUCUUGGAGUGCGCCCGGUCGUUGUGGGAGCCGGCUACGCCGCCGAUGGGCAGCGCGGCCUUGUCCUUGGACCUGGCAGCACCGUGAGCUCCCUCGCCGACGCCCAUUCUUCCGCCGGCGUCUGCCCCAUCAGCUGUUUGCUCCGGCGGUGGUGGGUUCGGCGCGGACGGAGCAGCCGCCUCCGAAGCCUUCUUCUUCGGCGGCUUGUCGAUAAAGAUGAUGAAGAUCUAGCUCAUGUGAACACCGGAUCUGGUUCACACAACCUCAAAGCCCCCUACCUGGCACGCCAAAGAUGUCGGGGGACUAAUCCACGAACACCUAUGGGACCGGCGGACCGAGUCCCUUUCGGUUCGGCGGGGGCGAGGGUCGCACGAAGAGCGGAUCGAGGCGAAGCACACGAGCAGUUUACCCAGGUUCGGGCCGCACGGAUGCGUAAAACCCUACUCCUGCUUUGUGGUUUGUAUUGAGUUCUUGCUCGGGAGCGCGGAGUGCUACAGUACACCUCAGCAGCUAACGAGACCGAGCGUGAGUGUUCUCUUCCUCCCCCCUCUACGUUGUGCAUGGGCCUCCUUUUAUAUGCUCAAGGGGUCACCGACAGGUGGCAACGUAGACAAGGGUAAAAAUGGAAAGGUGCUGCGGUUGGUACAGCUACCUGCUACAGUGUAUCAUACCUAACCCUGACGGCAGGGGACAAGGGCAUUAAAUGCCCGUCUGCGUCGCCUAAAUAGUGCAAAAGGGACCGCCAGGGACGCCUCCGCUCGCCACGAUGGCAAUCUUGUCAGUGCCGCUUGCCACCGCGCACCGCUGGCUGCACAUCCUCCCGCCACGUACGCCUGGAAGGGUCCCAGAGCGACACGUUGGUGGAUGUGCUGGAGCGCGGGCACAGAGUGGUGGCUUUCCGCGGCAAGCGCCUUGCCGCGGUCGUUGUCUUGUCGCGUCCGGGAGCUUGUCGCUCACCGGGCCUUGCCGGGACGCGUGGCGUGUCACGGCAAGUUCCUUGAGAUGCCUUGGUUGGCCUUCCCGGCAAGCUCCUCUUGCCGGGGUCUCGUCUCCUUGGCUUGGAUACUUUGUCCUUGAAUGGCUCCAAAGGAACCACGGAGGACCUUGGCGGUCACCCGGCAAGCCUUGCCGUGGGAUGCUGCGACUGCCCAUGCACAAGUUCGGGAUACUAGGGUACCCAUACUCUAGUACACCGACAGGGUUCGACGUCUAGUGGUCCGCCUAUUCACGGUCGGUUUUACAGUGGUCUCGUUGUGUCUUAAAGAGUCCUUGGCUAUGCCGACUCGGGGACGCUUCGUAUGUCAUGUGCACUGCCUUGUACAUGAUGGUGUUGUACGAUCGAGCCCGUGUAGGCCCCACCACAAAAACUUCGGAUGAAAUCUCUAUCAUAUGUUUGUUCCGGCUUACUCUGGAAGCCAAUCCUUUGUUUUGUUUUGAGUUGUGGUAUUCGAGUUGCUUCAAUGUCAAGUGUUGAUUCCAUACCUUCCCCAAAUGGUGUUCUCAUACUCCUAUGUGAAUACUAAACCUUCAUGAUAAUCGAGACUGUCAUGUCAAUCCUUUUCAACUGGUGUGCUUCUCUUCAAGUGGAUUCGAUCAUUUCAACUUCCACAAGAUCAAUUAUCAGUUCUUCUCAAUGGUGUUUGUUUCAUCCGUCUCCAAGUUGCCUUUGUUUUCCCACCCUCCCCCCCUUUGUUUCUUCAAGGACUCAGAUUUCUUCAUCAGGUAUCCAUUUUAUUCUUGUGAAGUCUCUCCAUUCUUUUCCUUCAUGUUCUUACCCGGUGAUUCUCAUGAAGAUUCUAACAGAGCCUCAAGUCUGGCACUCUUCACUCGUUUUCUUCUCCGGUGGAUUCAAAUCUAGCUUUGGUGUUGAUCACAUCCUUUCCUCGUUUCAAUGCUUUCUCAUGCCGGUGCACCUCUUAAUCUUCCACUUCUCACUAUUCAAUUGUUCCGGAGUGCUCAAGAUAUCUCAGAGGAUGUUAGUGUUUAUUCUCAUUCUUUCAAGAUCUUUUGAGAAUGUUAUCUUAUUCAAACCAUUUAAUUCAACCGGUGCUUUCUCUCUUAAAUCGUUCAAUGGUGUUCUUUUCAGUGGUCCCUAACCCACAGGUCUUUUCCCAGGAUCUUACCUGACUCUUCUAAUUUUUCCCGGAGCUAUCCUAAAUUCUUGUCAAAGUUUGACGUAAGUAUGAUUUAUCAUCGGUCAAAUGUGUUUUCCUCCAAAAUCUCUCAAUUCUUUUCAUCAUUGGUUCAACCUUUAUAAUUUUCCAUCCCGGAGUAUCUCAACAAUUCAUGGUGGUGUUUCUCAUCGGCAUUCUCAACAUUUGAAGACCGAAGAAGAGUUUCUCUUUAAUCUUGCUCUUUUCUCUUCAAGAUUCGUGAUUCUAGCUUGUUGCCAUCCUCUCGUAAUUGUAUUGAUCGUGAGAAUUCUUUUCACCUAUCCGGAGCAAUUCAAGAUUCUGCUAAAUUUGAUUAUCCGGAGGCCAUAAUUUCGGGAUUAUUCAUUCUCAGCUUUCAGCUAUCAUUCUCCAAUUUUACCGGUGUUUCGCUCAAGUGAUCUUUAAUCGGCUCGUGAUCUCUUUUUUCUCUUUUAUGUAAAUUCCCCUCAAGUAUCUUCAUUUGCUCUCUAAUUCUUCCCGGUGCUUCUUUAUUUUUCUUCUUCGUUCAUUUUCAAUUCUUACAGUGGUUUGCUCAAGAUUCUAUUCCAUGGUUAUCAUAUCAACUCAUUCGUUGUUUUCCAAAUCCUACCGAUGGCUUGUUGAAGACCGUCUCAAGUUUGCGCUAUAUCUCGCUUAAUCCUCUCUACGAGAAUAAGUAGUGUGCCAAAUCCGUUGCUUGUCAUCAAUUAAAUUGGUGAAGGAUAAGCAUAAUGUAAUUCUUAUUCUUGUUUCAUCCAAUUGAUUUAAUUUCUUAUUCCGGAGGUUCAUCAAAUUCUCGAUUCAAGUUGUCCAUCUUUCUUUUCCGGAGUUCCAAGUUUCCACUCAAUCUCAUCGCAAAGCUUCAUCUAAUCAUUACAAGGUUUCACCUUGUGUUUUCAACUUCUCUUUCUUUUUGUUAUUCUUUUGUAUCGGAGUUCUUCAUGGAGAUUCUACAUGGUGGUUCAUCAAGGCUUUAAAUUCCUUCUCGAAGUGUUCAUCAACAUUCAUUUCUAAGGAGCUCAAGCAUUCUCAUCUUGCAAUCCGGAGUUCAAUCUUUCUUCCGUAUCAUUGGAGGUGGUAUUAUGUCAUUCUUGAUAAUUUGGAAUUCAUGCUUCAUGAUUCACAUGUUGUCAUGAAUGAGAUAUUUUAAAUCCAUCAAUCUCGUCAUUGGAAUUAUCUUGGGUUAUAUUUCACCUAAAGCUUUCCCUAAGGAGUAAUGCUAUUAAUGGUGAUAUUAUAUGAUCCAAGAUUUUCAUUUAUCCUCCCGGUGAAAUAGUUUCUCGUCUCCUUGUUCUUAUCAAUCCAAUUCUUUUCCCGUGAGUGGCAGGUUGUCACCUCAUAAUUUGAGAUGUACUCCAUAAGACCUUAUCAAGCUUAUUCUUUUCGUUGUUGGUUUUCCAACAACUCCGUUCUAGCAUUUGUUGUAAGUGUGCUCCCUCAAGAUUGUGUUUCCCUUUGUUCAUUCCAUUUCAUUCUUACUUUUGUUCCAGAGGCAUUGUGAUGUUGCUUUCUUCAACCAUCAUCUCGUUUCAUCAAAGAUUAUGUUCUUUUCAUGAUUGUCCAUUUAACUGGAGUGCCGUGCCCUCUUUUCAAGAUCUAUCACCUUAUCAAGUUCUUAUUUAAUUCCUUUUAUUGUCAAUCAGAGUGCUGCCCGAGGUUGUUCUCCCUUGUUUCCUCUUUUCUAACAGAGUGUUUUCAGCUUCGAUCAUCUCCAUUGUUUACGUUUCUCAAAAUGGCUUAACCUUUUUCAAGGUUCUUUGGUCUUACUCGUUUGUCAAAGAAGCAACUUAGUUUUACCUCUUCUCUUUCUCUUCCGUUUUCCCUCCGGUGCCAUUCUAGAUCUCGGGACGAGAUCCUCUCGUAGUGGUGGAGUGUUGUAACGCCCCGAGACCGAUGUGACAGGUGUCCUCCAGUUAUUCGCUGUUGUUGCCUUGUCAUUUGCUUGCGUGUUGCAUCUUAUCAUGUCAUCAUGUGCAUUGCAUCAUCAUGUUUUCGAAACUUGCAUCCGUCCCGUUCUCCUCGUUCCGUCCGUUGUCCAUUCUGAGCCCAAACACACUUGCACGCGCCCGCGGCAUGUCUGAAAUAUUAUUUUAUAAGUGGCCAGAAAAUGUUCUCGGAAUGGGAUGAAAGUUGGCGUGUGGUCUUAUUAUAGUGUAGAUAGACCGCCUGUCAAGUUUCAUCGCAUUCGGAGUUCGUUUGAUAGCCCAACCGUUAACUAUAGCGGCAAUAUAGCCGGUCUAACGUCGGACGUUUUCGGUCUCCGGAAACCGUGCUAGGCUGCAUCUCUCCCCUCUUCUCUCAGACCAACCAGCUCUUCACAAUACGCCAGACCCAACCUAACCUCUCUCGUCAGCCCGCGGCCCUCCUCGCGCGCGUCCGAAAGUUGUCCCAGACCCGACCCGGACAGUCGCUACCGUUGUGUCCGGAUCAUCUCCAAACGUCUACAAAACGUCAUCGUUUUCUUAUUUGGACUCCCUAGCUAUUUUAUUCGCGUCCGUCCGAUUACGAUUGGAGGGAUCCGAUAGCCCCUAACUAUUUCCACCUGCCAUAUAUAUACUAGGUCCAACCCUAAUAAUCAGGAGCCUUGUCCCAUCCUCCCAGCAGCCGCCGCCGCUCCUAGAUCCACCUCGGGAUCCCCUUCACUCGAACCAGCCACCGACCCCCUCCUCCUCGAUUUCAGCUACCAACCAACCUUCGCUUUCUUCUGCCUCCUGUCGUCCCAGGGAAGAGGACAUUCUCUUGGAGCCCGAGCUCCUCUUCCCGAGCUGCAGCCACCCCGCAGCGUCCAACCUCGCCGGCCUCCAGGUCCUCUGCUUCUCCUCUGUUUUCUUCUUCCCCCUCUCCCGAUUUCUUCCUCUCUCACGAUCUCCCUCUCUCUCUGUUUUUUUCAUCAGCUGCAGGUUGCCGCCGCCUUGGUCAACCCUCGCCGGAGCUCCGUCGACGCCCCGUUGGCCGGAUCCGGCCCGGAAACAGGCGGAUCCAUCCAUCCCCGCCUGAGCCCCGUGCCCUUCGCCGCCUCCCAUACGCCUCUGCUCGUGCCUGAGCACGAGCGCCUCACCGGACGCCUCACGCAGCAGUCCCGCAUCAAGUCUCGCACUGUCGUCCUUGUCCUCGUAGCCUCCCCGCUCUCCUCGUCGGCGUAGGGAGAUGAGCCCCUCUCGAACUCCAGCAACGGCGCCGCCCCUCGCAUCGACUGCCGCCGUCGCCAUGGCCUACUUCGCCUCGACGCCAUGGCCGCCCGAACCUGAAGCUCCAUCCUGCCUCGUUCCACGCCUUGGUUCCGGCCAGAACGGGCCGUCCCUGACCUCCACCGCCCAGAUCCGCCGCCGCGCCGUCCCGGAGUCCCACGCCAAGUCCUCCGCCGGCGCUCCUUGCCUCGUUCGUCAGGGAAACGACGAGUACGUGGCUCGUCAACGCUCCAGCCGCUGACCACGACCGUGUGCGCCUCGUCCACGUCUUCCAGGAAGGCUACGACGACACGCGUGGGCUGCGCCAGUGCAAGCCCAAAUCCCUCGAUCCACCCACCGGCCUAGCUUCGCCUCUGCCAGACUCUCCUCCAGCAAGGCCCCUCAAGGCCCAGCCGUCUGCCUCGUCCAGCCCAACACCAACCGGGCCAAGCCCAAUGUGAGAAGCACCCCUCCAGCCCCUGUGCACUGUCUGGCCAGCAAGAUUCGGCCCAUGUCAUGUUUUUUCCCGUCCUACGAAUUUGCUAUUUAAUCAGAGAACUGCAGUUUUUCAGAAAAACCCCUAGAGUUCUUGCAUAUCAUAACUCACCAACCGUGCAUCGGAUCUAAAUAAAUUAUAUAUGAAAGUUGCUUAGAAUUUUGUCUAGUUUAAGAAUAUUCAACUUUCAUGCAUGUUUGAAAUAUUUAAAAUGCUGUUUGGUUAAAUUUUCUCAAAUAACUUGUUAAAAUGUUUUAAUUCAUAACUAAAUAACCGUAACUCGGAUUUUAAUAAUCUUUAUAUGUAAAUGGGGUAGAAAAAUGCCUAGAUUUACAUGGUAGCCUCAUCUUGCAUGUUUAACAACUCUAAAAUAAUGUUUAGGGCAGAACAGUACCAAACCUUAAAUUAUGCAUAUGAGGAUUUUCCGGAAUUGUUGUUCGUUCCUUCCGGCCUCAUUUAAACUUGCCUAGAUAGGUAGUUUUGUUGUGCUUCACCCCUUGCCAUGUUAAUCAACAUUUAAUAUUGUUGGGUACAUAAACGAGAUCGAACUAAAUAACUUAUCGUGGUGUUUCGUCAAUAUGCACCGUUGCAUAUUGAGCUCCACUUAAUUUGUAGGAUUGCUUGUGCACUUUGCCAUGCCAUGCUUCAUUAAACCGGACAUGCAUCAUACUUGAUUGUGCAUCAUGCCAUGAUUAUGUGGUGGUUGUUUACUAUGUUGUGUGCUUCUUUCCGGUGUUUGCUUCGUCGGGUUGGUUCCGGUAACGUCGCGUUUGUGAGGACCCGUUCGUCUACAUCCGUUUGUCUUCUUCAUGGACUCGUUCUUCUUCCUUGCGGGAUCUCAGGCAAGAUGACCAUACCCUCGAAAUCACUUCUAUCUUUGCUUGCUUAGUUGCUCGCUCUUUUGGUAUGCCUAUGCUGCGAUGCCUACCACUUGCUUUUCAUGCCUCCCAUAUUGUUGAACCAAGCCUCUAACCCACCUUGUCCUAGCAAACCGUUGUUUGGCUAUGUUACCGCUUUGCUCCGCCCCUCUUAUAGCAUUGUUAGUUGCAGGUGAAGAUUGAAGUUUGUUCCUUGUUGGAACAUGGAGAUGUUGUUCCUUGUUGGAACAUGGUUACUUGUUGGGAUAUCACAAUAUAUCUUAUUUAAUUUAAUGCAUCUAUAUACUCCCUCCGUUCUGAAUUACUUGUCUUAGAUUUGUCUAGAUGCGAAGGUAUCUAGCACUAAAAUGAGUCUAGAUACAUCCGUAUCUAGAAAAAUCCAAGACAAGUAAUUCGGAACGGAGGGAGUACUUGGUAAAGGGUGGAAGGCUCGGCCUUAUGCCUAGUGUUUUGUUCCACUCUUGCCACCCUAGUUUCCGUCAUAUCGGUGUUUUGUUCCUGGAUUUUGCGUUCCUUACGCGGUUGGGUUAUAAUGGGAACCCCUUGACAGUUUGCUUUGAAUAAAACUCCUCCAGCAAGGCCCAACCUUGGUUUUACCAUUCGCCACCUAGCCUUUUUCCCUUGGGAGUCGCGCAUCCCGAGGGUCAUCUUAUUUUAACCCCCCCGGGCCAGUGCUUGUCUAAGCGUUGGUCCAAACUAGAGCCCCUUGCAGCGCCACCUCGAGGAAACUCGAGGGCUGGUUUUAGUUGUACGGGUUGCUUAUCCGGUGUUGCCCUGAGAAUGAGAUAUGUGCAGCUCCUAUCGGGAUGUCGGCGCAUCGGGUGGUCUUGCUGGACUUGUUUUACCAUUGUCGAGGAUGUCUUGUGGAACCGGGAUACCGAGUCUGAUCGGAAUGUCUCGGGAGGAGGUCUAUUUCUUCGUUGACCGUGAGAGCUUGUCAUGGGCUAAGUUGGAACACCCUUGCAGGGAUUUGAACUUUCAAAAGCCGUGCCCGCGGUUAUGGGCAGAUGGGAAUUUGUUAACGUCCGGUUGUAGAAAACCUGAAGUUGACCUUAAUUAAAAUGAAUCAACAGCGUGUGUUACCGUGAUGGUCUCUUUCCGGCGGAGUCCGGGAAGUGAACACGGUGUUGGAGUAAUGUUUGACGUAGGUUGUUCUAGGAUCACUUCUUGAUCAUUGUUUCUCGAUCGUGCUUUGCCUUCUCUUGUCGCUCUCUUUUGCGAAUAUGUUAGCCACCAUAUAUGCUAGUCGCUUGCUGCAGCUCCACCUCAUACCUUUACCUUACCCAUAAGCUUAAAUAGUCUUGAUCGCGAGGGUGUGAGAUUGCUGAGUCCCCGUGACUCACAGAUACUUCCAAAACCAGCUUGCAGGUGCCGAUGAUGCCAUUCCAGGUGACGCAACCAAGCUCAGGAGGAGCUCGAUGAAGAUCUUGUCCUUUGUGUCAUUUCGUUCUAGUUGAUUAGUAGUGGAGCCCAGUUGGGGUCGAUCGGGGACCUUUGUCGCAUUUGGGGUUCUUCUUUUAUUUUGGUUCCGUAGUCGGACCUUGUUUUUAUCUGGAUGAUGUAAUGCUUUAUUCAUGUAUUGUGUGAAGUGGCGAUUGUAAGCCAACUAUGUAUCUCUUUUCCCUUAUGUAUUACAUGGGUUGUUUGCGAAGAUUGCCUCACUUGCGACAUUGCUUUUAAUGCGGUUAUGCCUCUAAAUCGUGCUUCGACAUGUGGGAGAUAUAGCCGCAUCGAGGGCGUUACAAUACUCAAGUGGAAGGCAUUGACUUCGAUGAAACAUUUGCUCCUGUGGCUAGACUUGAAGCCAUACGCAUACUGCUGGCCUAUGCAAAUCAUCAUAACAUACUUCUAUAUCAAAUGGAUGUGAAGAGUGCCUUUCUCAAUGGCAAGAUUGAAGAAGAAGUGUAUGUUGCACAACCGCCUGGCUUUGAAGAUCCAAAACAUCCUGACAUGGUAUACAAGCUCAACAAGGCACUGUAUGGCCUCAAACAAGCCCCUCGGGCCUGGUAUGACACACUCAAAUACUUCCUGAAGAGCAAAGGCUUCAUACCUGGUUCCCUAGAUCCCACUCUUUUCAUGAAGACAUAUGAUGGUGAACUGUUUGUGUGCCAAAUAUAUGUGGAUGACAUUAUCUUCGGCUGCACCAAUCAGAAGUACAGUGAAGAGUUUGGAUAUAUGAUGCAAGAGCAAUAUCAGAUGUCCAUGAUGGGGGAGCUGAAGUUCUUCCUCGGUCUUCAAAUACGACAACAACGCAAUGGCAUCUUCAUAUCUCAAGAGAAGUAUCUCAAAGAUUGCCUGAAGAAGUUCGGUAUGCAAGACUGCAAAGGCUUCACAACACCAAUGCCAGCCAAACAUCAUUUGGGUCCUGACGACAAUGGUAAAGAGUUCGAUCAAAAGGUAUACCGCUCCAUGAUUGGUUCUUUACUUUAUCUAUGUGCAUCUAGGCCAGAUAUUAUGCUUAGUGUUUGCAUGUGUGCUCGAUUUCAAGCGGCACCAAAGGAGUCACAUCACUUAGCUGUGAAGCGAAUUCUUCGAUAUUUAGCUCACACCCCAACUCUAGGAUUAUGGUAUCCAAAGGGCUCAGAGUUUGAUCUAGUUGGAUUUUCGGAUGCUGAUUAUGCUGGUGACAAAGUUGAUCGCAAGUCUACAUCAGGCACAUGUCACUUUCUGGGACGAUCACUUGUAUGUUGGUCUUCAAAGAAGCAGAACUGUGUAUCUCUCUCCACUGCUGAAUCUGAAUACAUUGCUGCUGGAUCUUGCUGCGCUCAGCUUCUGUGGAUGAAGCAAACACUCAAGGACUAUCGCAUUCAUAUGAAGCAAGUGCCACUUUACUGCGACAACGAAAGCGCCAUCAAGAUUGCCAACAACCCAGUUCAGCACUCGAAGACAAAGCACAUUGAAAUUCGUCAUCACUUUCUCAGAGAUCAUGUUGUGAAGGAAGACAUUGAUAUCAUACACGUCAACAUUGAAGAGCAAUUGGCAGAUAUCUUCACCAAGCCCUUGGAUGAGAAGAGGUUUUGCAAGUUGCGGUGUGAGCUAAAUAUCCUGGAAUCCUCAAAUGUCCUGUGAUCAGGCACACAUCCUAACCCUUAUGCAUAUUGAUGACUUAGAUAUGCAACACACAAAGUAAAGUAUAUCUUCAAUCAAUGAAGACAUACAUUCUAAGUGUGAAUACAUUAAUGUGGAAUUUGACUUCGGAGCGCCACGAUAAUUAUGCGCCGUGUCUGGGUCUAAUACUUCCUAUACGGUGGGUAACGCCACCACCAAACGUUCUAUUUUGAAGUGUUUCACUCAUGGCGUUACCUUGCAAUGUCUUCACAUUUGGUUUGGCUUCGAUCUCAACAUAUUUUCAUGAUUAUCUUCACUAUGUUGGUUGAUUAUAUAUAUAUAUAUAUAUAUAUAUAUAUAUAUAUAUAUAUGCUAGUGUUCUGUCCUCUACAGCAUUCACUUAUAGCUAUGUCUUCGUGUUGAAUUUUUUUUGAACUAAGUGAAUGUGAUCGGACCCUAACCUCUCUAUGCUUUCUAUCUCAAACUCUAUCUCCCCAAGUAAUAUGCAUUCUAUUGAAACUGUCGAAUGUCUUCUCUGCGUCCUUGUCAGCAGAAGAUACAGAGACAACCAUUAAGUCCGUUUUCAAUGCUCAUUCCUCCACAUGAAAUCUGGAGAAGUAGGAACGACCACCCGACAAUCCAGGCGUGCGUGGGACGUGGAACAAACCCCAAAAUUCCGCAUAAUGGCCACGUGUUCCUCAGAUGCGAAUCCCCAGGGGCACCUGUGUAAUAGCACAGUGCCGCCCCUAUGCCUAUAAAUACACACUCACAGCGGUCAUUAUCUCUUCUUCCACCCUCGCACGAACCCUAGCGCCACCGCUAGCCCUCGACGAUGCCGGCGACGAAGCGCUUCGCUGCCGCAACCUCUCUGACGCCGUCUUCACGCCGACCGCGGACAUCAUCCUCUCCGCCGUCGCCGUAGGUGUCCUCCGUCGCCAAGUUAGGGCACGGAAGAUCGAACUGCUCGGCCUCAUCUUACACUCCAUCUAGCAGUUCUUAGUGUGGUAAAUAAAACUUCCUCUUUUACAGCACCAUUGAUCCUAUGGAUUUGUCACUUUCUACCACAAGCAGUUUCUGUUCACACAAGCUAGAUCUCUCUCGUACUGCAUCUCAUAACAUGCCUAUUAUAUUCACUUGUGCUUCACAAAGUAGUUAGGUUCCUCACUUGUACUGAUCUAUGGAUUUGUACAAAUCUGGAACCAACUUCUUAUCUGUGAGUGAAUGUCUUCGCACGAUGAGGUCAAUGUCUUCUAAACUGAUUUAUCUUCAAAAUCUUCUGAGGAUGCAUAUGACCUCUUCCCCUUCCCUCGCACCUUAAUGCUGUCACAGGUACAUGUCCGUGGGAGAAUCCUUCGGUUCUCAUAGUCUGCAUUCAUUUGCAGAAUUCUUACAGCAUCACAUAAAUUCUCCCGAAGCCAGUUCCUGUUGGUCCAGCAAACGAAAACCUUUGAAGCCUUUGAACAUCUUGAAGCCUUUCAGGUUAAAUUUUAUGGCUUCAGAGAAAGCAGCAAGGAAGGGUGGCAGAAAGCGUCAUGGUGAGACCUCCAGAGAUCUGCCAGAUGAACUCUCAGAAAUGUACAAGACAGAUCCUGAAGAGGAUUACAGUCAGCGCAAGACCCGAAUCCAAUGGAUUCAAAGAUAUUGGGCAGAACAAUGGUUCAAAUACAGAUUUGUGACCCAGGAGUAUGCUGAGAAAAACGCCACCAAGAGACCGUGGGGAGACAUCCUAUUCAAGAAUCUUCUACCCAGGUUCAGAGAUGAAGCCAUUGCUCAAGGCUUCUAUCCAUGCAUGGUCCGUGGACCACAGCCUACUGAUGCACACUCGUCGUCACUGCUAUGGUGUCGAUGACGACAAUCUGUUCAAGCGCAACUUACAGUUUGCUCAGAACUCAGCGAAGCAGAACAAGAAGACUUUUGGGUUAGACUUCAACCCUGGUCCCUCAGCACCAAGGGCAGAUGGCACACGAGAUGCUGAACCCAAUGUCAUCGGUCCUUUCGCCAACCUUGAAGGCCUCAUCACCUACAUCUUAGUUCAAGGGACUGCAGUGAAUGAGCCUACAACUGACACUGAGUCAGAAGAAGCUUCUGCAGCUCUGAAGACAAAGAAGUUGAAGAAGCCUAAAGCUUCAAAACCUGCCUCUUCACCAAAAGUCUCAAGGGCGAAGCCACUGGCAGCUGCACCUCCUGAAGACAGUGUGCAGUGUGAAGACUUAUCACGCGUCUCCAAGCCCCAGAAGGCCAAGAUGCCUCUGUCUCACACUGGCAAAGAGCUAACAGCUGCUGCCAUUCUGCGCAACGACGACAUUGAUCUGUCAAGUGAUCAAGAUCUUGCAGAUGACGCUCUUGAGCAACUCAUCAAGAGCAAAGAAGAAGCAGAAAUCUUCAAUGAUCUGCCUCUCUUUGAUGUCACCAUCAUCCACAACUUCAUUGACGAGUGGUUUGACACGCCAAACAUCAGCUUUGAAGAUCUGCAGCUACCCAUUGGCCUCAGUGUCGCCUUCCAAGGCGCCAUUGCUUCAGAACUUGCUAUUGCCCAGCGCAUUGUUGAACUGAAGCAGAAGAUUGACUAUGAAAAGGCUCAGUUCAAGAAGCAUAUGGCCAAGCUCAGCAUGCAAGAAGUGAAGAACUUCAAGACAAUGAUGCACGAGCUCAAGGAAGCCUUUGUGAAGAAGUGUGUAGAAGCUCAGGGUUCGCGUGAGCGCAUGAAGACUCUGGCUGACAGAUGUGUGCAAGCCUAUAAUGAGGCUGAGAAGCGCAAGGCACUUGGGCGUCCUGGCAUCGACCCCAGGAUGGCCGCAAAGAAGAAGAAGAAGCCUGCUACGGCUGAACCUGAUGCACCAAGGCAAGAAGCAGUUCCGAUUGUCUUCCCAACUAGACUGACUGGCUCGAAGCCAAAAAGCCGGUCAACAGCUUCAGAGCUCAAGAAGACAAGGACUGUUGAGGCUGAAGCCAGGAAGAGGAAACACUCUGAAGCCUCUCCUACUGCCCCCUCCAAGAAGAAGAGGAAGACCAAGAAAGCUCGGGCUGCUUCCACAGAGCCCUUGGUAGUUGAACCCAUUUCUAUGGUCUAUCCUGAAGCGGAACGACAACUAACAAUUCAUGAGCCUGCUUCCACAGAGGCUCAUGAAGCUGAAGACAUUUCAGCAGCUGAUCCCAUCGCUGCUGAAGACAUUGGUCAACAUGACAAUGUAGAAGAUGAUGCAGUCCUUCCUCAGUUUGAAAACAGCGAACUCAUCAGCAUUGGUCGUCCACUGACGCCAAUUGCACAAGAUGCUUCAUGGACGGAUCGCCCACAAGAGGAAGAAGACUAUGAGGCCCAGCCCACUCCAACUCCACAGGCAUCGUCUGCAUUACGCAGGCUUCGCAAAGGUCCAAGGCCUCAAGUCUCUGCUGAAGACAUUCCGGUUGCAUCAGCCGCAGAAGACAAAGUACCACAAGAUCCCACUCCCCUGUUCCACCAAGAAGCAGUUCUCCAGGAGAACGUGCCUGUGACCGACCCUCCAGCUAGUCAAGUGGAGGAUGAAAAUCUUGAGGCUGCCACAACUAACAAUGAAGCUAAUGUGGAGCCCUCCCCAGCAAAAGCUUCAGAAGAUAGCGAAGCCACUGAUCCCGCCACUUCUGUUCCUGAGUCUGCUGCCGGUCCCCAACUCAACUAUCAUGUUGAGCACAGGCCUCAGGUCCAGAAGCCAAUCCCAAGACUGCCAAGGUUUCCAGGUCCUACAUCAGCACCUGGCUCCUUCAACAUCAAUGGCUUAAGGGCAGACAACACGUUCUUCAAUAGCUCCAGGAACCCCUACUCAAGGGAAAGGAUAUCAUUUGAUCGGUUCUGGAGUUAUCCUCAGCGAAGCUAUUACUCUUGCAUUCUUUACAACCAAGGUCGCAUCUUCCCACACAAGCGCCUUGACGUUGAAGCUAUAGCCGGUAUGCCCUGUCUAGAGGAAGCGUUGGAUUGCUUCAAGUAAGGGGGUCUGCUACAGUUUGUUACUGCUGAAGAGCAUUGGAAUGAAGAGCUGCUACUAUAAUUCUAUGCCACACUUCACAUCAAAGGGUACAGCAGAGAUCCGAAGACUUGGGUCCUGGAGUGGAUGACUGGCAACGUUCAUCACGAAGCCAAUGCAUUUGACAUCAUUGAGCUCACUGGCUUGCCCACUCCUGGCGAUCUCUUCGAGCAAGGCUGUCAGCUGCAUGCUGAAGCUAUUGAGAGCAUCUUUCAGCGGCCAGAACCUGAUAUGAGUCAAAUGCUCGGCAUGAUGAAGCCAUUGCCCCAAGAUGCUGCGUAUCCCACAGAGUUCUUCGUUGAAGACCUUGAGUACCUGCCCAGAACCAUCUAUCACAUCAUCAGGCGAACUCUCUGGCCUAUCGAAGGGCACUCUCCAAAUGCCAAGCUUCAGGGUGCAAUGAAGACUUUGGUCUUCUAUAUACUUCAUGGCAAAUGCUUCAAUGCACAUGACUUCUUCAUACGCCAACUUGCUGCAUCAGGCAUUGAUCUGUUUGGUUUGAAGUUCUACGCCCCUUGGGUCAUGCGGCUGAUCAAGCUACACUCCGCCAUGUCGUAUCAGCCCUUAGCCCGCAACCAUCGGAUCUUCUUGCCUGACGUGGACAUGUCUACUGAAGCCAUAUAUUCUAAGCCUGCCAAGCAACCUCUAAGUCUUCAGAAUGCAGACCAUUAGAGUUUUGCUCAGAAUGUUGAAGGCGUUGAAGCAGUUUCUCGGGUGUAUCCUUUGGCUGGCACUACACGUGCACCACACCCUGCUUCCACUGAAGCCACUGACAGUGCCACUGCUCCAAGACCCAAGAAGCGCACUCGUGUUCUCAACGACCGAGAGCUUCUUGUGGCUCUACAUCAGAAACAAGAUAGGCAUCAUGACUAGCUGAAGCAUCAGAUGAAAAGCCUCUUGGUGGAUGUUAAUCGCACUCGAAAUCUUGCCACCAAGAAUGCUUUCAUUGCCCAUGAAACCUGUCGCCACACAUGAAAAGGGCUCACGAUGAUGUGUUCUGAAGCUGAUCUUCAAGAGGAUGGCUUCUCUAAGAGAUUCAAGUUUGACUCCACACCUCCUCGAAGGGCUGUGCUGCUAGGAACUCCAUCCCUUGAAGACUCUGAGUUCUCUUCCUCUGCUGCCACAGUGACUGCCAGAAUUAUUGAGGAAGAAGACGAUGCUACUUCACCGCCACCUCCUUCAGCACCUCCAAGCUCUUCUGCACCGCCAAACAACACCAACAACCCUGCUACUUCACCUACUCCUCGUGGGAACGAGUAGAGGCUCUAUGUCUUCAAACCUUUUUGGUCAUUACUGACAAAAGGGGGAGAAGCAUAUGAGAUUGAUAGUCUUCAAGCGGGUCCAAAUGGGCGGGUGCUUUAUAUUUUGCUUCGUGCUUAAAACUCUUGUUUAAGCUAAAUUUGGUUCUUAUGAGUUGUAACACUUAAACUAGAUGGUCGUCUGCUACUUAUUUGCCACCUUGUCUUGCGAAGAUAAAUUCCGCAUGUGCGACGAUAAAUUCCGCACUUAGCUCAUUCUGCAGACGUCCAUUUUCCAUUAUGCAUGUCAUUAUCUUCAUAUACUCUCACAUGCAUAGUGGAUUGUCAUCAUAAGUUGAAGUGGAUCUCCACAAGUACAACCUGCCAUGUGCAUUUGCAUUCCAAAAGCAAAUUAACUUAUAUGCACAUCUUCAGGGGGAGCCCUUGCAACUUAUGAAGACAAUUCCUUAUUCUGUACAAUUUCACAGAUUAUAUUCCCCGUUGAAAACUUCAACUAGUUUGUCAUCAAUCACCAAAAAGGGGGAGAUUGUAAGUGCAUCUAGUGCCACCCCUAGUUGGUUUUGGAGUAUUGACGACAAACCUAGUUGAGGGACUAAUGUGUUUGUGAGAAUUGCAGGAUAACACAGGUAGAAGUCCCUCAUUGAUUCGGUUUUACUACCAAAGAUGACCCCUAAAAAUGUACGAAGACAUUGAAGUCAAAGGUGGUAUAUGAAGAUAUUCACAUUGAAGACUAUGACAAGAGAAGACACUAUAUGAAGCCUAUGGAGCUCGAAGACUUAGAUCUUUCGUAGUUCUUUUUCUUUUUGUGUUGAGUCAUAGGAACCACCGUACUGUUAAGUGGGGUCCAAGAGAACCAGUCAGAAUGACUGAAGUGAUGCCUAAACCAAAAACACAUGUCUUCGAGUGAAGACUAUGAGAGCGAAUCUUGUCCAGAGUCGAACAAGUCAGCUUUGCUUGUAGCCCAAGUAAAGUUGCCGUGUGAGUUUGAAAUCUGACCGUUGGAACACGUGUCGGUUCCUUAGUGACCCAGGGUCAUUUCAGGACAAAUCAGGCCGGGUUGCCAAGUGGCUAUAAAUAGCCCACCCCCUACAACCAUAAACGGUUGGCUGCUCAGAUUGAUAGUACGGCUUUUGUUGUUUGAGAGCAACCCACCUCGAAGCCUUUGAGAGAGAAUUCCUUGCGAGGAUAAAGCCCUAACCACCAGAGCCAGAGAGAAUUGGGCAUCAAUUAAGUCUUCUUAUCUGUAUGAUCUAAAGACUUAUUACACUUGAGGACUGUGCAUCCUCCAGCCAGUUAGGCGUCGCGUUCUGAGCAUCCAAGAGACAUUGUGGAUUGCCGGUGAACGAAGUCUGUGAAGGUUUGGGAGUCUACCUUGAAGACUUACCAGAGUGAUUGGCGAGGUCUAUGUGACCUUAGCUCAAGGAGAAUACGGUGAGGACUGGGUGUCCUGAGCUGCGUGUUCAGGACUGGGUGUCCAGGACUGUGUGUCCUAAGGUUUAAAUACCUAGCCGCUCCAACCAGAUGUACAGUUGUCACAGCAACUCGAACUGGUCCAACAAAUCAUUGUCUUCAACGAGUCACUGGUUUCAUCUUCACUUCACUUUACUUACUGUUACUCCUUGUGAAGUCAUUGUAUGUUUGCACUAUCAUUUGUCUUCACUGAGUGACUACGUGUUCUGUUUGGCUUCACAAUAUCUUCCUACCUGAUCCUUACUACCUAGCUGCUAUUAGUCUUUGUGCUUUCACUUCAUUGAAUAAUUGACUAUGGUUUGCCUAGUGUAGUCUACCUUCUGCUGCAUGGUAAUAGGUUUAAUUUUAUCAUUUGUCUUCAAAACUUCUAUGUUCUGAAGACUUUCAUAAAAAUCGCCUAUUCACCCCCCCCCCCUCUAGUCGAUAUAACGCACUUUCACCGAUGACAAAGGGAACAACGUAUGUUCUUAUGUGGUUUGACCGAUAAAGAUCUUCGUAGAAUAUGUAGGAACCAAUAUGAGCAUCCAGGUUCCGCUAUUGGUUAUUGACCGGAGAUGUGUCUCGGUCAUGUCUACAUAGUUCUCGAACCCGUAGGGUCCGCACGCUUAACGUUCGGUGACGAUCGGUAUUAUGAGUUUAUGUGUUUUGAUAUACCGAAGGUAGUUCAGAGUCCCGGAUAUGAUCACGGACAUGACGAGGAGUCUCUAAAUGGCCGAGACAUAAAGAUCGAUAUAUUGGACAGAUAUGUUCAGGCACCGGAAGUGUUCCGGAGAAGUUUCGAAUAAAAUCAGAGUGCCAGAGAGUUAUUGGAAACCCCGGGGGAACUAAUGGGCCUUGAUGGGCCUUAGUGGAGAGAGAUGGGCGGCCAGGGCUGUUGGAAAUAUGCCCAAGAGGCAAUAAUAAAAUGGUUAUUAUUGUAUUUCCUUGUUCAUGAUAAUUGUCUAUUGUUCAUGCUAUAAUUGUAUUAACUGGAAACCGUAAUACAUGUGUGAAUACAUAGACCACAACAUGUCCCUAGUAAACCUCUAGUUGACUAGCUCGUUGAUCAAUAGAUGGUUAUGGUUUCCUGACCAUGGACAUUGGAUGUCAUUGAUAAUGGGAUCACAUCAUUAGGAGAAUGAUGUGAUGGACAAGACCCAAUCCUAAGCAUAGCACAAGAUCGUGUAGUUCGUUUGCCAAGAGCUUUUCUAAUGUCAAGUAUCAUUUCCUUAGACCAUGAGAUUGUGCAACUCCCGGAUACCGUAGGAAUGCUUUGGUGUGCCAAACGUCACAACGUAACUGGGUGGCUAUAAAGGCACACUACGGGUAUCUCCGAAAGUGUCUGUUGAGUUGGCACGAAUCGAGACUGGGAUUUGUCACUCCGUGUGACGAAGAGGUAUCUCUGGGCCCACUCGGUAAUGCAACAUCAUAAUGAGCUCAAUGUGACUAAUGAGUUAGCCACAGGAUCAUGCGUUACGAAAUGAGUAAAGAGACUUGCCGGUAACGAUAUUGAACAAGGUAUGGGGAUACCGACGAUCGAAUAUCGGGCAAGUAACAUACCGAUAGACAGAGGGAAUUGUAUACGGGAUUGAUUGAAUCCCCGACAUCGUGGUUCAUCCGAUGAGAUCAUCGUGGAACAUGUCGGAGCCAAUAUGGGUAUCCAGAUCCCGCUUUUGGUUAUUGGACAGAGAGAUGUCUCGGUCAUGUCUGUAUGGUUCCCGAACCCGUAGGGUCUACACUCUUAAGGUUCGGUGACGCUAGAGUUGUUAUGGGAAAUAGUAUGUGGUUACCGAAGGUUGUUUGGAGUCCCGGAUGAGAUCCUGGACAUGACGAGGAGUUUCGGAAUGGUCCAGAGGUGAAGAUCGAUAUAUUGGACGAAGGGUAUUGGAGUCCGAAAUUGUUCCGGGGGUACCGGGUGACAACCAGCGUGUCCGAAAGUGAUUUUGGAGGCCCCGGCAAGCUUUGGGGGGGCCUUAUGGGCCAAGAGGAAGGGGCGCACCAGCCCACUAAGGGGCUGUGCGCCCCUCCCACCCCAUCUCACGUAACUUGGACAGGUGGGGGCGCCUCCCCUAGGGCAGCCACCCCUCCCGGCUUGGGGCACAAGUUUCCUAGGGGUGGGGGCGCUCAAACCCAUCUAGGGUUUUUCCUGUGGCCGCCGCCCCUCCCCUAGGGAACCCUAGGGCACCUCCUCCACCCCCUUCCCCCUAUAUAUAGUGAGGGAGAGAGAGGGCAGCCGCACCCCUUCCCUGGCGCAGCUCCUCCCUCCUCCAACUCUUCCUUCUCCUCCAUAGAGCUUGGUGAAGCCCUGAAGGAAUACCACAAACUCCACCACCACGCUAUCAUGUUACCGGAGUUCUCCCUCAACUUCUCCUCUCCUCUUGCUGGAUCAAGAAGGAGGAGACGUCCCCGGGCUGUACGUGUGUUGAACGCGGAGGCACCGUCCGUUUGGCGCUAGAUCGGAUCUUCCGCCGAUUUGAAUCGCCGCGAGUACGACUCCAUCAACCGCGUUCUUGUAACGCUUCCGCUUAGCGAUCUUCAAGGGUAUGAAGAUGCACUCCCUCUCUCUCGUUGCUAGCAUCUCCUAGAUUGAUCUUGGUGACACGUAGGAAAAUUUUGAAUUAUUGCUACGUUCCCCAACAGUGGCAUCAUGAGCUAGGUCUAUGCGUAGAUUCUAUGCACGAGUAGAACACAAAGCAGUUGUGGGCAAUGAUUUGUUCAAUUUGCUUACCGUUACUAGUCUUAUCUUGACCCGGCGGCAUUGUGGGAUGAAGCGGCCUGGACCGACUUUACACGUAUGCUUACGUGAGACUGGUUCCACUGACUGACAUGCACUUGAUGCAUAAGGUGGCUGGUGGGUGGCUGUCUCUCCCACUUUAGUCCGAUCGGAUUCGAUGAAAAGGGUCCUUAUGAAGGGUAAAUAGCAAUUGGCAUAUCACUGUUGUGGUUUUGAGUAGGUAAGAAACAUUCUUGUUAGAAACCCAUAGCAGCCACGUAAAACAUGCAACAACAAUUAGAGGACGUCUAACUUGUUUUUGCAGGGUUUGCUAUGUGAUGUGAUAUGGCCAAAAGGAUGUGAUGAAUGAUAUAUGUGAUGUAUGAGAUUGAUCAUGUUCUUGUAAUAGGAAUCACGACUUGCAUGUCAAUGAGUAUGACAACCGGCAUGAGCCAUAGGAGUUGUCUUAAUUUAUUUAUGACCUGCGUGUCAAUGAAAACGCCAUGUAAUUACUUUACUUUAUUUCUAACUGUUAGCCAUAGUAGUAGAAGUAAUAGUUGGCGAGGCAACUUCAUGAAGACACGAUGAUGGAGAUCAUGGUGUCAUGCCGGUGACGAAGGUGAUCAUGCCGCGCCUCGAAGAUGGAGAUCAAAAGGCGCAAGAUGAUAUUGGCCAUAUCAUGUCACUUUAUGAUUUUCAUGUGAUGUUUGUCAUGUUUACAUCUUAUUUGCUUAGAAUUAUGGUAGCAUAAAUAAGAUGAUCCCUCACUAAAAUUUCAAGAAAGUGUCCCCCCUAACUGUGCACCAUUGCAAAGGUUCGUUGUUUUGAAGCACCACGUGAUGAUCGGGUGUGAUAGAUUCUAACGUUCACAUACAAUGGGUGUAAGCCAGAUUUACACAUGUGAAACACUUAGGUUGACUUGACGAGCCUAGCAUGUACAGACAUGGCCUCGGAACACAAGAGACCGAAAGGUCGAGCAUGAGUCGUAUAGUAGAUAUGAUCAACAUGAAGAUGUUCACCGAUGAUGACUAGUCCGUCUCACGUGAUGAUCGGACACAGCCUAGUUGACUCGGAUCAUGUAUCACUUAGAUGACUAGAGGGAUGUCUAUCUAAGUGGGAGUUCAUUAAAUAAUCAGAUGAACUUAAUUAUCAUGAACAUAGUCAAAAGGUCUUUCCAAAUUAUCUCGUAGCUUACGCUUUAGUUCUGCUGUUUAAUAUAUGUUUCUAGAGAAAAUUUAGUUGAAAGUUGAUAGUAGAAAUUAUGUGGAUUGGGUCCGUAAACUGGGGAUUAUCCUCAUUGCUGAGCAGAAGGCUUAUGUCCUUAAUGCACCGCUCGGUGUGCUGAACCUCGAGCGUCGUCUAUAGAUGUUGGGAAACAUCUGACAUACACGUUUUGAUGACUACGUGAUUGUUCAGUGUGUAAUGCUAACGGUUUAGAAUUGUGGCACCAAAGACGUUUUUGAAACGUCGCAGAACAUAUGAGAUGUUCCAAAGACUAAAAUUGGGAUUUCAGACUAGUGCCCACGUCAAGAGGUAUGAGACCUCCGACAAAUUUCUUAAUCCUGCAAACUAAGGGAGAAAAACUCAAUCGUUGAGCAUGUGCUCAGAUUGUCUGAGUACUACAAUCGCUUGAAUCGAGUGGGAGUUAAUCUUCCAGAUGAGACAGUGAUAGUUCUCCAUAGUCACUGCCACCAAGCUAUUAGAGCUUCGUGAUGAACUAUAACAUAUCAGGGAUAGACAUGAUGAUCCUUGAGCAACUCGCGAUGUUUGACACCGCGAAAGUAGAAAUCAAGUAGGAGCAUCAAUUGUUGAUGGUUAAACCACUAGUUUCAAAAAGGGCAAGGGAAAGAAGGGAUACUUUAUGAAACGACAAAUCAGUUGCUGCCCUAGUGAAGAAACCCAAGGUUGAACCCAAACCCGAGACUAAGUGCUUCUGUAAUGAGGGGAACGGUCACUGAAGCAGAACUACCCUAGAUGCUUGGUAGAUGAGAAGGCUGGCAAUGUCGACAGAAGUAUUUUGAAUAUACGUUAUAUUGUGUACUUUACUAGUACUCCUAGUAGCACCAGGGUAAAGAAUACCGGUUCGGUUGCUAAGCGUUAGUAACUCGAAAUAAAAGGCUGCGGAGACUAGCUAAAGGUGAGAUGACGAUAUGUGUUGGAAGCGUUUCCAAGGUUGAUGUGAUCAAACAUCGCACGCUCCCUCUACCAUCAGGAUUGGUGUUAAACCUAAAUAAUUGUUAUUUGGUGUUUGCGUUGAGCAUAGACAUGAUUGGAUUAUGUUUAUCGCAAUACGGUUAUUCAUUUAAGGAGAAUAAUGGUUACUCUGUUUAUUUGAAUAAUACCUUCAAUGGUCUUGCACCUAAAAUGAAUGGUUUAUAGAAUCUCGAUCGUAGUGAUACACAUGUUCAUGCCAAAAGAUAUAAGAUAGUAAUGAUAGUACCACAUACUUGUGGCACUGCCAUUUGAGUCAUGUUGGUAUAAAACGCAUGAAGAAGCUCCAUGUUGAUGGAUCUUUGGACUCACUCAUUUUUGAAAAGAUUGAGACAUGUGAACUAUGUCUAUUGGUAGAUAUGCAUGAAGAAACACCACACAGAUGGAUCGUUUGGACUCACUUGAUUUUGAAUCACUUGAGACAUGAUAAUCAUACCACAUGGGCAAGAUGACUGAAAGGCCUCAUUUUCAGUAAGAUGGAACAAGAAAGCAACUUGUGAAGUAAUACAUUUUGAUGUGUGCAGUCCAAUGAGUGUUGAGGCACGCAGUGGAUAUCGUUAUGUCCUUACUUCACAGAUGAUUUGAGUAGAUGCUGAGUAUAUUUACUUGAUGAAACACAAGUCUAAAUUAUUGAAAGGUUUAAGUAAUUUCAGAGUGAAGUUGAAGAUCAUCGUGACAAGAGGAUAAAAUGUCUAUGAUAUGAUCAUAGAGAUGAAUAUCUGAGUUACGAGUUUGGCACACAAUUAAGACAUUGUGGAAAUUGUUUCACAACUAAUACCGCCUGGAACACCAUAGUGUGAUGGUGUGUCUGAACAUCAUAACUGCACCCUAUUGGAUAUGGUGCAUACCAUGAUGUCUCUCAUCGAAUUACCACUAUCGUUUAUGGGUUAGGCAUUAGAGACAACCGCAUUCACUUUAAAUAGGGCACCACGCAAUUCCAUUGAGACGACACCGUAUGAACUAUGGUUUAGAAAAACCUAAGCUGUCGUUUCUUAAAAUGUUUGGGGCUGCGACGCUUAUGUGAAAAAGUUUCAGGCUAAUAAGCUCGAACCCAAAGCGGAUAAAUGCAUCUUCAUAGAAUACCCAAAACAGUUGGGUAUACCUCCUAUUUCAGAUCCGGAAGCAAAAGUGAUUGUUUCUAGAAACGGGUCCUUUCUCGAGGAAAAGUUUCUCUCAAAAGAAUUGAGUGGGAGGAUGAUGGAGACUUGAUGAGGUUAUUGAACCAUCACUUCAACUAGUGUGUAGCAGGGCACAGGAAGUUGUUCUUGUGGCACCUACACCAAUUGAAGUGGAAGCUUAUGAUAGUGAUCCUGAAACUUCGGAUCAAGUCACUACCAAACCUCAUAGGUCGACAAGGAUGCGUACUACUUCAGAGUGGUACGUAAUCCUGUCCUGUGUUGCUAGACAACAAUGAACCUACGAGUUAUGGAGAAGCGAUGGUGGGCCCGGAUUCCGACGAAUGGCUCGAGGCCAUAAAAUCCGAGAGAGGAUCCAUGUAUAAAAACAAAGUAUAGACUUUGGAAGAACUACUUGAUGGUCGUAAGACUGUUGGGUGCAGAUGGAUUUUAAAAGGAAGAUGGACAAUGAUGGUAAGUGUCACCAUUAAGAAAGCUCGACUUGUUGUUAAGAUGUUUUCUGACAAGUUCAAGGAGUUGACUACGAUGAGACUUUCUCACUCAUAGUGAUGCUAAGAGUCUGUUGGAAUUAUGUUAGCAGUUACUGCAUUAUUUAUGAAAUCUUGCAGAUAGGAUGUCAAAACAUUGUUUCCUCGAUGAUUUUCUUGAGGAAAGGUUGUAUGCGAUACAACAAGAAGGUUUUGUCAAUCCUGAAAGAUGCUAACAAGUAUGCAAAUCUCCAGCAAUCCUUUUAAGGACUGGAGUAAGCAUCUCGGAGUUGGAAUGUACGCUUUGAUGAGAUGAUCAAAGAUUUUGGGUUUAUACAAAGUUUAUGAGGAACUUGUAUUUCCAAAGAAGUGAGUGUGAGCACUAUAGAUUUUUUGAUGAGUAUAUGUUGUUAACAUAUUGUUGAUCAGAAAUGAUGUAGAAUUUCUUGAAAGCAUACAGGGUUAUUUGAAAAGUGUUUUCAAUGGAAAACCUGGAUUAAGCUACUUGAACAUUGAGCAUCAAGAUCUAUAAGGAUAGAUAAAAAAUGCUUAAUAGUACUUUCAAAUGAAUACAUACCGUGACAAGAUUUUGAAGGAGUUCAAAAUAGAUCAGCAAAGGAGGAGUUCUUGGAUGUGUUAGAAGGUGUGAGUAUUGAGUAAGGCUCAAGACCUAACCACGGCAAAAGAGAGAGAAAGGACGAAGGUCGUCCCCUAUGCUUUAGACGUAGGCUCUAUAGUAUGCUAUGCUGUGUACCGCACCUGAAGUGUGCCUUGCCAUGAGUUAGUCAAGGGGUACAAGAGUGAUCCAGGAAUGGAUCACAUGACAGCGGGCGAACUUAUCCUUAGUAACUAGUGGACUAAGGAAUUUUCUCGAUUAUGGAGGUGGUAAAAGAGUUCGUCGUAAAGGGUUACGUCGAUGCCAACUUUGACACUAAUCCGGAUGACUCUGAGUGGUAAACCGGAUUCGUAUAGUAGAGUAAUUGUUUGGAAUAGCUCCAAGUAGCGCGUGGUAGCUGCAUCUACAAGAUGACAUAGAGAUUUGUAAAGCACACAUGGAUCUGAAAGGUUCAGGCCCAUCGACUAAUAAACCUAUCUCACAAGCGAGAUAUGAACAAACCCCAUGGGUGUUGGAUUCAUCACAAUCACAUAGUGAUGUGAACUAGAUUAUUGGCUCUAGUGCAAGUGGGAGACUGUUGGAAAUAUGCCCUAGAGGCAAUAAUAAAAUGGUUAUUAUUGUAUUUCCUUGUUCAUGAUAAUUGUCUAUUGUUCAUGCUAUAAUUGUAUUAACUGGAAACUGUAAUACAUGUGUGAAUACAUAGACCACAACAUGUCCCUCGUAAACCUCUAGUUGACUAGCUCGUUGAUCAAUAGAUGGUUAUGGUUUCCUGACCAUGGACAUUGGAUGCCAUUGAUAACGGGAUCACAUCAUUAGGAGAAUGAUGUGAUGGACAAGACCCAAUCCUAAGCAUAGCACAAGAUCAUGUAGUUCGUUUGCUAAGAGCUUUUCUAAUGUCAAGUAUCAUUUCCUUAGACCAUGAGAUUGUGCAACUCCCGGAUACCGUAGGAAUGCUUUGGGUGUGCCAAAUGUCACAAUGUAACUGGGUGGCUAUAAAGGCACACUACGGGUAUCUCCGAAAGUGUCUGUUGAGUUGGCACGAAUCGAGACUGGGAUUUGUCACUCCGUGUGACGGAGAGGUAUCUCUGGGCCCACUCGGUAAUGCAUCAUCAUAAUGAGCUGAAUGUGACUAAUGAGUUAGCCACCGGAUCAUGCGUUAUGGAACGAGUAAAGAGACUUGCCGGUAACGAGAUUGAACGAGGUAUGGGGAUACCGAUGAUCGAAUCUCGGGCAAGUAACAUACCGAUAGACAAAGGGAAUUGUAUACGGGAUUGAUUGAAUCCCCGACAUCGUGGUUCAUCUGAUGAGAUCAUCGUGGAACAUGUGGGAGCCAAUAUGGGUAUCCAGAUCACGCUAUUGGUUAUUGGCCGAAGAGAUGUCUCGGUCAUGUCUGCAUGGUUCCCGAACCCGUAGGGUCUACACACUUAAGGUUCGGUGACGCUAGAGUUGUUAUGGGAAAUAGUAUGUGGUUACCGAAGGUUGUUCGGAGUCCCGGAUGAGAUCCCGGACAUGACGAGGAGUUCCGAAAUGGUCCGGAGGUGAAGAUCGAUAUAUUGGACGAAGGGUAUUGGAGUCCGGAAUUGUUCCGGGGGUACCGGGUGACGACCAGCGUGUCCGAAAGUGGUUUCGGAGGCCCCGACAAGCGUUGGGGGGGCUUAUGGGCCAAGAGGAAGGGGCACACCAGCCCACUAAGGGGCUGUGCGCCCCUCCCACCCCAUCUCACGUAACUUGGACAGGUGGGGGCGCCUCCCCUAGGGCAGCCACCCCUCCCGGCUUGGGGCACAAGUUUCCUAGGGGUGGGGGCGCUCAAACCCAUCUAGGGUUUUCCCUUUGGCCACCGCCCCUCCCCUAGGGAACCCUAUGGCACCUCCUCCACCCCCUUCCCCCUAUAUAUAGUGAGGGAGAGAGAGGGCAGCCGCACCCCUUCCCUGGCGCAGCCCCUCCCUCCUCCAACUCUUCCUUCUCCUCCGUAGAGCUUGGUGAAGCCCUGCAGGAAUACCACAAACUCCACCACCACGCUAUCGUGCUGCCGGAGUUCUCCCUCAACUUCUCCCCUCCUCUUGCUGGAUCAAGAAGGAGGAGACGUCCCCGGGCUGUACGUGUUGGAAAUAUGCCCUAGAGGCAAUAAUAAAUUGGUUAUUAUUAUAUUUCCUUGUUCAUGAUAAUCGUUUAUUAUCCAUGCUAGAAUUGUAUUGAUAGGAAACUCAGAUACAUGUGUGGAUACAUAGACAACACCAUGUCCCUAGUAAGCCUCUAGUUGACUAGCUCGUUGAUCAAUAUAUGGUUAUGGUUUCCUGACCAUGGACAUUGGAUGUCGUUGAUAAUGGGAUCACAUCAUUAGGAGAAUGAUGUGAUGGACGAGACCCAAUCCUAAGCCUAGCACAAAGAUCGUUUAGUUCGUUUGCUAAAGCUUUUCUAAUGUCAAGUAUCAUUUCCUUAGACCAUGAGAUUGUGCAACUCCCGGAUACCGUAGGAGUGCUUUGGCUGUGCCAAACGUCACAACGUAACUGGGUGGCUAUAAAGGUACACUACAGGUAUCUCCGAAAGUGUCUGUUGGGUUGGCACGAAUCGAGACUGGGAUUUGUCACUCCGUGUAAAUGGAGAGGUAUCUCUGGGCCCACUCGGUAGGACAUCAUCAUAAUGUGCACAAUGUGAUCAAGGAGUUGAUCACGGGAUGAUGUGUUAUGGAACGAGUAAAGAGACUUGCCGGUAACGAGAUUGAACAAGGUAUCGGGAUACCGACGAUCGAAUCUCGGGCAAGUAUCGUACCGAUGGACAAAGGGAAUUGUAUACGAGAUUGAUUAAAUCCUUGACAUCGUGGUUCAUCCGAUGAGAUCAUCAUGGAACAUGUGGGAGCCAACAUGGGUAUCCAGAUUGAAAGAUCGUGGAUGUCGCCUAGAGGGGGGGUGAAUAGGCGUUUUAAAAUAAUUACGGUAGAGGCUCGAACAAAUGCGGAAUAAACCUAGCGGUUAAUUUGUCAAGCACAAAACCUACAACAACUAGGCUCACCUAUGUGCACCAACAACUUAUGCUAAGCAAGGUAAGCAACAAAGUGAUAGCAAGAUAUAUGACAAAUAACAAUAUGGCUAUCACAAAGUAAAGUGCAUAAGUAAAGGGCUCGGGUAAGAGAUAACCGAGGCACGAGGAGACGAUGAUGUAUCCCGAAGUUCACACCCUUGCGGAUGCUAAUCUCCGUUUGGAGCGGUGUGGAGGCACAAUGCUCCCCAAGAAGCCACUAGGGCCACCGUAAUCUCCUCACGCCCUCGCACAAUGCAAGAUGCCGUGAUUCCACUAAGGGACCCUUGAGGGCGGUCACCAAACCCGUACAAAUGGCGACCCUUGGGGGCGGUCACCGAACCCGUACACUUUGGCAACCCUUGGGGGCAGUCACCGGUACCCGUCAAAUUGCUCGGGGCGAUCUCCACAACCUAAUUGGAGACCCCGACGCUUGCCCGGAGCUUUACACCACAAUGAUUGAGCUCCGAACACCACCAACCGACUAGGGGGCCCAAGCACCCAAGAUAAACAAGCUCAAGGGCACCAAGCACCCAAGAGUAAUAAGCUUCUCAACUUGUAACUUCCACGUAUCACGUGGAGAACUCAAACCGAUGCACCAAAUGCAAUGGCAAGGGCACACGGAGUGCCCAAGUCCUUCUCUCUCAAAUCCCACCGAAGCAACUAAUGCUAGGGAGGAAAAUGAGAGGAAGAACAAGAAGGAGAACACCAAGAACUCCAAGAACUAGAUCCAAGGGGCUCCCCUCACAUAGAGGAGAAAGUGAUUGGUGGAAAUGUGGAUCUAGAUCUCCUCUCUCUUUUCCCUCAAAAACUAGCAAGAAUCCAUGGAGGGAUUGAGAGUUAGCAAGCUCGAAGAAGGUCAACAAUGGGGGAAGAACACGAGCUCAAAGGAUUAGGUUCAAUGGGGAAGAAGACCCCCUUUUAUAGGAGCUCCCGAAUCCAACCGUUAUGCUCACAGCCCGCACCGAGCGGUAGUACCGCUUGACAUCACGGUACUACCGCUAGGGGUAGCGGUACUACUGCUCGGGGUAGCGGUACUACUGCUUGCGAGCGGUACUAAAAAAUUACAUCCGUGCCUACCACCGCUGGACUUGUGACGAGAUUUUGGUCCCGAGCGGAAGUAGCCACGGAAGUAGCCGCGGUAGUACUGCUCCAAGCGGUAGUACCGCUCCCAAGGGCGGUAGUACCGCUCCCAAGGGCGGUAGUAAAAAAUUACUUCCGCUCCUACCCGCGGUACUACCGCUGCAGCCUUUUCAGAACACCAAAACUGCCACAACUUCUUCAUUCGGACUCCGAAUUCGAUGAAACCAAGUUUGUUGGAAAGCUAGCGACAAGGGCUAACACAAUCUUGAAAGAAAUACCAAUAAUAAGCAAAUGAGAAAAGGCCCAAAAGAAAAUGGUGAGAACCCUUCCUCGGAGAAGACCGGUAAAACCUCCAACACCGAAAACAUCAUAGAAGACGCAUGCAAACUCCAUUUUCGAUGAACUCAAGCUUGUCAUAAAGAUGACCAUAAGCUCUAAGACUCACAAAGAGAAUCAAACAAGAACCAAGAAACAUGAUGAAAGGAUGCAAUGGUUUGAGCUCUCGACGAACGAUACGAUCAAGCUACUCACUUGAGAGCCCCCCUUGAUAGUACGGCUAUCGAUCCUAUAACCCGGUCUCCCAACUACCACCAUGAGACCGGUAAAAUAGAAAACCUAUCAAGGGCAAACCUUUGCCUUGCACAUGGUCCAGUUGAGCUAGAUGAUGACGAUCUUGACUCCCUCAAGUUGGACCACCUUUCUUGAUUGCAUUGGCUCGAUGAAGACUAGAUGAUUGCUCCCCCAUAGUUCACUAUGGGUGAGCGACUCUUCGGCACAUAUUCACAAGUCCAUUGACACCACAAUGGAUGGCAAGAUUCAAACUUGAUUGCUCCCCCAUACUCCAUUAUGGGUGAGCCACUCUUUGUGUUGCUCCACUUGAACUUGCACACUACAAACUUGAUGACGAUCACCACUUGAUGUCAUCCUCCAUGGGUUGUAUGGGAUCUUCCUCUUGACGCAAGACCAUGGAAACAUACCUAACCCCACAAAGAACUCUCACGUAGACCAUGGGUUAGUACACAAAGCAUAAUGGACAAUGCUUACCAUACCAUGGGAACACUUGGUCCCACUCGGUACAUCUUAUAUGCUUUGUGAGUUGAUCAACUUGAUUCACUCUUGACUUAGUCUUGAUCAACCUUGAAUCUUUCCGACUCUCUUCAUUUGGAUGAUGUCUUGAAGGUAAAUAUGAAUGAUCACACAAUCUUCUUCUUCAAGACAUGCUUGCAAUAAGCUCAACACUCACAUGACCAAUCUUUGGAUAAUUCCUUAAUAGCACCUUGGUCAACCCAUAAACUCCUUGAAACCAACACAUGGACUUCAAGAAAUGCCUAUGGAAACAUCCUUCAAAUAUAACUCGAUGCAACCAUUAGUCCAUAGAGAUUGUCAUCAAUUACCAAAACCAAACAUGGGGGCACCGCAUGUUCUUUCAAUCUCCCCCAUUUUGGUAAUUGAUGACAAUCACUUUCAAGAGAGUUUAUACAAAUGCAACAACCAUGCAGUGCAACAACCAAUGAUGCAUGAGAAUGGGAUGCAAAUGCUUAGGAACCAAAACCAAAGCAAGGAGAAAACUCAGAAGAAUUCUCCACAAAACUCUCUGAAACUCCUCCCCCAUUGGCAUCGAUUGCCAAAAUGGGUGAAAAGCUUAGAAGGCCAAUAUAAAGAGUGUUCCUCCAUAAAUUGUGUAUCUCUCAAAAAUAGAGUGGAAUGCAAUACACAUAUCCAAUGGUAAAUACUUGGAGGAAGACAAACUAUAUUGAGGCCUAAAGAUUGCAAAAGAGGAUAUGCCACAAAGACAUAACAAAGAGAGAAACAAGCAAUCGAGCAAUCAAAAGAUACCAAUUGAAGCAAGCAAUCAAAUGAUAUCAAUUGAACCAACUAGACCAAAGAUCCUAUGAGCCACAUGAAUGAAGGAUAUUAUGAUAUGAGCAAAGGAGUGUUCUAAAUAAGCUAGAGAAGCUCCCCAUGAUUUGUGCACACAUAAGAAUAUUUGUAUUUGGAUACAAAGUGCACAAAAUAGGAUCAUAGCUCCCCCAAAAUCAAUAGAAACUUACAUCCAGUGCAAGUGAGCAUAUAGGAAACAAAGCCUAGCGCUUGCAACAAGCACAUGGUUGAGCAACAAGUAAAAGAGGCAACUUAAGAAUAGGCUCAACCAAAAUGAUGUGUGUGAGUCAUGGCGAAGCACUUGAGAAGACUAAAAAUAGGAUGAGCAUUAAGCAUCAACAUAGUCUUGAAAGAAUGAGGCACACGGUGCAAGACCUAUCAUUCCCACACACAACUAGCAAAUGGGUUCACAAGCUUACUAAUAAGCAUAUAAAGAACCUAUGCUUGUGACAACCCGUGGUGAAGAUAGAAGAUGAAAGCCUCAUCAAGACGAGGGAAAAAGCCUCGUAAAGACAAGCAUAGGGAAAAUAAUCUUCACCACACAAGAGUGCAUCAAGAUGCUACAAUAGAGGACACGCACUCAAGGCAAAAGCUUUCACGGAGCCACCAAAGAAAUAACAUAAGAAAGACAAGGUGGACGUGAAAGAAAGGAUAUCAACUAGAGAUGUAAGUUCUCUCAAGUGUAUAAGGUUCUAUGUAGACGAAAUCAUGAUGAUAUAUAUAUCUACAAAGAAGAAUGUACACCCAAAAUAGUUACAACACGAAGGAACAAGAUAUCCACAAGGAAGUCAUAAAUAUACCAAUAAGAUAUUUGCUUGAAAGCAUAGCACUUGGCUAGAUAUGGUCUUAUUGUAUAUAAAUGAAGUCCAAACACACAUCCAUCAAGGGCAUCACAACUAGCAACAAGAGAUCAUCGUUGGGAUGCUUUGAGAAAGGAAACAAGUAUCACAAGUUAUGAAAUGAAAAUCAUGCCAAGAUGCAACCUACACAAGGUUGAAUGCAAGAGGAGAAAGCAUGAAUAGAUACUUGUUACCGAGAUAUCAUUGGAAGGAUGUAGUAGAUACCAAUUGAAGGUAGAUAGUAGUUCAUUGAUCAUCCUAGCUUGAUCCCAAUAUGCACAUGGUGACAACACCUUCCUUGUGAGUGAGCCGAGCAUCCAAUGCAUCUCCACUUGUUCCUAGAACAACAACACAAACAAAAUGGUACCCAAACUCAUUGGGACCAAAGAGUUAGAAACACCAAUAUACAUAGGACAAACUCCACAUAACUAUGUGCAUAUAGAUAUGAAAAUGAAUUUCAUGCACAUCUCAUCCAAAUUGAGACUAGGUGGAGUUUCCCCUAUAUAUUGAGUCAAAGAAAGAAAGCAUGCCAAAUGAAAUACAUGAAGUAAACAUGCAUGCUCAAGACUUUCAAAACCCGAAACCAAAAGACGACGAAAUGCCAAGUGAAAAGGAUACCAAAUGGAGAAAUCAUCACUUGGAAGAUAUCAUAAAGAUACAUCAAGGAAUGAGAUAUCCAUUGAUACACACUAAACUAAAGAUGUCAAACUCCCAAAGAGAGGAUGGUUCCAAACAAACCAAGCUCUCGACAAAGUUUCAUGAUGGCACAAAGUACCAAAAGAAAAAGGCUUGCCUUCCACCAACACACUUGAUAAGGAUCACAAAAAAAAAGUGUUCUAAAGAAAAUAGAAUAGCUCCCCCACGAGUUGUGCAUUAUAUAGGAUUUGUAUUUGAAUACAAGAAGCACAAGGUGGGAUCACCGCUUUCACUAUAUCUAGAAAACACUAGACAAGAACAAGAAAUAAACAAGAUCCACAAGUGGUAUGGAAGACAACGGGAGUUGACACAAACCUUGGCAAGAGAAAAAGCAAGUAAAACAAAAGCCAAUGUAAAGAUGAUCAACAAAUUCUACCACACAUAAGACUACCAAUUGUCAAAGACAAGAAGUAUUUGGUAAUAAUUCCCGGUGGUAGAUAACAAGGAUAUCCGACAUCAUCUUCACACCAACCACAAGCAAAUUGCAACUUGUAGAGCUAACAUGCCACCUAGGAACAAGAUAAUCUACAAUAUCAAUUCUAGGUGACAAUAUCUCAAAUGUACACAUUUUCUAGGCUUGUAAUAUGCACUUAGCAUAUUACUCCCCCAUAAUGUGAUACCAAUAAGAACUUAACAAGAGGCAAUAAGAGGAACAACCAAGAGAUAAUUAAUGGACUAUUUAGAAUUUGAAUUUCUCAUGAGAGAUAUACCACCUAGCGACUAGAUAAUAUUGUAAUAUCAAUACUAGAUGGUAUUCCUCAUGUACACACAUUUAUAGGAUUGUGAGGUGCACAAAGCACAUCACUCCCCCAAAAUGGGAUGUUCCAUCAAUCUCUCACACGAGCCAACUAGGAUACAAACAAGAAGCAUAAAGGCUCAACGCAUGACACACACGUACAUGAUGUGCAAACCAACACACAAGCACGUUGGAAUCACAACAUAUACAAACACAUGCAAGGAACAAAACCAAAACAUGCAAGGGGGCAAGUAACUUUCAAGGUAAACAAUUUUAAGUACAAGUUACCGCAAGGAGGCACAUUGGAUAUAAGAUAGAAACUUGAUAAUCCAAUUGACUUGGCUUGAGACAAAGAGAAUGAUGAAGUCCCCUUAAUUCUUCAUAAUUUAGCCAAGUCUCCAAUGCCCUCCAACAACACCUAUUGAUCAAGUUUGAGCUUGUUGGUCCCCAACCAAGUUGGGUCCUAAGAGGUUAGUCACAAUAGGUUUGGCUACCCAAAUGGUUCUUUUCUUGACACCACUUUGAGUACCAACAAACUUGGCAAACACAUUGCCAACCUUAUCCUUCCCAAGAGAAUAGAUAUCAUCAAUAAUAAUUGGGUUGGAUAAGUUAUCACUAGUGCAUGAAGAAGCGACGUGACCUUUCUCAUGACAUAAGUAGCAACGUCUACUCUUCACUUUCUUCUCAUUUGAUUUCUCAACUUGAGAAGCAUUAGCUUGAGUCUUCUUGGGAAGAGGCCUUUCUUCAACUUGAGGUUGAGCAUGAGAAUGCAAUUGUAGCCGCUUCCCUUGUUGCUUGUCACUAAUAGCCUUCUUCUUCAAUGGGCAAGAUCUAACAUGAUGCCCUUCAAUUUUGCACUUGAAGCAAAUAAUCUUGGCCGAAUCCUUGACUUGUUUUUGGCCCUUCUUAUUGUUGAUCUUGGACUUAUUCUUCUUGUUGGAGUUGAAUCCAAGUCCACCUUUGUCAUUGGGGGAUUUUUGCACACUCAAGAUAUUGUUGAGUGUGGAUUUCCCUUGAUGACUCUUUUCCAAGUCUUUCUUCAAGGAAGUGACUUGGGCCUUGAGCUCUUUGAUUUCCUCUACAUGGUUAGUCUCAACACAAGUACUAGAGGAAGUAUAAGCUUCAUCAUUAGAGCAACAAGGCAAGGAAAGCAAUUCAUCGCAAGAUGUACCAACAUUGUGAGUAGAUGAAUUACAAGGACUAGCACAUGGCAAUAUACUAUUUUGACUAGAAGUAGUGCUAGUAUCCACAUGAGGCUCACUAGAUGUUACCUUGGCAAUCAUGGCCUCAUGAGCUAUGUUUAGCACACUAUGGGAUACUAGAAGAUCAUCAUGAGAGCUUGAGAGCUUUUCAUGACUUUCUUCCAAUUUCCCAUAAUUGCUAGAUAGCACCUCAAGUUGAGCCCGUAGCUCAACAUUCUCCUUCAAAAUGGAUGCUUCACAAGUAAUAGAAUUAGUAGCACAAGCAUCAUCAUUAACAGCAAGAGGAGAAGGCAACUUGGCAAGCUCUUUGAGAUAAGAAGCUUCAAGUUGGGCAUGAGACUCGGUGAGUUUGAUGAGCUCACCCUUGAUGACCCUUGAGCCAUUUUCGAGGUGCUCAAAAUCCUCAAGGAGUCUAGCAUGAGCAACUUCAAGCUUAGCAUUUUUAGUUUUAAAAACAUUGGCCACCUCAAGGGCUCUAUCAAUAGAUUCCUUCACUCUAGACAAUUCUAGAGCAAAAGUCUCCUCAAGAGAUUCCUUGGUCGUUUGUUCAAGUUCAAGAGCUUGAGAGAGGUCCGCAAUCUCAUUAGCGUAAUCACGCCCAUGACCUUCCAGUUUAUCAAUGGUGACCUCAUGCUCCUCAAGACGAGAUUCCAACUCAUCAAUAUAUUUCUUGCUCUCAAUAGCAAUGGACAUGAUUUCCAUGAAGUUGGAACGAGCAAUUUUACUUUUAUGAAGAGCUUUAAAAACCAUUUCCCCCUUAAUUUUUAAGGAGGUAACAUUAUCAUUCUCUUCAUCAUUAUCCUCAUCAUCAUUAGCAUCAACAUCAUCAUCAAGAGACAUAUUGGGGUACAAAGUAGGAGAUACCUUUGACGCCUUAGCCAUAAGGCAAAACGCAAUAGAUGAUGAUGUAGGAUCCCUUGAGGCAACAUUAAGCACCACAUCUUGUUCCAUGGAGUGUUCGGUUUCCUCUACAUUGUUAGCACAACAAUUCGAGGAAAUAGAUGCAUUUUUAUCAUGGCAACAAGACAUAGCAAGCAUUUCAUCAUGAUAUUUAGUCAAGCAAUUUCUAGAUGAUAUGCAAGGACUAUCAACACAAGCAUGUGAAACAUUUGGAGUGCUCGAAGUGUUAAAGCCCAAAGAAGGAGCAUUGCAAUAAUAUAGUGAUGAAGGAUCAUCCACAAUAAGCAUACUAUCAUCAUUGCAAUGACCAACACUACUCACCAUGUCAUUACCUUGUGGCAAACCACAUGUAGGUGAAGUAGAAGAAGUUGAGAAGACUAUACGACCGGAGGUGGAGGGAGAACAAUCAUCCCCACAAAUCUUGGACACACCAUAUUUAUCUUGAAGCUUCGUCCACAACUCAUGAGCAUCUCGGAACGGCAUGAGUUGAAAUAUAACUACAUUGCUCAAAGCAUCGAAAAGCACAUUAGAAGCUUGAGCAUUGAGAUAAGAGUUUUUCUCAUCCUCUAAAGAUAAUCUUUGGGGAUCCUUUGGAGGAGAAAAACCCAUAUCUACAAUUCGCUCUAAAUUUGGGUCCUUGACCCUAAAGAGAUUAAGCAUGCGAAUUACCCAAACAUCAAAAUUUGUGCCAUCGAAACUAAGAGUGUCAGAGAAUCCUAAUCCCCUAGUCGACAUCUUUACUCUCUAGGCGGUUAAGCCCAACAAAGAGAGACGAGGCUCUGAUACCAAUUGAAAGAUCGUGGAUGUCGCCUAGAGGGGGGGGUGAAUAGGCGUUUUAAAAUAAUUACGGUAGAGGCUCGAACAAAUGCGGAAUAAACCUAGCGGUUAAUUUGUCAAGCACAAAACCUACAACAACUAGGCUCACCUAUGUGCACCAACAACUUAUGCUAAGCAAGGUAAGCAACAAAGUGAUAGCAAGAUAUAUGACAAAUAACAAUAUGGCUAUCACAAAGUAAAGUGCAUAAGUAAAGGGCUCGGGUAAGAGAUAACCGAGGCACGAGGAGACGAUGAUGUAUCCCGAAGUUCACACCCUUGCGGAUGCUAAUCUCCGUUUGGAGCGGUGUGGAGGCACAAUGCUCCCCAAGAAGCCACUAGGGCCACCGUAAUCUCCUCACGCCCUCGCACAAUGCAAGAUGCCGUGAUUCCACUAAGGGACCCUUGAGGGCGGUCACCGAACCCGUACAAAUGGCGACCCUUGGGGGCGGUCACCGAACCCGUACACUUUGGCAACCCUUGGAGGCGGUCACCGAUACCCGUCAAAUUGCUCGGGGCGAUCUCCACAACCUAAUUGGAGACCCCGACGCUUGCCCGGAGCUUUACACCACAAUGAUUGAGCUCCGAACACCACCAACCGACUAGGGGGCCCAAGCACCCAAGAUAAACAAGCUCAAGGGCACCAAGCACCCAAGAGUAAUAAGCUUCUCAACUUGUAACUUCCACGUAUCACGUGGAGAACUCAAACCGAUGCACCAAAUGCAAUGGCAAGGGCACACGGAGUGCCCAAGUCCUUCUCUCUCAAAUCCCACCGAAGCAACUAAUGCUAGGGAGGAAAAUGAGAGGAAGAACAAGAAGGAGAACACCAAGAACUCCAAGAACUAGAUCCAAGGGGCUCCCCUCACAUAGAGGAGAAAGUGAUUGGUGGAAAUGUGGAUCUAGAUCUCCUCUCUCUUUUCCCUCAAAAACUAGCAAGAAUCCAUGGAGGGAUUGAGAGUUAGCAAGCUCGAAGAAGGUCAACAAUGGGGGAAGAACACGAGCUCAAAGGAUUAGGUUCAAUGGGGAAGAAGACCCCCUUUUAUAGGAGCUCCCGAAUCCAACCGUUAUGCUCACAGCCCGCACCGAGCGGUAGUACCGCUUGACAUCACGGUACUACCGCUAGGGGUAGCGGUACUACUGCUCGGGGUAGCGGUACUACUGCUUGCGAGCGGUACUAAAAAAUUACAUCCGUGCCUACCACCGCUGGACUUGUGACGAGAUUUUGGUCCCGAGCGGAAGUAGCCACGGAAGUAGCCGCGGUAGUACUGCUCCAAGCGGUAGUACCGCUCCCAAGGGCGGUAGUACCGCUCCCAAGGGCGGUAGUAAAAAAUUACUUCCGCUCCUACCCGCGGUACUACCGCUGCAGCCUUUUCAGAACACCAAAACUGCCACAACUUCUUCAUUCGGACUCCGAAUUCGAUGAAACCAAGUUUGUUGGAAAGCUAGCGACAAGGGCUAACACAAUCUUGAAAGAAAUACCAAUAAUAAGCAAAUGAGAAAAGGCCCAAAAGAAAAUGGUGAGAACCCUUCCUCGGAGAAGACCGGUAAAACCUACAACACCGAAAACAUCAUAGAAGACGCAUGCAAACUCCGUUUUCGAUGAACUCAAGCUUGUCAUAAAGAUGACCAUAAGCUCUAAGACUCACAAAGAGAAUCAAACAAGAACCAAGAAACAUGAUGAAAGGAUGCAAUGGUUUGAGCUCUCGACGAACGAUACGAUCAAGCUACUCACUUGAGAGCCCCCCUUGAUAGUACGGCUAUCGAUCCUAUAACCCGGUCUCCCAACUACCACCAUGAGACCGGUAAAAUAGAAAACCUAUCAAGGGCAAACCUUUGCCUUGCACAUGGUCCAGUUGAGCUAGAUGAUGACGAUCUUGACUCCCUCAAGUUGGACCACCUUUCUUGAUUGCAUUGGCUCGAUGAAGACUAGAUGAUUGCUCCCCCAUAGUUCACUAUGGGUGAGCGACUCUUCGGCACAUAUUCACAAGUCCAUUGACACCACAAUGGAUGGCAAGAUUCAAACUUGAUUGCUCCCCCAUACUCCAUUAUGGGUGAGCCACUCUUUGUGUUGCUCCACUUGAACUUGCACACUGCAAACUUGAUGACGAUCACCACUUGAUGUCAUCCUCCAUGGGUUUUAUGGGAUCUUCCUCUUGACGCAAGACCAUGGAAACAUACCUAACCCCACAAAGAACUCUCACGUAGACCAUGGGUUAGUACACAAAGCAUAAUGGACAAUGCUUACCAUACCAUGGGAACACUUGGUCCCACUCGGUACAUCUUCUAUGCUUUGUGAGUUGAUCAACUUGAUUCACUCUUGACUUAGUCUUGAUCAACCUUGAAUCUUUCCGACUCUCUUCAUUUGGAUGAUGUCUUGAAGGUAAAUAUGAAUGAUCACACAAUCUUCUUCUUCAAGACAUGCUUGCAAUAAGCUCAACACUCACAUGACCAAUCUUUGGAUAAUUCCUUAAUAGCACCUUGGUCAACCCAUAAACUCCUUGAAACCAACACAUGGACUUCAAGAAAUGCCUAUGGAAACAUCCUUCAAAUAUAACUCGAUGCAACCAUUAGUCCAUAGAGAUUGUCAUCAAUUACCAAAACCAAACAUGGGGGCACCGCAUGUUCUUUCACAGAUCCCGCUGUCGGUUAUUGACCGGAGAGUUGUCUCGGCCAUGUCUGCAUGACUCCCGAACCCGUAGGGUCUACACACUUAAGGUUCGAUGACGCUAGGGUUAUAGGGAAUAGAUAUACGUGGUUACCGAAUGUUAUUCGGAGUCUCGGAUGAGAUCCCGGACAUCACGAGGAGUUCCGGAAUGGUCCGGAGGUAAAGAUUUAUAUAUGGGAAGUCCUGUUUUGGUCACCGAAAAAAUUUCGGGUGCUAUCGGUAAUGUACCGGGACCACUGGGAGGGUCCCGGGGGUCCACCAGGUGGGGCUACCUGCCCCAGAGGGUUGCGUGGGCCAAGUGUGAGAGGGGACCAGCCCCAGGUGGGCUGGUGCGCCCCCCACCAGGGCCCAGGGCGAAGAGAGAAGGGAAAAGGGGGAAACCCUAGGCUCAGAUGGGCCUAAGGCCCACCUAGUGGUGUGCCCCCCUCUCUCCCCCCUUGGUCGCCCCCUAGAUGGGAUCUAGGGCUGGCCGCCACCCCUAGGGGUGGAAACCUAGGUGGGGGCGCAGCCCCUCCCUUUCCCCUAUAUAUAGUGGGGGGUUUUGGGCUGCCAUACACACGAGAACAUCUCCUUCUUGGCGCAGCCCUACCCCUAUCCCUCCUCGUCUCUUGCGGUGCUUGGCGAAGCCCUGCUGGAGUACCACGCUCCUCCACCACCACCACGCCAUCGUGCUGCUGCUGGAUGGAGUCUUCCCCAACCUCUCCUUCUCCCCUUGCUGGAUCAAGGUGUAGGAGACGUCACCGGGCUGUACGUGUGUCGAACACGGAGGUGCCGUCCGUUUGGCACUAGGAUCAUUGGUGAUUUGGAUCACGACGAGUACGACUCCAUCAACCCCGUUCACUUGAACGCUUCCGCUUAGCGAUCUACAAGGGUAUGUAGAUGCACUCUCCUUCCCUCGUUGCUAGACUUCUCCAUAGAUUGAUCUUGGUGAUGCGUAGAAAAUUUUGAAUUUCUGCUACGUUCCCCAACAGUGGCAUCAUGAGCUAGGUCUAUGUGUAGUUUCUAUGCACGAGUAGAACACAAGUUGUUGUGGGCGUCGAUUUUGUCAUUUUGCUUGCCGUUACUAGUCUUAUCUUGAUUCGGCGGCAUCAUGGGAUGAAGCGGCCCGGACCGACCUUACACGUACUCGUACGUGAGACUGGUUCCACCGACUGACAUGCACUAGUUGCAUAAGGUGGCUAGCGGGUGUCUGUCUCUCCCACUUUAGUCGGAUCGGAUUCGAUGAAAAGGGUCCUUAUGAAGGGUAAAUAGAAAUUGGCAUAUCACGUUGUGGUUUUCGCGUAGGUAAGAAACGUUCUUGCUAGAAACCUAUAGCAGCCACGUAAAAACUUGCAACAACAAUUAGAGGACGUCUAACUUGUUUUUGCAGCAUAUGCCUUGUGAUGUGAUAUGGCCAAAAGGACGUGAUGAAUGAUAUGUGUGAUGUAUGAGAUUGAUCAUGUUCUUGUAAUAGGAAUCACGACUUGCAUGUCGAUGAGUAUGACAACCGGCAGGAGCCAUAAGAGUUGUCUUUAUUUUUUUAUGACCUGCGUGUCAACAUAAACGUCAUGUAGUUACUUUACUUUAUUGCUAAAGCGUUAGCCAUAGUAGUAGAAGUAACAGAUGACGAGACAACUUCAAGAAGACACGAUGAUGGAGAUCAUGAUGAUGGAGAUCAUGGUGUCAUGCCGGUGACAACGAUGAUCAUGGAGCCCCGAAGAUGGAGAUCGAGAGGAGCAAAAUGAUAUUGGCUAUAUCAUGUCACUAUUGGAUUGCAUGUGAUGUUUAUCAUGUUUUACAUCUUAUUUGCUUAGAACGACAGUAUCUUAAAUAAGAUGAUCCCUCACUAAAAUUUCAAGAAAGGUGUUCCCCCUAACUGUGCACCGUUGCGAAGGUUCGUUGUUUCGAAGCACCACGUGAUGAUCGGGUGUGAUAGAUUCUAAUGUUCGAAUACAACGGGUGUAAGCCAGAUUUACACAGCAAAAACACUUAGGUUGACUUGACGAGCCUAGCAUGUACAAACAUGGCCUCGGAACACGGAAGACCGAAAGGUCGAGCAUGAGUCGUAUAGAAGAUACGAUCAACAUGAAGAUGUUCACCGAUGUUGACUGGUCCGUCUCACGUGAUGAUCGGACACGGCCUAGUUGACUCGGAUCAUGUUUCACUUAGAUGACUAGAGGGAUGUCUAUCUGAGUGGGAGUUCAUUAGAUGAACUCAAUUAUCAUGAACAUAGUCUAAAUUGUCUUUGCAAAUAUGUUGUAGAUAAAUAGCUCACGUUGUAGCUCCUUGUUUCAAUACGUUCCUAGAGAAAGAUUAAGUUGAAAGAUAUUGUAAGCAAUGAUGCGGACUAGGUCCAUAGUCCGAGGAGUGUCCUCACUGCUACACAGAAGGCUUAUGUCUUUGAUGCACCGCUCGAUGUGCAAACCCCUACAACGUCGUCUGUGGAUGUUGUGAACACUUGACAGACACGUCCUGAUGACUACUUGAUAGUUUAGUGCACCAUACUUUACGGCUUAGAAUCGGGAUUCCAAUGACGUUUUAAACGCCAUAGAACAUAUGAGAUGUUCCAAGAGCUGAAAUUGGGAUUUCAGGCUCAUGCCCGUGUUGAGAGGUGUGAGACCUCUGACAAGUUCUUUAGCCAACAAGAUGGAGGAGAAUAGCUCAACUAGUGAGCAUGUGCUCAAAAUGUCUGGAUGAUACAAUCACUUAAAUGAAGUGGGAGUUAAACUUCCAGAUAAGAUAGUGAUUGAUAGAGUUCUCUAGCCACUAUCACUAAGCUACUAGAUCUUCGCGAUGAACUAUGACAUGCAAGGGAUGGAGUUGAUCCCGGAGCUGUUCGCGGUGCUUAAGACCGCAAAAGGUAGAAAUCAAGAAGGAGCAUCAAGUGUUGAUGGUUUAACAAGACCACUGGUUUCAAGAAGGGCAAGGGCUAGAAGGGAAACUUCAUGGAUGGCAAACCAGUUGUCGCUCAAGUGAAGGAACCCAAGGUUGAACCCAAACCCGAGACUAAGUGCUUCUAUUAUAAAGGCAACGGUCACUGGUAGCGGAAUUACCCCAAAUGCAUGGUAGAUAAGAAGGCAGGCAACUUCAACAAAAUUUAUACGUGUCAUUAAUGUGUACCUCACUAGUACUCCUGGUAGCACCUGGGUAUUGGAUACCGGUUCAGUUACUAUUAUUGGUGACUUGAAGCAAAAGCUACGGACUAAACGGAGACUGGCUGAGGGCGAGGUGACGAUGUGUGUUGGAAGUGUUUCCAAAGUUGAUGAGAUCACCAUCGCACACUCCAUCUGCCUUCGGGAUUAGUAUUGAACCUAGAUAAAUGUUAUCAGGUAUCUACGUUGAGCAUGAAUAUGAUUAGAUCAUGUUCAUUGCAAUACGGUCAUUCAUUUAAGUUAGAGAAUAAUGGUUAUUCUAUUUACAUGAAUGAUACCUUUCAUGGUCAUGCACCCUAUGUGAAUGGUUCAUUGAAUCUCGGUCGUGGUAAUACACAUGUUCAUGCCAAAGGAUGUAGAGUUAAUAAUGAUAGUACCACUUUCUCAUGGCACUGCCGCUUAGGUCAUAUUAGCGUAAGAUGCAUGAAGAAACUCCAUGUCGACGGAUGUUUGGAGUCACUUGAUUUUGAAUCACUUGACACAUGCGAGCCACGCCUCAUGGGCAGGAUGACUAAGACCCUGUUUUCAGGUACAAUGAAACGGGCAAGUGACUUGUUGGAAAUCAUGCAUGCUGAUGUGUGUGAUCCAAUGAGAAUUGAAGCGUGCGGUGGAUAUCGCUAUUUUCUCAUCUUCACUGAUGAUUUGGGUAGAUAUAGGUAUAUCUACUUAAUGAAGCACAAGUUUGAAACGUUUGAAAAGUUCAAGCGAUUUCAGAGUGAAGUUAAGAAUCAUCAUAACAAUAAGAUCAUGUUCCUACGAUCUGAUCAAAAGGGGAUUUUCUGAGUUAUGAGUUUGGCAAUCACUUAAGACAUUGUGGAAUUGUUUCACAGUUGAAGCCACCUGGAACACCACAAGGUAAUGGUGUAUCCGGACAUUGUAAUCGAACCCUAUGAGAUAUGGUGCAAUCUAUGAUGUCUCUUACCAAUCUACUGUUUUCAUUUUGAGGUUAUGCGUUAGAGACAGCCGCAUUCACUUUAUAUAGGACACCAUCUAAAGUCUGUUGAGACAACAUCGUAAGAAUAUGCUUUGGCAAGAAAUAAAUGUAGGGUUUCGUAGUAAUUUCAAAAAAUUUCCUACGCUCACGCAAGAUCAUGUGAUGCAUAGCAACGAGAGGGGAGAAUGUUGUCUACGUACCCACGCAGACCGACUGCGGAAGCGUUGACGCAACGUAGAGGAAGUAGUCGUACGUCUUCACGAUCCAACCGAUCAAGCACCAAAACUACGGCACCUCCGAGUUCGAGCACACGUUCAGCUCGAUGACGAUCCUCGGACUCCGAUCCAGCAAAGUGUCGGGGAAGAGUUCCGUCAGCACAACGGCGUGGUGACGAUCUUGAUGCACUACAGCAGCAGGGCUUCGCCUAAACUCCGCUACAGUAUUAUCGAGGACUAUGGUGGUUGGGGGCACCGCACACGGCUAAGGAAUAGAUCACAUGGAUCAACUUGUGUGUUUCUGGGGUGCCUCUGCCUCAGUAUAUAAAGGAGUAGAGGGGGGAGGCUGGCCNNNNNNNNNNNNNNNNNNNNNNNNNNNNNNNNNNNNNNNNNNNNNNNNNNNNNNNNNNNNNNNNNNNNNNNNNNNNNNNNNNNNNNNNNNNNNNNNNNNNNNNNNNNNNNNNNNNNNNNNNNNNNNNNNNNNNNNNNNNNNNNNNNNNNNNNNNNNNNNNNNNNNNNNNNNNNNNNNNNNNNNNNNNNNNNNNNNNNNNNNNNNNNNNNNNNNNNNNNNNNNNNNNNNNNNNNNNNNNNNNNNNNNNNNNNNNNNCGGAGGGGGAAAAGAGAGAGAGGGGGCCGGCCACCUCUCCUAGUCCUAAUAGGACUAGGGGAAGGGGGAGGCGCGCAGCCCAUGUAGGGCUGCCUCUUCUCCUUUCCACUAAGGCCCAUCAUGGCCCAUUUAGCUCCCGGGGGGUUCCGGUAACCUUCCCGGUACUCCGGUAAAAUCCUGAUUUCACCCGGAACACUUCCGAUAUCCAACCAUAGGCUUCCAAUAUAUCAAUCUUUACGUCUCCACCAUUUCGAGACUCCUCGUCAUGUCCGUGAUCACAUCCGGGACUCCGAACAACCUUCGGUACAUCAAAAUGCAUAAACUCAUAAUAUAACUGUCAUCGUAACCUUAAGCGUGCGGACCCUACGGGUUCGAGAACAAUGUAGACAUGACCGAGACAUGUCUCCGGUCAAUAACCAAUAGCGGGACCUGGAUGCCCAUAUUGGCUCCUACAUAUUCUAUGAAGAUCUUUAUCGGUCAGACCGCAUAACAACAUACGUUGUUCCCUUUGUCAUCGGUAUGUUACUUGCCCGAGAUUCGAUCGUCGGUAUCCAAUACCUAGUUCAAUCUCGUUACCGGCAAGUCUCUUUACUCGUUCUGUAAUACAUCAUCCCGCAUCUAACUCAUUAGUUGCAAUGCUUGCAAGGCUUAUGUGAUGUGCAUUACCGAGAGGGCCCAGAGAUACCUCUCCGACAAUCGGAGUGACAAAACCUAAUCUCGAAAUACGCCAACCCAACAUGUACCUUUGGAGACACCUGUAGUACUCCUUUAUAAUCACCCAGUUACGUUGUGACGUUUGGUAGUACCCAAAGUGUUCCUCCGGUAAACGGGAGUUGCAUAAUCUCAUAGUUAUAGGAAAAUGUAUAAGUUAUGAAGAAAGCAAUAGCAACAUACUAAACGAUCGGGUGCUAAGCUAAUGGAAUGGGUCAUGUCAAUCAGAUCAUUCAACUAAUGAUGUGACCUCGUUAAUCAAAUAACAACUCUUUGUUCAUGGUUAGGAAACAUAACCAUCUUUGAUUAACGAGCUAGUCAAGUAGAGGCAUACUAGUGACACUCUCUUUGUCUAUGUAUUCACACAUGUAUUAUGUUUCCGGUUAAUACAAUUCCAGCAUGAAUAAUAAACAUUUAUCAUGAUAUAAGGAAAUAAAUAAUAACUUUAUUAUUGCCUCUAGGGCAUAUUUCCUUCAUUCUCCCACUUGCACUAGAGUCAAUAAUCUAGAUUACACUGUAAUGAUUCUAACACCCAUGGAGCUUUGGUGCUGAUCAUGUUUUGCUCGUGGAAGAGGCUUAGUCAACGGGUCUGCAACAUUCAGAUCCGUAUGUAUCUUGCAAAUCUCUAUGUCUCCCACCUGGACUAGAUCCCGGAUGGAAUUGAAGCGUCUCUUGAUGUGUUUGGUCCUUUUGUGAAAUCUGGAUUCCUUUGCCAAGGCAAUUGCACCAGUAUUGUCACAAAAGAUUUUCAUUGGACCCGAUGCACUAGGUAUGACACCUAGAUCAGAUAUGAACUCCUUCAUCCAGACUCCUUCAUUUGCUGCUUCCGAAGCAGCUAUGUACUCCGCUUCACAUCUAGAUCCCGCUACGACGCUUUUGUUUAGAACUGCACCAACUGACAGCUCCACCGUUUAAUGUAAACACGUAUCCAGUUUGCGAUUUAGAAUCGUCUGGAUCAGUGUCAAAGCUUGCAUCAACGUAACCUUUUACGACGAGCUCUUUGUCACCUCCAUAUACGAGAAGCAUAUCCUUAGUCCUUUUCAGGUAUUUCAGGAUGUUCUUGACCGCUGUCCAGUGAUCCACUCCUGGAUUACUUUGGUACCUCCCUGCUAGACUUAUAGCAAGGCACACAUCAGGUCUGGUACACAGCAUUGCAUACAUGAUAGAUCCUAUUGCUGAUGCAUAGGGAACAUCUUUCAUAUUCUCUCUAUCUUAUGCAGUGGUCGGGCAUUGAGUCUUACUCAAUUUCACACCUUGUAACACAGGCAAGAAUCCUUUCUUUUCUUGAUCCAUUCUGAACUUCUUCAAAAUUUUGUCAAGGUAUGUUGUUUGUGAAAGUCCAAUUAAGCGUCUUGAUAUAUCUCUAUAGGUCUUUAUGCCUAAUAUGUAAGCAGCUUCACCGAGGUCUUUCAUUGAAAAACUCUUAUUCAAGUAUCCCUUUAUGCUAUCCAUAAAUUCUAUAUUAUUUCCAAUUAACAAUAUGUCAUCCACAUAUAAUACCAGAAAUGCUACAGAGCUCCCACUCACUUUCUUGUAAAUACAGGCUUCUCCGAAAGUCUGUAUAAAACCAAAUGCUUUGAUCACACUAUCAAAACAUUUAUUCCAACUCCGAGAGGCUUGCACCAGUCCAUAAAUGGAUCGCUGGAGCUUGCACACUUUGUUAGCUCCCUUUGGAUCGACAAAACCUUCUGGUUGCAUCAUAUACAACUCUUCUUCCAGAAAUCCGUUCAGGAAUGCAGUUUUGACAUCCAUCUGCCAAAUUUCAUAAUCAUAAAAUGCGGCAAUUGCUAACAUGAUUCGGACAGACUUAAGCAUCGCUACGGGUGAGAAGGUCUCAUCGUAGUCAAUCCCUUGAACUUGCCGAAAACCUUUUGCGACAAGUCGAGCUUUGUAGACAGUAACAUUACCGUCAGCGUCAGUCUUCUUCUUGAAGAUCCAUUUAUUCUCAAUUGCUUGCCGAUCAUCGGGCAAGUCAACCAAAGUCCAUACUUUGUUCUCAUACAUGGAUCCCAUCUCAGAUUUCAUGGCUUCAAGCCACUUUGCGGAAUCUGGGCUCACCAUCGCUUCUUCAUAGUUCGUAGGUUCAUCAUGAUCUAGUAGCAUGACUUCCAGAACAGGAUUACCGUACCACUCUGGCGCGGAUCUCACUCUGGUUGAUCUACGAGGUUCAGUAGUAUCUUGAUCUGAAAUUUCAUGAUCAUUAUCAUUAGUUUCCUCACUAACUGGUGUAGGUGUCACUGGAACAGUUUUCUGUGACGUACUACUUUCCAGUAAGGGAGCAGGUAUAGUUACCUCAGCAAGUUCUACUUUCCUCCCACUCACUUCUUUCGAGAGAAACUCCUUCUCUAGAAAGUUUCUGAAUUUAGCAACAAAAGUCUUGCCUUCGGAUCUGUGAUAGAAGGUGUAUCCAAUUGUUUCCUUUGGAUAUCCUAUGAAGACACAUUUCUCCGAUUUGGGUUCGAGCUUAUCAGGUUGAAGCUUUUUCACAUAAGCAUCGUAGCCCCAAACUUUAAGAAACGACAACUUUGGUUUCUUGCCAAACCAUAAUUCAUAGGGUGUCGUCUCAACGGAUUUUGAUGGUGCCCUAUUUAACGUGAAUGCGGCCGUCUCUAAAGCAUAACCCCAAAACGAUAGCGGUAAAUCUGUAAGAGACAUCAUAGACCGCACCAUAUCUAGUAAAGUACGAUUACGACGUUCGGACUCACCAUUACGCUGUGGUGUUCCAGGUGGCGUGAGUUGCGAAACUAUUCCACAGUUUUUCAAAUGUACACCAAACUCGUAACUCAAAUAUUCUCCUCCACGAUUAGAUCGUAGAAACUUUAUUUUCUUGUUACAAUGAUUUUCAACUUCACUCUGAAAUUCUUUGAACUUUUCAAAUGUUUCAGACUUAUGUUUCAUUAAGUAGAUAUACCCAUAUCUGCUUAAAUCAUCUGUGAAGGUGAGAAAAUAACGAUAUCCGCCACGAGCCUCAAUAUUCAUCGGACCACAUACAUCGGUAUGUAUGAUUUCCAGCAAAUCUGUUGCUCUCUCCAUAGUACCGGAGAAUGGUGUUUUAGUCAUCUUGCCCAUGAGGCACGGUUCGCAAGUACCAAGUGAUUCAUAAUCAAGUGGUUCCAAAAGUCCAUCAGUAUGGAGUUUCUUCAUGCGCUUUACACCGAUAUGACCUAAACGACAGUGCCACAAAUAAGUUGCACUUUCAUUAUCAACUCUGCAUCUUUUGGCUUCAACAUUAUGAAUAUGUGUAUUACUACUAUCGAGAUUCAAUAAGAAUAGACCACUCUUCAAGGGUGCAUGACCAUAAAAGAUAUUACUCAUAUAAAUAGAACAACCAUUAUUCUCUGAUUUAAAUGAAUAACCAUCUCGCAUUAAACAAGAUCCAGAUAUAAUGUUCAUGCUCAACGCUGGCACCAAAUAACAAUUAUUUAGGUCUAAUAUUAAUCCGGAAGGUAGAUGUAGAGGUAGCGUGCCGACCGCGAUCACAUCGACUUUGGAACCGUUUCCCACGCGCAUCGUCACCUCGUCCUUUGCCAGUGCCUGCUUAUUCUGUAGUCCCUGUUUCGAGUUGCAAAUAUUAGCAACAGAACCAGUAUCAAAUACCCAGGUGCUACUGCGAGCUCUAGUAAGGUACACAUCAAUAACAUGUAUAUCACAUAUACCUUUGUUCACCUUGCCAUCCUUCUUAUCCGCCAAAUACUUGGGGCAGUUCCGCUUCCAGUGACCAGUCUGCUUGCAGUAGAAGCACUCAGUUUCAGGCUUAGGUCCAGACUUGGGUUUCUUCUCCUGAGCAGCAACUUGCUUGCUGUUCUUCUUGAAGUUCCCCUUCUUCUUCCCUUUGCCCUUUUUCUUGAAACUAGUGGUGUUGUUAACCAUCAACACUUGAUGCUCCUUCUUGAUUUCUACCUCCGCAGCUUUCAGCAUUGCGAAGAGCUCGGGAAUAGUCUUGUUCAUCCCUUGCACAUUAUAGUUCAUCACGAAGCUCUUGUAGCUUGGUGGCAGUGAUUGGAGAAUUCUGUCACUGACGCAAUCAUCCGGAAGAUUAACUCCCAAUUGAAUCAAGUGAUUAUUAUACCCAGACAUUUUGAGUAUAUGCUCACUGACAGAACUGUUCUCCUCCAUCUUGCAGCUAUAGAAUUUAUUGGAGACUUCAUAUCUCUCAAUUCGGGCAUUUGCUUGAAAUAUUAACUUCAACUCCUGGAACAUCUCAUAUGCUCCAUGACGUUCAAAACGUCGUUGAAGUCCCGAUUCUAAGCCGUAAAGCAUGGCACACUGAACUAUCAAGUAGUCAUCAGCUUUGCUCUGCUAGACGUUCAUAACAUCCGGCGUUGCUCCUGCAGCAGGCCUGGCACCCAGCGGUGCUUCCACGAUGUAAUUCUUCUGUGCAGCAAUGAGGAUAAUCCUCAAGUUACGGACCCAGUCCGUAUAAUUGCUACCAUUAUCUUUCAACUUUGCUUUCUCAAGGAACGCAUUAAAAUUCAACGAAACAACAGCACGAGCCAUCUAUCUACAAUCAAACAUAAACAAGCAAGAUACUAAUCAGGUACUAAGUUUCAUGAUAAAUUUAAGUUCAGUUAAUCAAGUUAAAGAACUCCCACUUAGAUAGACAUCCCUCUAAUCCUCUAAGUGAUUACGUGAUCCAAAUCAACUAAACCAUAACCGAUCAUCACAUGAGAUGGAGCAGUUAUCAAUGGUGAACAUCGUUAUGUUGAUCAUAUCUACUAUAUGAUUCACGCUCGACCUUUCGGUCUCCGUGUUCCGAGGCCAUAUCUGUAUAUGCUUGGCUCGUCAAGUAUAACCUGAGUAUUCCGCGUGUGCAACUGUUUUGCACCCGUUGUAUUUGAACGUAGAACCUAUCACACCCGAUCAUCACGUGGUGUCUCAGCACGAAGAACUUCCGCAACGGUGCAUACUCAGGGAGAACACUUCUUGAUAAUUAGUGAGAGAUCAUCUUAUAAUGCUACCGUCAAUCAAAGCAAGAUAAGAUGCACAAAAGGAUAAACAUCACAUGCAAUCAAUAUAAGUGAUAUGAUAUGGCCAUCAUCAUCUUGUGCUCGUGAUCUCCAUCUCCGAAGCACCAUCGUGAUCACCAUCGUCACCGGCGUGACACCUUGAUCUCCAUCAUAGCAUCGUUGUCGUCCCGCCAAGCUUUAUGCUUCUACGACUAUCACUACCGCUUAGUAAUAAAGUAAAGCAUUACAUCGCGAUUUCAUUGCAUACAAUAAAGCGACAACCAUAUGGCUCCUGCCAGUUGCCGAUAACUCGGUUACAAAACAUGAUCAUCUCAUACAAUAAAAUUCAGCAUCAUGUCUUGACCAUAUCACAUCACAACAUGCCCUGCAAAAACAAGUUAGACGUCCUCUACUUUGUUGUUGCAAGUUUUACGUGGCUGCUACGGGCUUAAGCAAGAACCAAUCUCACCUACACAUCAAAACCACAACGAUAGUUUGUCAAAUAGACUCCAUUUUAACCUUCGCAAGGACCGGGCGUAGCCAUACUUGGUUCAACUAAAGUUGGAGAGACAGUCGCCCGCAAGCCACCUAUGUGCAAAGCACGUCGGGGGAACCGGUCUCGCGUAAGCGUACGCGUAAUGUUGGUCCGGGUCGUCUCGUCCAACAAUGCCGCCAAACCAAAGUAUGACAUGCUGGUAGGCAGUAUGACUUAUAUCGCCCACAACUCACUUGUGUUCUACUCGUGCAUAUAACAUCAACAUAAAUAACCUAGGCUCGGAUGCCACUGUAGGGUUUCGUAGUAAUUUCAAAAAAAUUCCUACGCUCACGCAAGAUCAUGUGAUGCAUAGCAACGAGAGGGGAGAAUGUUGUCUACGUACCCACGCAGACCGACUGCGGAAGCGUUGACACAACAUAGAGGAAGUAGUCGUACGUCUUCACGAUCCAACCGAUCAAGCACCGAAACUACGACACCUCCGAGUUCGAGCACACGUUCAGCUCGAUGAUGAUCCCCGGACUCUGAUCCAGCAAAGUGUCGGGGAAGAGUUCCGUCAGCACGACGGCGUGGUGACGAUCUUGAUACACUACAGCAGCAGGGCUUCGCCUAAACUCCGCUACAGUAUUAUCGAGGACUAUGGUGGCUGGGGGCACCGCACAUGGCUAAGGAAUAGAUCACGUGGAUCAACUUGUGUGUUUCUGGGGUGCCUAUGCCUCAGUAUAUAAAGGAGUAGAGGGGGGAGGCUGGCCGGCCAUAGGAGGCGCGCCAGGAGAGUCCUACUCCCUCUGGGAGUAGGAUUCCCCCCCCCCAAUCCUAGUUGGAAUAGGAUUCGCCGAGGGGGAAAAGAGAGUGAGGGGGCCGGCCACCUCUCCUAGUCCUAAUAGGAUUAGGGGAAGGGGGAGGCGCGCAGCCCAUGUAGGGCUGCCUCUUCUCCUUUCCACUAAGGCCCAUCAUGGCCCAUUUAGCUCCCGGGGGGUUCCGGUAACCUUCCCGGUACUCCGGUAAAAUCCCGAUUUCACCCGGAACACUUCCGAUAUCCAACCAUAGGCUUCCAAUAUAUCAAUCUUUACGUCUCGACCAUUUCGAGACUCCUCGUCAUGUCCGUGAUCACAUCUGGGACUCCGAACAACCUUCGGUACAUCAAAAUGCAUAAACUCAUAAUAUAACUGUCAUCGUAACCUUAAGCGUGCGGACCCUGCGGGUUCGAGAACAAUGUAGACAUGACCGAGACAUGUCUCCGGUCAAUAACCAAUAGCGGGACCUGGAUGCCCAUAUUGGCUCCUACAUAUUCUACGAAGAUCUUUAUCGGUCAGACCGCAUAACAACAUACGUUGUUCCCUUUGUCAUCGGUAUGUUACUUGCCCGAGAUUCGAUCGUCGGCAUCCAAUACCUAGUUCAAUCUCAUUACCGGCAAGUCUCUUUACUCGUUCUGUAAUACAUCAUCCCGCAACUAACUCAUUAGUUGCAAUGCUUGCAAGGCUUAUGUGAUGUGCAUUACCGAGAGGGCCCAGAGAUACCUCUUCGACAAUCGGAGUGACAAAACCUAAUCUCGAAAUACGCCAACCCAACAUGUACCUUUGGAGACACCUAUAGUACUCCUUUAUAAUCACCUAGUUACGUUGUGACGUUUGGUAGUACCCAAAGUGUUCCUCCGGUAAACGGGAGUUGCAUAAUCUCAUAGUUAUAGGAACAUGUAUAAGUUAUGAAGAAAGCAAUAGCAACAUACUAAACGAUCGGGUGCUAAGCUAAUGGAAUGGGUCAUGUCAAUCAGAUCAUUCAACUAAUGAUGUGACCUCGUUAAUCAAAUAACAACUCGUUGUUCAUGGUUAGGAAACAUAACCAUCUUUGAUUAACGAGCUAGUCAAGUAGAGGCAUACUAGUGACACUCUGUUUGUCUAUGUAUUCGCACAUGUAUUAUGUUUCCGGUUAAUACAAUUCUAGCAUGAAUAAUAAACAUUUAUCAUGAUAUAAGGAAAUAAAUAAUAACUUUAUUAUUGCCUCUAGGGCAUAUUUCCUUCAACAAAAGUUGUCGUUUCUUAAUGUUUGGGGCUGCGAUGCUUAAGGCUUCAGCCGGAGAAGCUCGAACCCAAAGUGGACAAACACAUCUUCAUAGGAUACCCAAGGGUGACAGUUGGGUAUACCUUCUAUCUCAGAUCCAAGGGCAAAUUGUUUGUCGCUAAGAACAGGUCCUUUCUCGAGAAGGAGUUUCUCUUGAAAGAAUUGAGUGGGAGGAAGAUAGAACUUGAUGAGGUUGUCGAACCUUUAUUUUCAACCAGAGAGUGAUGCAACACAAAAAGAUGUUUUCUUUGGUGCCUACAUCUGUUGAAGAGGAAGUUAAUGAUAGUGAUCAUGAAGCUUCAGAUCAAGUUGCUAUCGAACCUCGUAGGUCGACAAGGAUAUGUACUACUCCUGAGUGGUACGGUAAUCCUGUCUUAGAUAUCAUGUUGUUAGACAACAAUGAACCUACGAGCUAUGGAGAAGCGAUGGUGGGCCCGUAUUUCGACAAAUGGUUAGAAGCCAUGAAAUCCGAAAUAGGAUCCAUAUAUCAGAACAAAGUAUGGACUUUGGUGGACUUGCCCGAUGAUCGGCAAGCCAUUGAGAUAAAUGGAUCUUUAAGAAGAAGACGGACGUGGGCGGUAAUGUUACCGUCUAUGAAGCUCGACUUGUGAGAAAGAGUCUUUUCACAAGUUCAAGGAGUUGACUACGAUGAGAAUUUCUCACCCGUAGCGAUGCUUAAGUCCGUCGGAAUCAUGUUAGCAUUAGCUGUAUUUUUCGAUUAUGAAAUCUUACAGAUGGAUGUCAAAACAAGUUUUCUUACCAAUUUUCAUAAGAAAAGUUGUAUGUGAUACAAUAAAAGGUUUUGUCGAUCCUAAGGAUGCUAAAAGGUAUGCUGGCUCUAGCAAUCCUUCUAUGGACUAGAGCAAGCAUAGAAUCGGAAUAUAUGUUUUGAUGGAGUGAUCAAAGCUUUUAGGUUUAUACAAUGUUUGCUAGAAACUUGUAUUUACAAGAAAGUGAGUGGGAGCACUACAACAUUUCUGAUAAGUAUAUGUGGAUGACAUAUUGUUGAUCCGAAAUAAUGUAGAAUUUCUGGAAAGCAUAAACGGUUGUUUGAAGAGUGUUUUUCAAAGGAAGACCUGGAUAAAGCUGCUUACAUAUUGGGCAUCAAGAUCUAUGGAGAUAGAUCAAGACGCCUGAUGGUACUUUCAAAGAACGCACACCUUGACAUGUUUUUGAAGGAGUUCAAAAUAGAUCAGUCAAAGAAGGGGUUCUUACCUGAGUUGUAAGGUGUGAAGUUGACUAAGACUCAAAGCUUGACCACGACAGAAGAAAGAGAAAGGACGAAGGUCGUCCCCUAUGCUUUUGUCAUAGGCUCUAUACGGUAUGCCAUGCUGAAGUACCGCACCUGAUGUGUGCCUUGCCACAUGUCUGGCAAGAGGGUACAAAGGUGAUCUAGGAGUAGAUCACCAGAUAGCGGUCAAAAUUAUCCUUAGAGGAAUAAGGAAAUGUUUCUCGGUUAUGGAGGUGAUAAAGAGUUCGACGUAAAGAGUUACGUCGAUGCAAGCUUAACACCUAUCCGGAUAGCUCUGAGUAGAGAUACCGGAUACGUAUAAUGGAGCAACAAUUUGGAAUAGCUCCAAGUGGAACGUGGUAGCAGCAUCUACGAUAUGACAUAAAGUUUUACGAAAUACAUAGGAAUCUGAAUAUGGCAAGACCCGUUGACUACAACCUCUCUCACAAGCAUAACAUGAUCAAACCCAGACUCUUUGAGUGUUUAUCACAUAGUGAUGUGAACUAGAUCAUUGAGUCUAGUAGACUCUUAGAUGUUGGUCACAUGGUGAUGUGACCUGUGAGUGUUAAUCACAUGGCGAUGUGAACUAGAUUAUUGACUCUAGUGCAAGUGGGAGACUGUUGGAAAUAUGCCCUAGAGGCAAUAAUAAAUUGGUUAUUGUUAUAUUUCCUUGUUCAUGAUAAUCGUUUAUUAUCCAUGCUAGAAUUGUAUUGAUAGGAAACUCAGAUACAUGUGUGGAUACAUAGACAACACCAUGUCCCUAGUAAGCCUCUAGUUGACUAGCUCGUUGAUCAAUAGAUGGUUACGGUUUCCUGACCAUGAACAUUGGAUGCCGUUGAUAACGGGAUCACAUCAUUAGGAGAAUGAUGUGAUGGACGAGACCCAAUCCUAAGCCUAGCACAAAGAUCGUUUAGUUCGUUUGCUAAAGCUUUUCUAAUGUCAAGUAUCAUUUCCUUAGACCAUGAGAUUUUGCAACUCCCGGAUACCAUAGGAGUGCUUUGGCUGUGCCAAACGUCACAACGUAACUGGGUGGCUAUAAAGGUACACUACAGGUAUCUCCGAAAGUGUCUGUUGGGUUGGCACGAAACGAGACUGGGAUUUGUCACUCCGUGUAAAUGGAGAGGUAUCUCUGGGCCCACUCGGUAGGACAUCAUCAUAAUGUGCACAAUGUGAUCAAGGAGUUGAUCACGGGAUGAUGUGUUAUGGAACGAGUAAAGAGACUUGCCGGUAACGAGAUUGAACAAGGUAUCGGGAUACCGACGAUCGAAUCUCGGGCAAGUAUCGUACCGAUGGACAAAGGGAAUUGUAUACGGGAUUGAUUAAAUCCUUGACAUCAUGGUUCAUCCGAUGAGAUCAUCAUGGAACAUGUGGGAGCCAACAUGGGUAUCCAGAUCCCGCUGUCGGUUAUUGACCAGAGAGUUGUCUCGGCCAUGUCUGCAUGACUCCCGAACCCGUAGGGUCUACACACUUAAGGUUCAAUGACGCUAGGGUUAUAGGGAAUAGAUAUACGUGGUUACCGAAUGUUGUUCGGAGUCCCGGAUGAGAUCCCGGACAUCACGAGGAGUUCCGGAAUGGUUCGGAGGUAAAGAUUUAUAUAUGGGAAGUCCUGUUUUGGUCACCGAAAAAAUUUCGGGUGCUAUCGGUAACGUACCGGGACCACUGGGAGGGUCCCGGGGGUCCACCAGGUGGGGCUACCUGCCCCAGAGGGUUGCGUGGGCCAAGUGUGAGAGGGGACCAGCCCCAGGUGGGCUGGUGCGCCCCCCCCACCAGGGCCCAAGGCGAAGAGAGAAGGGAAAAGGGGGAAACCCUAGGCUCAGAUGGGCCUAAGGCCCACCUAGUGGUGCGCCCCCCUCUCUCCCCCCUUGGCCGCCCCCUAGAUGAGAUCUAGGGCUGGCCGCCACCCCUAGGGGUGGAAACCUAGGUGGGGGCGCAGCCCCUCCCUUUCCCCUAUAUAUAGUGGGGGUUUUGGGCUGCCAUACACACGAGAACAUCUCCUUCUUGGCGCAGCCCUACCCCUCUCCCUCCUCGUCUCUUCCGGUGCUUGGUGAAGCCCUACUGGAGUACCACGCUCCUCCACCACCACCACGCCGUCGUGCUGCUGCUGGAUGGAGUCUUCCCCAACCUCUCCUUCUCCCCUUGCUGGAUCAAGGCGUAGGAGACAUCACCGGGCUGUACGUGUGUUGAACACGGAGGUGCCAUCCGUUCGUCACUAGGAUCAUCGGUGAUUUGGAUCACGACGAGUACAACUCCAUCAACCCCGUUCACUUGAAUGCUUCCGCUUAGCAAUCUACAAGGGUAUGUAGAUGCACUCUCCUUCCCUCAUUGCUAGACUUCUCCAUAGAUUGAUCUUGGUGAUGCGUAGAAAAUUUUGAAUUUCUGCUACGUUCCCCAAUAGUACGUGUGUUGAACGCGGAGGCGCCGUUCGUUCGGCACUAGAAUGGAUCUUCCACGAUUUGAAUCGCCGCGAGUACGACUCCAUCAACCGCGUUCUUGUAACGCUUCCGCUGAGCGAUCUUCAAGGGUAUGAAGAUGCACUCCCUCUCUCUCGUUGCUAGCAUCUCCUAGAUUGAUCUUGACACGUAGGAAAAUUUUGAAUUAUUGCUACGUUCCCCAACAAAGGCAGGCCGCGCCCCCCUCCCCUUAGUCUAAAUUGGACUAGGAAGGGGGGCGGCGCCCCCUUUCCUUUCCCAGCUUCCUCUCCUUCCUUCCCCCUCUCUCCCUUUUGGUGGAAACCUACUAGGACUUGGAGUCCUAGUAGGAUUCCCCACUUGGGGGCGCGCCAAGGAGGGUCGGCCGGCCUCCCCCUCCCUUCUUUAUAUAUGUGGGGAGGGGGGCACCCUAGAACACACAAGUUAAUUGUUUAGCCGUGUAUGGUGCCCCCCUCUACAGAUUUAUACCUCGGUCAUAUCGUUGUAGAGUUUAGGCGAAGCCCUGCGCAGGUAACUUCAUCAUCACCGUCAUCACGCCGUCGUGCUGACGAAACUCUCCUUCGACCUCAACUGUAUCUAGAGUUAGUGGGAUGCCACCAAGCUGAACGUGUGCAGAUCGCGAAGGUGUCGUAUCUUCGGUGCUAGGAUCGGUCGGAUCGUGAAGAUGUACGACUAUAUCAACCGCAUUGUCAUAACGCUUCCGCUUACGGUCUACGAGGGUACGUGGACAACACUCUCUCCUCUCGUUGCUAUGCAUCACCUAGAUGAAUCUUGCGUGUGCGUAGGAUUUUUUUUUGAAAUUACUGCGUUCCCCAACACUCCUCAACUAAUGAUUUCGGUGGUUGGCUUUUGCAUAGGUGUCCUUGGUUUUGUCACAGGCGUUUCCUAAUCGGUGCCUUAAGCGCCAUUUAAAAGGUAUUUUGAGGGAGGCAGGGGGAGCGUCGUUUAUAGGGUAAUCCGUACAGGGCACACACCCCCUAUACACUAGGUCCAGUUCGCAGUCCGGCCCAUUUGUUUUUCUGUUCGUUUAUUUUUGCGUUUCGAACUGGGAUUUUUUUUUAAAUUGCAUGAACUUAUUUUUAAAAUUCGAUGAACUUUAAGAAAAUGAUAAUAUUUACCUGCUUUUGUGAACAUUUUUCAAAUCAAUGAUUUUUUUUCACAAUCGAUGAACUUUCUUUCAAAAUCAAUGUUUUUUUUAUUUUUUUGUGUUUUUCGCAAAAGCAAUAUUUUCCUGCCUGGAAGUUUUCCAAUGCAAUGAGCUUCUUCAAAAAAUUUGAUGAAUUUUUUCAAUAUCGAUGAACUUUUUUUUUUAAAUUCAUGAACCUUUUAAGUUUGUGAACUUUCUUUUCAAAAACCAUGAACACUCUUUAAGUUUGUCAACUUUCUUUUUAAAUUUGGAGUGAAAAUGGGUCAAAACGAGCACAAAUAGACAUACAAAUGAAAUGGGUUGCUGCGUUCAUCCGUGCUUUUUGUCCAUCCAGACCCAAACAGACACAGCAAGACAAAAUGGGUCAGUGCAUUGUAGUUGGCCUUAGCUUUCCUCCUUUCCAUCUUUGUUCCAUAAGAAAGACCAAGAAGGGCGCUUGCGGCCUCACGAUAUUGUGAAGCUCAGGAACUAUCUCUUCAUUUUUAUGGUCGUGACUGUUGAAGCUAAGAGCUAAUUCUUGAUCACAACACUUACUUCCUCCGGUCCUUUUUAGUUCGCAUAUAAGAUUUGUCCGAAGUCAAGCCUCGUAAACUUUGACCAACUUUAUAGAAAAAAAUAUCAAUAUUCAUAAUGUGAAAUCAAUACCAGUAGAUGCGUCACGAAUUAAAAUUUCAUAUUAUAUAACUUUAGCAUGGUAGAUGCUGAUAUUUUUCUUAUAAAUAUGGUCAAACUUUGUGGAGUUUGACUGCAGACAAUUCUUAUAUGCAAAGUAAAAAGGACCGGAGGGAGUACAAACGCUAUAUAAAUUUGAGCAUGUUUACUCCUGAAAAAAAUAAUUGAACUACAAACUAAAAUAAUUUUGAGCACCUGACAACCGGCCCAUUCAAAAGAAUUCGCACGACAUUCAACAGCCCAUGCGAAACAACCCAGCCGAGCAAUAAGCCCAGGGCCUCCUAAACCGCCAUAGCUUUUCCUCCAAGCAAUGCGUCGUCAUAAACCUCCUCCUACCCUUAACCCACUGACACCCGGGCACGCCAAGCUCGUGGCUCCACAAGUCAUUCCCUACGUCUCACCUCCCCUCCGCACUCCCGCGUAACCUCUUCACUCACCCCAGCUACUGCUAGAGGCACCCGCAACAACCCCAGGCAACCUCCACCGUUUCACGUACAGAUGGGGCCCGCCUGGGUGGUGACUUCCUGACCCCACCCGUCGGUGUCCGUGGGAGCAGGGGAUAUUUCCGCCCCGUACGCGCGCGCCGGAGCCGCAGAAAUAUCUCUCGUGGUGCCUGGCUAUUAACCCAACCCCAUUCCCUCUCUCCCCCUCUCCACUCCUCGUCCCCCCCUCCUCCUCCCCAGAACCCUAAACCCCGCCGCCGCCAUAAACCCUAGCCGCCGCCGCAGCCAGGGCCAGCCAGGAUGUACGCCAUGAUCCGCCGCGCGGAUCCCCUCCGGAGGCGCGCCGCGUCGGCCAUCCUGGCCGCGCUGCUGCAGCACCCGGCGGGCCCCUCCGCCGCCGGGGCGUCGGCGUCGGUCCUGCCCCCAAGGUCGCCGCUCCCGCCGCCGGCGAUGUGGUUCCACUCCAGGCCGGCCCCGCUCGGGUUCCGGGAGACGGGGGCCGCGCGGGCCGGGGCGCACGCUCAGUUCGCGGCGGACGAGGGGUGGAACUACGACGAUAAGAGGAAGCCCGCGGGGGGCGUGGCUGGGGCCGGCGCCGGCGCCAAGGAGGAGGGGCUUGAGAUCGCAAAGCUCGGGAUCUCGUCCGAGAUCGUCGACAAGCUCUCCGCCAAGGGCAUCACCAAGCUGUUCCCCAUCCAGGUAAGGGGAGCAGGCAGGCACGCAGCCUUUUCCCCCUCUCUUCGAUUGGAACGUGAUUACUACCUCCUUUGAUCGUCCGUGGUUUGUUUGCUCUCUGGGGCUACUGCUUGAUUGAUUGCUGCCCAGUUAAUUGUGUUCUGUAGGAACGAGAACAUUUCCUCCUUUUGGAAUGUUGUAACUUCUCCGCAGUUAAUUAAUUCUGAACAUAGCUCAGAAGGAGGCUUGCUCCGAUGCGCGGAACUGCGGAGCAGUUCUUCCCCACUAUGAUAGUUUUGUGUGGUUUUCCACUACCUCACUGCCCUAUGCGAGGCAACUGUGAUCUUUUGGUUCGUUCUGAAUGGACAGAUGUUUUAUUGCCAGUGAAAUUUAUACACUAUAUAAGUUAGUCUAUGGAACCUUAAUUAAUUAAUUUGUAAUUUCUAACGAGAGACAAAAAAUUUAAGGUUGCAUCAUAUUGUUCAGCAGCUGCGAUUAUCACUCUGUAUUAUUAUGUGCUUGCGUGUCCCUUUCUCUUGUGAUAAUAGUUAUGCAUGCUCAGCUGUUUUUUUUACUUCUGCUUCUAGAUUGAGUCAAUCAAACCAUCCCUGUAUAGGUCCAAUUUUUUAUCUGUUUGUGCGUACCUUUAUGUUUGUCAUCUUUCAAUAUUCUCCUGGCAGUAGGGUAGAUUGUUUACUGCUUACAUGAUCACACCAUUAGUGGAUGCCUUGUGUUUUGGAUGUUAAAAUCCCCUUCCUUUUGCUGUGAUGUGUAGAGAGCUGUCCUUGAGCCAGCAAUGCAAGGCAAGGAUAUGGUUGGCCGUGCCAAAACGGGGACAGGGAAAACUUUGGCAUUUGGAAUCCCCAUAAUGGAUGCAAUUAUUCGCCAUAACGCAGCUAACAAGUAAGUUUGGACAUUUUUCGCAUCAAUCAUUAUUCAUUUUCCCUCUACUCCUUUUAGUGCCAUCUUGUGUUGCAUUGUCACCUCAAUUGAAUCUCUGGAUUCACAGACCUGGAAUAUAUCCCCUGGCGAUAUGUUUGGCACCAACACGGGAACUUGCAAAACAAGUUGAGAAAGAAUUUGUUGAUUCUUCCCGGCUGGAUACACUCUGUGUAUAUGGAGGCACUCCAAUUCAGCAACAAAUGAAAGGACUUAGCCAGGGUGUUGAUGUAGUUGUUGGGACACCUGGACGGGUAAUUGAUCUGCUAAAUAGACGUGCUCUGAAUUUGUCAAAUGUCCAGUUUGUUGUUCUCGAUGAAGCAGACCAGAUGCUGUCAGUGGGUUUUGAUGAAGCUGUUGAGGAAAUUUUGCAAAAUGUGCCUGCCAAACGUCAAACCUUGAUGUUCUCCGCAACAAUGCCACCCUGGAUACGCAAGCUGAUGCAGAAGUACCUCAAAGAUCCUGUCAUAGUUGAUCUUGUGAGUGAUGCUUACCCAUGUUUUACUGAACACUGCAACUUUGAUUUCAUUGCAAAAUUUGUGUAUCCAUAUCUGACCUUAUUUGUCAUGCAUUUGCUGUCUCUACUUGCAUUGGAACUUAUCAUGAGAAGUAACUUCAAUUUUGUUAUGUUAGGCUUGGACUUUUGUUGCGUCUUUUCUAGUAAGAUAAGCAUUAGUGUUAGUAUCAAGAGGAUUAAGAAAAUUAUUCUGGUGGUGUAAAUGCCAAAGACACCUUUUUCUUUUGAAAACUUGCAUAGUCAAUUUCAGGUUUUGAUAAUAUGUGUGGAUGUGCCUGCAACUCUUUAGUCUUUCCCUGAAGAUUUGUAUAGCGUUAAAUCAUUUUUGAAGUUAAUAAACUUCAAAGUUAUGAACUAAGUAACAUUUAUGGGUUAAGUUUGCUCUUUGUUGCACCUGCAUGACAUCAUAAGCACAUUGUUUAAUUAAGAAAAUACAUAGCUACUAGCUGGAUUUGGUUUAUGAUACUAUUUCUUUUCUAGGUGGGUGAAGAUGACCAGAAGCUGGCAGAAGGGAUUUCUCUGUUGUCUAUUGCUACAGAGAAUCAUGCAAAACCUGCUGUCCUUGGGCAAUUGAUUCAGGCAAGGAUGUUUUCUCUGUAGUAUCAAUGGAAUAUUUUUUUCUUAAGUGCUAUCUAAGUUUCUUUCUGCACUCUAUGACGUAAUGUGUGUGUGAGUUCAUUGCAGGACCAUGCUAAAGGUGGCAAGUGCAUUGUAUUUACGCAAACAAAAAGGGAUGCUGAUCGGUUGUCAUACACUAUGAGUCGAAGUGUCCAGUGUCAGGCUCUUCAUGGAGAUAUUACACAACAACAGAGAGAGAGGACACUUCAAGGAUUUCGUGAAGGGCGCUUUAAUACUUUGAUUGCCACUGAUGUUGCUGCUCGUGGUUUGGAUAUUCCAAAUGUGGAUCUGGUUAGUGUUUUUCUGUCAUUGCCUUUCCUUUUGUCAUUUAGAACUGCAUUAUUAAUCUGUUUAAAGCUGGCAACAUUAUCUCAUUGCAACAUCUGCUGUCAAACCCCUUGACUGGCUGUGUUUCCUUGUUUCAGGUGAUACACUAUGAAUUGCCAAACAAUUCAGAGAUAUUUGUUCACAGGUCUGGCCGUACUGGCCGUGCUGGGAAGAAAGGCACUGCAAUUGUGAUGUACAGCUACAACCAAAGUAGAGCUGUCAGGGGCAUCGAGAAUGACGUUGGAGGCAAGUUUACGGAGGUGAGAUUUUGUGUCAUUUAAAGUCGCUGCUUGAGUUUUUUCUUAUGGCAUUUAUGCUCAAUGUGUUCUCUUUUUUGCAGCUUCCAAAGAUCAAUGUUGAAGGUUCUGACUUGACAAUGGCUAGUGGUUAUGAUUCGUUCGGAGGUGGAGGUGGAGGUGGGCGCUCACGUGGUGGUGGUUUUGGUGGCCGCGGUGGUGGUUUUGGCAACUCUUCCAGCAGAGGUGGCGGGUUUGGUGAUUCCGGUUUUGGUCGUUCAGGUGGUGGGUUUGGUCGGUCAGGCGGCGGCGGAGGUGGUGGAUUUGGCGAUUCAGGGUUUGGCCGAUCAGGUGGUGGUGGUGGAUUCGGUGAUUCAGGGUUUGGCCGAUCAGGUGGUGGUGGAGGUGGAUUCGGCUCAAGUGGUGGGUUUGGGAGUUCUGGUUCAGGGCGGUCUGGCGGGUUUGGUAGCAACUCUGGUAGCUCUGGCUCUAGCUGGGGUGGAUUCGGCAGCUUUGGAGGCAAAAGCUCUUGAUUGAUCAACCCCCCAUAGCCCAGCAAAUUUUUGGUUGGAGCGGAAGGCAACCGGGUUAACCGGUUCAGCUUGAUGGUUCUUAUAUAUGGAAAGCCCUCUGUCAGAAGAGGUAAAUUAACAUGGUCUGAUUCUUGUUGGGUAGUACAAGGUUGAAUUUCUAGCGUGGACAACAUACGCUUAUAUUGCCUGGAGCCGCCAACUUUGAAGGCAGCUGGAAAUAAUCACGAGGCUUUCUUCUUUUUCCGUUUCCUGGUGCAAGCUAUUUGCAGCAGGGUUCCUUGUAAAAUAUAUGCAGUGUGCCUUGUCUUCUGCGGAUCACAAUAUAUAUCUGUUUCUUUAGUAGUAGUUUUUGUAUUGUAUUAUCAAGCUUUUUGUGGACCUUAUCUAAUGGCCAGAACUAGUCUCUAGAAGCAAAUGUUAAGAUCUAUGCAUCUGAUACCAUGACUAAUUAUUGCUAAUCGCUAAGGCUUGGGGCGUGUAAACCAUCUCUGCUCUGUUGGCUAUAGGACUUAUGCUAUACAUUGCAUCCGAGUUAAAACCAAGAAUAAAGAUGUUGUGUGGCUUGAAGACUCGUUUUUCUUUUUGUGUAGAGCUCCUUGAAUGUUGUUUCACCAUGAUUUUUUGCAUGCUCUUUAGCAUAUUUACUUCAUUUUUUAAUUUACUUAUGAAUUUUUUAAGUUACGGGUGGAACCGCUGUGUGGCUCAGCUACAAAGCCCUGGCCUGCACGCUCGACACCAAUGGCAUCUUUUGCUACCUUAAAUGUCACCAAUAUACUUUGUAAGAAGCAGUUGUCGAACAAAGUAUGACAAAAAGCAUUUAGAUCACUCCUUUAGUUAUCUUUAUGGAGGGAGUACUAAAGAUAAGCACUUGUUUUCCCAUGAGGUUUGCAAGCACCUAAGUUUCCUCCUGUACGACAUCCAUAUAUUUGCUUCCGGUUCAUAUGGAUUUUUAUGUUCCUCAGUUGUGUGAAUGUAUGUAUAGAGGCAUCCGGUGCAUAUGGAGCUUUUUGUGUUCCCCAGUUGUGUGAAUGUUUGUAUAGAGACAUUAUGGCUCAAUUUAAAACCCACAAUGUGAAUCAUGUCGAACCAAUCACUACUACUACCAUGAUACAGGACAUAUACUACACGGUGAGUAUAUCUCGAUAUAACUGAAAAGGUGCUUGAUUUUUCUUGGAGGACAUAUACCAUCGAUUGGAUUUUGUUCAGUAUGUUUGAUUAUGGUUAACUGAGUAAAAAAUGCACUCCAAAACUCAAUCCUGGCUGAUGAGAAGGGCUGCCAAGCACAACCAUAUAAAAUAAACAAGAUACAAUGAAAUACGACUGAAAAUAUUACUCGGGAGAUACAGCAAAAUAGUAGGCUAUUUAAAAGCAUCUUGUUACAUUAGAAACUUAGCACACGUUCAGGAAGUUCGGGUAGAUAACUUAUAAAUUCUGCCAAACACAUAGACGAUGCGACAGACCCAGCUAGAACUGCAGCAGCUGUUCCUUCGCCUAGAGAAAGCAAAAUCAUCAAUCCAUCAAUAACCUGAUUGGAUACCAAUACGUAGCCUCCAACUUAUUCAUGUUUAUAACAACAAAAUUGACUACUAAUGUAUAGCUGGACAAAGCAAAAUCGUCAAUCUUCUCGUUUUCAACUUGUAGGGCCAUUAUGGCUGAUGUUUAUAACAACAAAAUGCACUACUAAUUCAAUGAUUUUGCAAAAGCUAAACCAAGGAGAACACUAUGAAUGCCCAUAUAGGUACACAUCAUUUUAACAUCCACAUGAUAUUCAACGUUUGGAUAUCAUUUGCAACAAAAAGAGUCAUUUUAUCUCGGCAUUACCGUCAUUUUAAUUGUUGUGUAUGUUAUUUACAUGCGUGAAUCUCUACAGCCAAAUUGACGAUAUUUUGAGAGUGCAUUUUACCCAUGUUGGCAGCCACAUAUUUCCAUAGAGAAAAAGACAUAAUUCUCCAUAUCUCUUAAGCUAUAUUCAGAAGAUGUUCUUACAUGCUGAACCAUUUCAGCACAUUAGCAAUCAUCCAAUGUGUUGUGCAGCGUUUUCAGCUCCAUUAGAUCCAUCAGCAAUGGCUGUGCCUAUUUAAGAAGGUAAACAAAAGUUGUUAUCAUUGACUAAAAAAUCCAAAAUUAAAACAGUUAAACAGAAAAGAAGUACCGGAUAAAAGAAUACAACUAGUUUGAGAUUGCACACAUGCCAACUAAGUGGCAUUUGAUUUUGCAUUUUUUACUCAUUUGACAUUUGAUAUGGAUCUUCCAAGAAUAAAUACAACUAGUGAUGACAUAUAAAAGUAAAAAUAAAGCCAUGAGUAAAUUUUGUCCAUCUAUCAAAGGGACGAUUGUUGAUUAAGCUUAACUUGUUAGUGACUUAAGAGGCAC